AAGAAAAAAAAGUAAAAAAAAAAUAAAAUAAAUAAAUAAAUAAAAUUAAAAAAAUUAAAAAAAUUAAAAAAUUAAAAAAAAUUAAAAAAUUAAAAAUUAAAAAAAUUAAAAAAUUAAAAAAUUAAAAUUAAAAAAAUUAAAAAAAAUUAAAAAAAUUAAAAAUUAAAAAAAAUUAAAAAAAUUAAAAAAUUAAAAAAUUAAAAAAAAAAAUUAAAAAAUUAAAAAAUUAAAAAAAUUAAAAAAUUAAAAAAAUUAAAAAAAUUAAAAAAAUUAAAAAAUUAAAAAAAAAAUUAAAAAAUUAAAAAAAUUAAAAAAUUAAAAAAAAUAAAAAUUAAAAAAAAAUUAAAAAAAUUAAAAAAAUUAAAAAAUUAAAAAAAUUAAAAAAUUAAAAAAAAUUAAAAAAAAUUAAAUAUAAAAUUAAAAAAAUGUAAAAAAAAUGUAGGAUAAUAAUAAAAUAAUAAUGAAUAAAUAAUAAUAAUAAUAAUAAUAAUAAUAAUAAUUAAUAACAUAAAAUUAAAAAAAUGUAAAAGAUGUAAAAAAUAAUAAUAAUAAUAAUAAAAUAAGGUUUUCAGGCACUUGUAAGCAUUACUUUCCUUGUGGUUGAAAUCAAAGACCAAAUUUAAAGAAAGAAAAAAAAACAAAAUAAAAAAUUUGUUUUUUUUUUAUACUAUGAUUAAACCCCAUUUUAAAAAUAAAUAAAUAAAAAGGAAAUAUGUCAAAUUUUAUAAGAAUGUGAAACUUUGUUUUCUUUUUUUAAAAAUAAUAAUAAUAAUAACAAGACUUUGGAUAAAAUAAGCUAGAUAGAAAAAUGACAUAGUGUUGGUAUCAAAACUUUUAAAAGAAAAAAAAAAGGCCCUCAAAUUUAUUCUAAUGUUAUUUAACUAAUAACAGAAGAAUUAAUCUGAGCGAGGAUUUUUCAUGUGCUUGCACGGGAGUCGAAACCCCUCGAAAGUCAACACUACUUCAUCCUCAAUUCUAGUCCUAUAAGGUUGUAGCCCGGGUAGAGGGCUUGUGAGUGUGUGUAAAUGCAUGAUGACAUAAAAAUAAGUAAUAAAAAAAAAAUAAAUAAUAAUAAAAAAUAAUAAUACCAAUAACAUAGUACAAAAUAUUACAUCUGAAUCAAAUAAAAACAAAUAAUUAAGUGAACCAACAUAUUAUAAUAUAAUAAUAAUAAAAGAUAAAAUAUAUGGCUCGACUCUCCAAAAUCCCCAGUGGAGUCGCCAAGCUGUCGCGACGUGAUCGCUACGCGGAGCGGCCGACCUCCCGUUUAUUUUAUUUUAAUAAAAAAUUUUGGAGUCGCCACCAAUCAUAUUAAGGUGUGAUUGGUCACCCAAAAAAAGAAAGAAAAAAAAAAUGGUCUGCGUACAUUCAGAGAUUUAAGUUCGGGAGUCAGUUAUGUGUAGGGAAGGUGUUAGCACCCUACAACACCCAAAAAUAUGGUUACCCAAUUUUAUCUUUUAAAUUAAAUUAUAAAGGUUCACAAAAUAAAAUUUUUAUUUAGGUUUUGUUUAAAUGUCCCAUGUUUAUCAAUUCAUAUCGAAGAAAGUAAAAACUAAGCAUGAAUUGAUGAUUAUGAGUGGCAUAGGAGCCAUUAGAAAAAUUAAGUUUAUUUUUGUUUUAAAAUAUUUUUAUUCACCUUAAGAAUAUUAAGAUACCAACACUUGAUAUUUUAAUCUCUAUCAUAGGUGUUUAAUGAAAAAUUUCAUAUAUCUAGAAUUAAUAAAUUCAUAGAAAAUACUACUCAGUCUCAUUUAAAAUAUGAAAUGUGUUAAUUUAAAAAAAAAAUCUAUUAAUUAAAUUUCAAACGGAAAAAUUUCAUGUAUUUAUGGAUUUUAAAUUAUAAAAUCCAUAAAAAACAAUACUUUUUCUCCAAUUUACAUUAUUAUAAAAAAAAUAAUAACAAUGACAAAACAUUAUGAAAUUUGAAAAAUACUUAGGUGUAAUAUGCUGAGAUAAAAUAAAUACAUUGAUAAUAUAUGCAAAAUGUAAAAGAUAUUAAUGUAGGAUGCAAGAUAAUUAAUUAAUACAACAUAUGCAACAUAAUUAAUUAAUUCAAAAUGAUGCAAAAUAAUUGAUUAAUGCAGGAUGCAAAAUAAUUGAUUAAUGCAUAAUUAAACGAGGCCAAAAUGGAUAUCAAAUAAUAAUUAACAGUUGAAUGCUAAAGUAGGUUUGGCCCAAUAUACAAAUAAAUAAUAUUGCGAAUAAAUAAUCACACCAAAUAAAUAUCAAAUAAUUAUAGCCACAUAUGCAUACUGAUUAAUUAAUACAUCAUGCAAAUAAUUAGAAUGAGGGAGUGAAAAUGUCACAUACAAGUUGCUAAUUAAUUAAUAGGUCAAAUGAAAAAUGGUUGUUGCCAAAUAUUAAUUAUAUCACGCAUAAUUAUUAACAUGGAUAAUAUAUGGAUAACAGUAAUUAUUAGCAGGGUAUGCCAUAUGGAUACAUGGAUAAAGUAAUUAACAAAAACUGUAAAAUGGAUGCCAAUGAAGAAUGAGUAUUACCAAAUACAAAAGGCUAAUUGAUUAAUUAUGCAUAAUUAUUAAGGAUGCCAUAUGGAUAUAAGUAAUAAGUAAUUAACUGUAAAAUGGGUGUCAAUGAAGAAUGAGUAUCCAAAUACAAAUAUAUGAUGCUAAUUAAUUAAAAAGAAAUUAACACAGAUGCCCAGUAAUAAAAGAAAAUUAACACAUAACAGAAUGCUCAAUAUAUAAAAUUAACACAGAAUGGGUAUACAUAAUAGAUACACAUAAUGGAUACACAUAAUGGAUACCCAACAAUUAAAAAGAAAUUAACACAGAACAGAAUGUUCAAUAUUUAAAAAUUAACACAGAAUGGAUAUACAUAAUGGAUACACAGAAUGGAUACCCAACAAUUGAAAAAGAAAUUAACACAGAACAGAAUGUUCAAUAUUUAAAAAUAAAAAAUAAAAAAUUUAAUAUGGAAGGUAGAAUGCUCAGUAUUAAGAAAGAUACAAAUAAUAAAAUUAACAUGUUAAAUGAUGGUAAAAUGAUGAACACGAUAGUUCAUAAUUAAAAGCAGUAUAUCAAACAAGAAGAAGAAAAAAAAAAAUCAUUAAACAAGAAUAAGAAUAAAAAGAGGAAAAAGAAAAAAAAACUUACCAGAGCAGUCUGCCUUCAAUGCCAAAGGUUAUUCCUUUUUUAUCUUCUUUCACUCUUCCUUCAAUGCCAAAGGUUAUUCCUUUUUGAUCUUCUUUCACUCUUCCCCUCUUUCUAAAUCCUCCAAUAAUCCAAAAAAAAAGAUCCCCCUGCUUUCUUUUUCCUCUUUCCUUUUUAUAGGGCAAGCUCCAUUGCUUUUUUUUAGAUCACGAGAUGGAGUGCAGAUUACAGAGAAAUAGGAAGAAAGUGGGAGAGUGGGAGAAAGUGAUAGAGUGGGAGAAAGUGGAGAGUGAUGACGAAGAAAAAGGAUGGUUGAGAAAAAAAUAGGAAGAAAUCAAACCUUUUAGUUUUAUUUUAUUAUUUAUUUUUAAAUAUAUUUAUUAUUAUUAUUAUUGUUUUUUUAAAUAUAAAUUUAAGAUUCAAAUUCAAAUUCAAAUUCAAAUUCAAAUUCAAAUUUAAUUUCUUUUUCUUUUUCUUUUUUCUUUUAUAAUAAAUAAAUAUAGGACAAAAUACGGUAUCUACAUCUAGAAAAACAAACAAUUAACAAAUAAUCCAAAAAUACAUAGCACAUAGAUAGCCAAAAGGCUGGAGCAAACGAUUUUCCUUAAAAAUAAAAAUGAACAUUCCUUGAUACGAGUCUAUAAAAUAUUUGUUGGAUCAUUUACCCAAUACAAUACAAUCAUUUUGCCUAUCUUUCAUAACAUAUUACUGUCAUUUUUAAAACCAUCUAGAAUGAAUAAAGUUUCUUCCAUCACAAGAUUUUCCUUUUAGUACUGCUGUUAGCAGUAUUUGUAAAAGAAGCUCAGUUGGCAAAUGCAGCGACAUGCGACCCAAAUGAGAUGAGAGUAUGUAUGUGGGCAUACACUACGUCAACAUCGCCAUCAUCAUCUUUUGUGACAUGGUGAGGAAGCAUAGAUCAUGUUAUUGUCAAUACAAAAAAAAUCCAACGUUCCAAUCUUAUUUACAAUCUCCUACCACCAAAAAAAUCAUCUCUCAAUGUGGAACUACCCUCCCCUCUUGCUAGAAUAAUACCGAUACCCAAUUCAUUUGAUUCAAUAUGAAAUGAAGAUGUAAUAAAAGAAAUUAUGAAAGAAUAAAGUUAUACAUUCAUAUUCUUCGAGCUUCAACAUUUUAUUUUUUAUACUAUGUUAAAUAAAUAAAAAAAAAACUAGCUUCUAGCUAAUACAUUUAUUUCGUUAUGAAAGUCUCGAUUAAAAUAUUUUAAUGUAAAUACCAUGAAAAAUAGUUUCCUUAAAAAAAUACGAAGAUUGUCACUAAAUUAUCUUUUAAGGUGAAGGAUUUACAUACGUGCUAAAAUGUUAAAUGAAUAUUUAUAAACUCAGUUACUUGUAUGUUUUGAAUAAACGGAUAGAUUUGGAUAAACUAAUUUGAUAUGUUUGGUUUGAAGAUGGUGAUUAAUAGUGUCGUGGACCUUAAGUUUUCCAGAUUUGAUCAUGAUUUUGCUUUCAAAUUAUUGCAAAUACAAAUGUGAUCAACGUUUGUACCGUAUCAAACCAAUGAUUUGAAAGCAAAAUUUGGUGCGAUGUCGUGCUCAAUCGCAUAUAUCGAUUGAUCCUUAAGGCUAACACAACUUCCCAACUCAUGCGUGCAGUCGCAAGAAUAAUGAAUGGAACUAAAAGAAAAACAUGCUAAAAGAAUAAUGAAUGGAACUAAAGGAAAACAUGCGCAAAGAAGAAAUCAAAGUUUUUGGAAAGAAAGAAGAACCACUCCACCACUUGUAACCUCCUAACUCUAUAUGUAGUGGAGCUAACCAGAAUGUCUCUCUCAUCCUUUAAGAUCGAUUGAGAUUAUAACUUGUUUUUUGCUUUAUGGACACAUAUGAUUUUUAAGAGAUGGAUUAGACAACGAUUGAUGAUGUUUCAGAUCUAUAUUGGUUAAUGAAUUAAAUUUAUCAUUAUAACCAUCAAAAUAAUACCAACUCUAGUAAAUUAUUAAUUAUAAAUCAGCACAGUAUAGUGAAGUAAUUCCCCACAAAAGUUGCAUAUAGACAAAUGAUGAUAGCUCGAUGAAUAAAUUCUUUGAUAGAAAAAGAUCAAUAUAUCUUAAGCUAGACUUUUUUGACAUCAAGCUUCUUUAACUUACACUCUCUUUUAAUUUACUUUGAAAACUAGUUUUUUUGCAAAAUUAGUGUGCCUGCCCUCAGUUCGAUCUAAACUUACCACUAAGUCUAGUGCUAGUGUAUGAUUCGGUAAUUUAUUUAGGAUAAAUUUGGACGACGAAAUUUGUCUGCCAAUAGGUGUUAUGAGAACUCAAGUAUUCUGGAAUUUGAGUAGGCGUUAUAUAGGGAAGAAAAUGGAAACCAAACUUUGUGUAGUAAGUGAUUAAAGAUGUUUAAGUUCUCAGAAAAUAUUUUUUCUAUAAAAUAUGUAUUUCACAUAAGUAUGUUACAAUUCUCUUAAGCUAUGAUGCAUGAGACGUAGACCACGUGGUUGUUAGAUGAUUAUGACUUACAAAAGCAAGAUAUCAUCUUAAUAGAGUACUAAGCAUUAAAGCAAAGUAGUCGAGUGUUACGACUGUUUAUGUUCUAAGUUUUGUUGUCAUGCAAAACAUUGGUGUUGUUCAUUGUACUAAGUUGACUCCAUGUCCACAUUUGAGUGAAGGUCAUACCAGGUGUUGAUGGUAACUGCCUAUGCCUGGUAUCGUAGCUGAAUAUGGGAUGCGAUCUUUUUCAAGUUAAUUCGCUAGAGCAACUGCUGCUGACUAUGGUCCACUUUAAUAGUCUAGGUGUUGAGUAUGUGUUCAACACUCACGUUUCUAGAUUGAUGUGGGUAGAGCAAUUUAACAACCAAAUAAUUAAAAUAAGCAAUUUAACAACUAACAAAUAAUAAUGCUAAUUGUCUAGAAAAACAAACAAUUAACAAAUAAUCCAAAAAUACAUAGCACAUAGAUAGCCAAAAGGCUGGAGCAAACGAUUUUCCUUAAAAAUAAAAAUGAACGUUCCUUGAUACGAGUCUAUAAAAUAUUUGUUGGAUCAUUUACCCAAUACAAUACAAUCAUUUUGCCUAUCUUUCAUAACAUAUUACUGUCAUUUUUAAAACCAUCUAGAAUGAAUAAAGUUUCUUCCAUCACAAGAUUUUUUCUUUUAGUACUGCUGUUAGCAGUAUUUGUAAAAGAAGCUCAGUUGGCAAAUGCAGCGACAUGCGACCCAAAUGAGAUGAGAGUAUGUAUGUGGGCAUACACUACGUCAACAUCGCCAUCAUCAUCUUGUUGUGACAUGGUGAGGAAGCAUAGAUCAUGUUAUUGUCAAUACAAAAAAAAUCCAACGUUCCAAUCUUAUUUACAAUCUCCUACCACCAAAAAAAUCAUCUCUCAAUGUGGAACUACCCUCCCCUCUUGCUAGAAUAAUCACCGAUACCCAAUUCAUUUGAUUCAAUAUGAAAUGAAGAUGUAAUAAAAGAAAUUAUGAAAGAAUAAAGUUAUACAUUCAUAUUCUUCGAGCUUCAACAUUUUUAUUUUUUAUACUAUGUUUAAAUAAAUAAAAAAAAAACUAGCUUCUAGCUAAUACAUUUUAUUUCGUUAUGAAAGUCUCGAUUAAAAUAUUUUAAUGUAAAUACCAUGAAAAUAGUUUCCUUAAAAAAUACGAAGAUUGUCACUAAAUUAUCUUUUACGUGAAGGAUUUACAUACGUGCUAAAAUGUUAAAUGAAUAUUUAUAAACUCAGUUACUUGUAUGUUUUGAAUAAACGGAUAUGAUUUGGAUAAACUAAUUUGAUAUGUUUGGUUUGAAGAUGGUGAUUAAUAGUGUCGUGGACCUUAAGUUUUCCAGAUUUGAUCAUGAUUUUGCUUUCAAAUUAUUGCAAAUACAAAUGUUGAUCAACGUUGUACCGUAUCAAACCAAUGAUUUGAAAGCAAAAUUUGGUGCGAUGUCGGUGCUCAAUCGCAUAUAUCGAUUGAUCCUUAAGGCUAACACAACUUCCCAACUCAUGCGUGCAGUCGCAAGAAUAAUGAAUGGAACUAAAGAAAAACAUGCUAAAGAAUAAUGAAUGGAACUAAAGGAAAACAUGCGCAAAGAAGAAAUCAAAGUUUUUGGAAAGAAAGAAGAACCACUCCACCACUUGUACCUCCUAACUCUAUAUGUAGUGGAGCUAACCAAGAUGUCUCUCUCAUCCUUUAAGAUCGAUUGAGAUUAUAACUUGUUUUUUUGCUUUAUGGACACAUAUGAUUUUUAAGAGAUGGGAUUAGACAACGAUUGAUUGAUGUUUCAGAUCUAUAUUGGUUAAUGAAUUAAAUUUAUCAUUAUAACCAUCAAAAUAAUACCAACUCUAGUAAAUUAUUAAUUAUAAAUCAGCACAGUGAUAGUAAUUCCCCACAAAAGUUGCAUAUAGACAAAUGAUGAUAGCUCGAUGAAUAAAUUCUUUGGAUAGAAAAAGAUCAAUAUAUCUUAAGCUAGACUUUUUUGACAUCAAGCUUCUUUAACUUACACUCUCUUUAUAAUUUACUUUGAAAACUAGUUUUUUUGCAAAAUUAGUGUGCUCCCUCAGUUCGAUCUAAACUUACCACUAAGUCUAGUGCUAGGUGUAUGAUUCGGUAAUUUAUUUAGGAUAAAUUUGGACGACGAAAUUUGUCUGCCAAUAGGUGUUAUGAGAACUCAAGUAUUCUGGAAUUUGGAGUAGGCGUUAUAUAGGGGAAAGAAAAUGGAAACCAAACUUUGUGUAGUAAGUGAUUAAAGAUGUUUAAGUUUUCGGAAAAUAUUUUUUCUAUAAAAUAUGUAUUUCACAUAAGUAUGUUACAAUUUCUUAAGCUAUGAUGCAUGAGACGUAGACCACGUGGUUGUUAGAUGAUUAUGACUUACAAAAGCAAGAUAUCAUCUUAAUAGAGGUACUAAGCAUUAAAAGCAAAGUAUGUCGAGUGUUACGACUGUUUAUUUUCUAAGUUUUGUUGUCAUGCAAAACAUUGGUGUUGUUCAUUGUACUAAGUUGACUCCAUGUCCACAUUUGAGUGAAGGUCAUACCAGGUGUUGAUGGGUCAACUGCCUAUGCCUGGUAUCGUAGCUGAAUAUGGGAUACGAUCUUUUUUCAAGUUAAUUCGCUAGAGCAACUGCUGCUGACUAUGGUCCACUUUAAUAGUCUAGGUGUUGAGUAUGUGUUCAACACUCACGUUUCUAGAUUGAUGUGGGUAGAGCAAUGUUAACAACCAAAUAAUUAAAAUAAGCAAAUUAACAACUAACAAAUAAUAAUACUAAUUGUCUAGAAAAACAAACAAUUAACAAAUAAUCCAAAAAUACAUAGCACAUAGAUAGCCAAAAGGCUGGAGCAAACGAUUUUCCUUAAAAAUAAAAAUGAACGUUCCUUGAUACGAGUCUAUAAAAUAUUUGUUGGAUCAUUUACCCAAUACAAUACAAUCAUUUUGCCUAUCUUUCAUAACAUAUUACUGUCAUUUUUAAAACCAUCUAGAAUGAAUAAAGUUUCUUCCAUCACAAGAUUUUUUCUUUUAGUACUGCUGUUAGCAGUAUUUGUAAAAGAAGCUCAGUUGGCAAAUGCAGCGACAUGCGACCCAAAUGAGAUGAGAGUAUGUAUGUGGGCAUACACUACGUCAACAUCGCCAUCAUCAUCUUGUUGUGACAUGGUGAGGAAGCAUAGAUCAUGUUAUUGUCAAUACAAAAAAAAUCCAACGUUCCAAUCUUAUUUACAAUCUCCUACCACCAAAAAAAUCAUCUCUCAAUGUGGAACUACCCUCCCCUCUUGCUAGAAUAAUCACCGAUACCCAAUUCAUUUGAUUCAAUAUGAAAUGAAGAUGUAAUAAAAGAAAUUAUGAAAGAAUAAAGUUAUACAUUCAUAUUCUUCGAGCUUCAACAUUUUUAUUUUUUAUACUAUGUUAAAUAAAUAAAAAAAAAAACUAGCUUCUAGCUAAUACAUUUUAUUUCGUUAUGAAAGUCUCGAUUAAAAUAUUUUAAUGUAAAUACCAUGAAAAUAGUUUCCUUAAAAAAUACGAAGAUUGUCACUAAAUUAUCUUUUACGUGAAGGAUUUACAUACGUGCUAAAAUGUUAAAUGAAUAUUUAUAAACUCAGUUACUUGUAUGUUUUGAAUAAACGGAUAUGAUUUGGAUAAACUAAUUUGAUAUGUUUGGUUUGAAGAUGGUGAUUAAUAGUGUCGUGGACCUUAAGUUUUCCAGAUUUGAUCAUGAUUUUGCUUUCAAAUUAUUGCAAAUACAAAUGUUGAUCAACGUUGUACCGUAUCAAACCAAUGAUUUGAAAGCAAAAUUUGGUGCGAUGUCGGUGCUCAAUCGCAUAUAUCGAUUGAUCCUUAAGGCUAACACAACUUCCCAACUCAUGCGUGCAGUCGCAAGAAUAAUGAAUGGAACUAAAGAAAAACAUGCUAAAGAAUAAUGAAUGGAACUAAAGGAAAACAUGCGCAAAGAAGAAAUCAAAGUUUUUGGAAAGAAAGAAGAACCACUCCACCACUUGUACCUCCUAACUCUAUAUGUAGUGGAGCUAACCAAGAUGUCUCUCUCAUCCUUUAAGAUCGAUUGAGAUUAUAACUUGUUUUUUUGCUUUAUGGACACAUAUGAUUUUUAAGAGAUGGGAUUAGACAACGAUUGAUUGAUGUUUCAGAUCUAUAUUGGUUAAUGAAUUAAAUUUAUCAUUAUAACCAUCAAAAUAAUACCAACUCUAGUAAAUUAUUAAUUAUAAAUCAGCACAGUGAUAGUAAUUCCCCACAAAAGUUGCAUAUAGACAAAUGAUGAUAGCUCGAUGAAUAAAUUCUUUGGAUAGAAAAAGAUCAAUAUAUCUUAAGCUAGACUUUUUUGACAUCAAGCUUCUUUAACUUACACUCUCUUUAUAAUUUACUUUGAAAACUAGUUUUGCAAAAUUAGUGUGCUCCCUCAGUUCGAUCUAAACUUACCACUAAGUCUAGUGCUAGGUGUAUGAUUCGGUAAUUUAUUUAGGAUAAAUUUCGACGAAAUUUGUCUGCCAAUAGGUGUUAUGAGAACUCAAGUAUUCUGGAAUUUGGAGUAGGCGUUAUAUAGGGGAAAGAAAAUGGAAACCAAACUUUGUGUAGUAAGUGAUUAAAGAUGUUUAAGUUUUCGGAAAAUAUUUUUUCUAUAAAAUAUGUAUUUCACAUAAGUAUGUUACAAUUUCUUAAGCUAUGAUGCAUGAGACGUAGACCACGUGGUUGUUAGAUGAUUAUGACUUACAAAAGCAAGAUAUCAUCUUAAUAGAGGUACUAAGCAUUAAAAGCAAAGUAUGUCGAGUGUUACGACUGUUUAUUUUCUAAGUUUUGUUGUCAUGCAAAACAUUGGUGUUGUUCAUUGUACUAAGUUGACUCCAUGUCCACAUUUGAGUGAAGGUCAUACCAGGUGUUGAUGGGUCAACUGCCUAUGCCUGGUAUCGUAGCUGAAUAUGGGAUACGAUCUUUUUUCAAGUUAAUUCGCUAGAGCAACUGCUGCUGACUAUGGUCCACUUUAAUAGUCUAGGUGUUGAGUAUGUGUUCAACACUCACGUUUCUAGAUUGAUGUGGGUAGAGCAAUGUUAACAACCAAAUAAUUAAAAUAAGCAAAUUAACAACUAAUAAUAAUACUAAUUGUCUAGAAAAACAAACAAUUAACAAAUAAUCCAAAAAUACAUAGCACAUAGAUAGCCAAAAGGCUGGAGCAAACGAUUUUCCUUAAAAAUAAAAAUGAACGUUCCUUGAUACGAGUCUAUAAAAUAUUUGUUGGAUCAUUUACCCAAUACAAUACAAUCAUUUUGCCUAUCUUUCAUAACAUAUUACUGUCAUUUUUAAAACCAUCUAGAAUGAAUAAAGUUUCUUCCAUCACAAGAUUUUUUCUUUUAGUACUGCUGUUAGCAGUAUUUGUAAAAGAAGCUCAGUUGGCAAAUGCAGCGACAUGCGACCCAAAUGAGAUGAGAGUAUGUAUGUGGGCAUACACUACGUCAACAUCGCCAUCAUCAUCUUGUUGUGACAUGGUGAGGAAGCAUAGAUCAUGUUAUUGUCAAUACAAAAAAAAUCCAACGUUCCAAUCUUAUUUACAAUCUCCUACCACCAAAAAAAUCAUCUCUCAAUGUGGAACUACCCUCCCUCUUGCUAGAAUAAUCACCGAUACCCAAUUCAUUUGAUUCAAUAUGAAAUGAAGAUGUAAUAAAAGAAAUUAUGAAAGAAUAAAGUUAUACAUUCAUAUUCUUCGAGCUUCAACAUUUUUAUUUUUUAUACUAUGUUAAAUAAAUAAAUAAAAAAACUAGCUUCUAGCUAAUACAUUUUAUUUCGUUAUGAAAGUCUCGAUUAAAAUAUUUUAAUGUAAAUACCAUGAAAAUAGUUUCCUUAAAAAAUACGAAGAUUGUCACUAAAUUAUCUUUUACGUGAAGGAUUUACAUACGUGCUAAAAUGUUAAAUGAAUAUUUAUAAACUCAGUUACUUGUAUGUUUUGAAUAAACGGAUAUGAUUUGGAUAAACUAAUUUGAUAUGUUUGGUUUGAAGAUGGUGAUUAAUAGUGUCGUGGACCUUAAGUUUUCCAGAUUUGAUCAUGAUUUUGCUUUCAAAUUAUUGCAAAUACAAAUGUUGAUCAACGUUGUACCGUAUCAAACCAAUGAUUUGAAAGCAAAAUUUGGUGCGAUGUCGGUGCUCAAUCGCAUAUAUCGAUUGAUCCUUAAGGCUAACACAACUUCCCAACUCAUGCGUGCAGUCGCAAGAAUAAUGAAUGGAACUAAAGAAAAACAUGCUAAAGAAUAAUGAAUGGAACUAAAGGAAAACAUGCGCAAAGAAGAAAUCAAAGUUUUUGGAAAGAAAGAAGAACCACUCCACCACUUGUACCUCCUAACUCUAUAUGUAGUGGAGCUAACCAAGAUGUCUCUCAUCCUUUAAGAUCGAUUGAGAUUAUAACUUGUUUUUUUGCUUUAUGGACACAUAUGAUUUUUAAGAGAUGGGAUUAGACAACGAUUGAUUGAUGUUUCAGAUCUAUAUUGGUUAAUGAAUUAAAUUUAUCAUUAUAACCAUCAAAAUAAUACCAACUCUAGUAAAUUAUUAAUUAUAAAUCAGCACAGUGAUAGUAAUUCCCACAAAAGUUGCAUAUAGACAAAUGAUGAUAGCUCGAUGAAUAAAUUCUUUGGAUAGAAAAAGAUCAAUAUAUCUUAAGCUAGACUUUUUUGACAUCAAGCUUCUUUAACUUACACUCUCUUUAUAAUUUACUUUGAAAACUAGUUUUUUUGCAAAAUUAGUGUGCUCCCUCAGUUCGAUCUAAACUUACCACUAAGUCUAGUGCUAGGUGUAUGAUUCGGUAAUUUAUUUAGGAUAAAUUUGGACGACGAAAUUUGUCUGCCAAUAGGUGUUAUGAGAACUCAAGUAUUCUGGAAUUUGGAGUAGGCGUUAUAUAGGGGAAAGAAAAUGGAAACCAAACUUUGUGUAGUAAGUGAUUAAAGAUGUUUAAGUUUUCGGAAAAUAUUUUUUCUAUAAAAUAUGUAUUUCACAUAAGUAUGUUACAAUUUCUUAAGCUAUGAUGCAUGAGACGUAGACCACGUGGUUGUUAGAUGAUUAUGACUUACAAAAGCAAGAUAUCAUCUUAAUAGAGGUACUAAGCAUUAAAAGCAAAGUAUGUCGAGUGUUACGACUGUUUAUUUUCUAAGUUUUGUUGUCAUGCAAAACAUUGGUGUUGUUCAUUGUACUAAGUUGACUCCAUGUCCACAUUUGAGUGAAGGUCAUACCAGGUGUUGAUGGGUCAACUGCCUAUGCCUGGUAUCGUAGCUGAAUAUGGGAUACGAUCUUUUUUCAAGUUAAUUCGCUAGAGCAACUGCUGCUGACUAUGGUCCACUUUAAUAGUCUAGGUGUUGAGUAUGUGUUCAACACUCACGUUUCUAGAUUGAUGUGGGUAGAGCAAUGUUAACAACCAAAUAAUUAAAAUAAGCAAAUUAACAACUAACAAAUAAUAAUACUAAUUGUCUAGAAAAACAAACAAUUAACAAAUAAUCCAAAAAUACAUAGCACAUAGAUAGCCAAAAGGCUGGAGCAAACGAUUUUCCUUAAAAAUAAAAAUGAACGUUCCUUGAUACGAGUCUAUAAAAUAUUUGUUGGAUCAUUUACCCAAUACAAUACAAUCAUUUUGCCUAUCUUUCAUAACAUAUUACUGUCAUUUUUAAAACCAUCUAGAAUGAAUAAAGUUUCUUCCAUCACAAGAUUUUUUCUUUUAGUACUGCUGUUAGCAGUAUUUGUAAAAGAAGCUCAGUUGGCAAAUGCAGCGACAUGCGACCCAAAUGAGAUGAGAGUAUGUAUGUGGGCAUACACUACGUCAACAUCGCCAUCAUCAUCUUGUUGUGACAUGGUGAGGAAGCAUAGAUCAUGUUAUUGUCAAUACAAAAAAAAUCCAACGUUCCAAUCUUAUUUACAAUCUCCUACCACCAAAAAAAUCAUCUCUCAAUGUGGAACUACCCUCCCCUCUGCUAGAAUAAUCACCGAUACCCAAUUCAUUUGAUUCAAUAUGAAAUGAAGAUGUAAUAAAAAAAUUAUGAAAGAAUAAAGUUAUACAUUCAUAUUCUUCGAGCUUCAACAUUUUUAUUUUUUAUACUAUGUUAAAUAAAUAAAAAAAAAACUAGCUUCUAGCUAAUACAUUUUAUUUCGUUAUGAAAGUCUCGAUUAAAAUAUUUUAAUGUAAAUACCAUGAAAAUAGUUUCCUUAAAAAAUACGAAGAUUGUCACUAAAUUAUCUUUUACGUGAAGGAUUUACAUACGUGCUAAAAUGUUAAAUGAAUAUUUAUAAACUCAGUUACUUGUAUGUUUUGAAUAAACGGAUAUGAUUUGGAUAAACUAAUUUGAUAUGUUUGGUUUGAAGAUGGUGAUUAAUAGUGUCGUGGACCUUAAGUUUUCCAGAUUUGAUCAUGAUUUUGCUUUCAAAUUAUUGCAAAUACAAAUGUUGAUCAACGUUGUACCGUAUCAAACCAAUGAUUUGAAAGCAAAAUUUGGUGCGAUGUCGGUGCUCAAUCGCAUAUAUCGAUUGAUCCUUAAGGCUAACACAACUUCCCAACUCAUGCGUGCAGUCGCAAGAAUAAUGAAUGGAACUAAAGAAAAACAUGCUAAAGAAUAAUGAAUGGAACUAAAGGAAAACAUGCGCAAAGAAGAAAUCAAAGUUUUUGGAAAGAAAGAAGAACCACUCCACCACUUGUACCUCCUAACUCUAUAUGUAGUGGAGCUAACCAAGAUGUCUCUCUCAUCCUUUAAGAUCGAUUGAGAUUAUAACUUGUUUUUUUGCUUUAUGGACACAUAUGAUUUUUAAGAGAUGGGAUUAGACAACGAUUGAUUGAUGUUUCAGAUCUAUAUUGGUUAAUGAAUUAAAUUUAUCAUUAUAACCAUCAAAAUAAUACCAACUCUAGUAAAUUAUUAAUUAUAAAUCAGCACAGUGAUAGUAAUUCCCCACAAAAGUUGCAUAUAGACAAAUGAUGAUAGCUCGAUGAAUAAAUUCUUUGGAUAGAAAAAGAUCAAUAUAUCUUAAGCUAGACUUUUUUGACAUCAAGCUUCUUUAACUUACACUCUCUUUAUAAUUUACUUUGAAAACUAGUUUUUUUGCAAAAUUAGUGUGCUCCCUCAGUUCGAUCUAAACUUACCACUAAGUCUAGUGCUAGGUGUAUGAUUCGGUAAUUUAUUUAGGAUAAAUUUGGACGACGAAAUUUGUCUGCCAAUAGGUGUUAUGAGAACUCAAGUAUUCUGGAAUUUGGAGUAGGCGUUAUAUAGGGGAAAGAAAAUGGAAACCAAACUUUGUGUAGUAAGUGAUUAAAGAUGUUUAAGUUUUCGGAAAAUAUUUUUUCUAUAAAAUAUGUAUUUCACAUAAGUAUGUUACAAUUUCUUAAGCUAUGAUGCAUGAGACGUAGACCACGUGGUUGUUAGAUGAUUAUGACUUACAAAAGCAAGAUAUCAUCUUAAAGAGGUACUAAGCAUUAAAAGCAAAGUAUGUCGAGUGUUACGACUGUUUAUUUUCUAAGUUUUGUUGUCAUGCAAAACAUUGGUGUUGUUCAUUGUACUAAGUUGACUCCAUGUCCACAUUUGAGUGAAGGUCAUACCAGGUGUUGAUGGGUCAACUGCCUAUGCCUGGUAUCGUAGCUGAAUAUGGGAUACGAUCUUUUUUCAAGUUAAUUCGCUAGAGCAACUGCUGCUGACUAUGGUCCACUUUAAUAGUCUAGGUGUUGAGUAUGUGUUCAACACUCACGUUUCUAGAUUGAUGUGGGUAGAGCAAUGUUAACAACCAAAUAAUUAAAAUAAGCAAAUUAACAACUAACAAAUAAUAAUACUAAUUGUCUAGAAAAACAAACAAUUAACAAAUAAUCCAAAAAUACAUAGCACAUAGAUAGCCAAAAGGCUGGAGCAAACGAUUUUCCUUAAAAAUAAAAAUGAACGUUCCUUGAUACGAGUCUAUAAAAUAUUUGUUGGAUCAUUUACCCAAUACAAUACAAUCAUUUUGCCUAUCUUUCAUAACAUAUUACUGUCAUUUUUAAAACCAUCUAGAAUGAAUAAAGUUUCUUCCAUCACAAGAUUUUUUCUUUUAGUACUGCUGUUAGCAGUAUUUGUAAAAGAAGCUCAGUUGGCAAAUGCAGCGACAUGCGACCCAAAUGAGAUGAGAGUAUGUAUGUGGGCAUACACUACGUCAACAUCGCCAUCAUCAUCUUGUUGUGACAUGGUGAGGAAGCAUAGAUCAUGUUAUUGUCAAUACAAAAAAAAUCCAACGUUCCAAUCUUAUUUACAAUCUCCUACCACCAAAAAAAUCAUCUCUCAAUGUGGAACUACCCUCCCCUCUUGCUAGAAUAAUCACCGAUACCCAAUUCAUUUGAUUCAAUAUGAAAUGAAGAUGUAAUAAAAGAAAUUAUGAAAGAAUAAAGUUAUACAUUCAUAUUCUUCGAGCUUCAACAUUUUUAUUUUUUAUACUAUGUUAAAUAAAUAAAAAAAACUAGCUUCUAGCUAAUACAUUUUAUUUCGUUAUAAAAGUCUCGAUUAAAAUAUUUUAAUGUAAAUACCAUGAAAAUAUUCCUUAAAAAUACGAAGAUUGUCACUAAAUUAUCUUUUACGUGAAGGAUUUACAUACGUGCUAAAAUGUUAAAUGAAUAUUUAUAAAUUCACUUACUUGUACUCUUGAACAAAAUAAAACAAUUUUAAUAUGGUUUUGAUUACCAACCUAUUCCACGACGACGGUAUAGGAAAAAAUUUAUCAAUCAAGUGCUUCGUACAAUUUACAAUUAAUAUUGACUUAUGCAUAUAAAACACCCUUAUUCUUAAUGAUUGAUGGAAAAGAGUUAAUUUGAGUGAUGGUCACUUCAAUUUGAAUGUUAGCAUACUUUUACCAAAACUAGAAAUAAUAAUGAAGAUUUUAUUUUUCAAGGCUAAUUGCCACCCAAUUAAUUCGGAGAAUGUUCAAAUACACCUUGUCUCGCAAAGAGCUUAAAAUAGACCAACCAACCACAAUCGCGGUUUUGGAUGUGUUUUUUCUUGUAUUAUUUUUCUUUUUUCUCUUUUUCCUUUUCCUUCUCCUUUUCAUCUCUUCUAUUUUUUUGUUGUGAAUUUCACUAAUCUUCUGUCGUCAUUCCAAAACCCUUACUAAUCAAAUGUACUUAUGUUCUAAUGAACCAACUACCAUUUAUAUGCAAUGUAGUCAUAAUGAACCAACUACCAUUUAUAUGCAAUGUAGUGUGAGUGUGGCACGAGUCAACCCUACACUUUCUCAAAUUUUAUUUCUAGGUAUGACCCCAUGGAUUUGGUUGAAAAUCAUAAUGAUAUUAAGAAGGUUUUAUGUUUUUCUCUCAUGAAUUGCAUCAAUCGUUUGAUUGAAUGUUACUUCUAUUGUAAAACCCUGAACUCUAAGGUAAUUGAUUUUAACCAGAUUGCUCUAUUUUUUAGAAUUUUAAAUUUUGUUGAGUGUUAUUUUAUUUCUUAAGGCUUGGAACAGAAAUUUAAUUAUUGGGAAAGAAAAGAAGUGAAGGAUGAAAAUGUAAUAAUAAUAAUAAUAAUAAUAUAAUGUUAUUAUUGUUAAUUAAUAAUUUAUAAAAAAAAAAGGAAAUUAAAAAUUCUCUCUCUUCCUCUCUCUCGUGCGUGACCCUUCCCCGUCUUCUUCCUUCUUUUUUUUUCCUCUUCUUCUCCUACUUCAUCCCCAUACCCUAGCCUCCAUAGCCUCCCCCAUCUUUCUUUUUCUUUUUCCUUUUCUUUUCCUUUCAGAUCUGCAGCCGACCGCCGAUCGUCUCGGUCUUCCAUUGAAGCUAAACGUCGUCGUCGUCGUCGGUUGGUGUCGUCGGCAUCGCGUUCCCUCUCACCUUGCCAUUCGUCCGGCUACGUUUGCGCCAGUCUCCAUUCGUGAAGUCCAGCCGCCGCGUGACCCUCUGCCCAGCCCCCGCGUGAUCCCCUGCCUUUCAGCCGCCACGUGACUCCCUGCCUUCCAACAGUGUGUUCCAAGUCGGCUCAUACUCCAAUAUUUCUUGCAAUCUUGUUUCGUUUUGGUUCGUCUAUCGUGGCCUCUGUUUCAUCGUAAACCGACAAAGUGUUGUUGGUAAAAAUAAUAAUAAUAAUAAUAAGUUGUGGGUUCGUAGUUGUUUCAUUAAUUCAAGUAUUAUUGUUGGGUAAUUGUUCAAUUGUUGUUCAAUCAUUUAAGGUAUUGAAGGUAGCGUUUAAAUCCCUUGGACGCACAACACAUUUUAGAUCUUGGUUGAAGUUCGAUUUUGCUAAUACUCAAGUAAGUGUAGGAGUUUCAUUGAGGAAAUUAAAUCAGAGAAAGUUUAUGAAAAUAAUCGAAUUUCUUAUGGUUAUGAUUAGGAUUUUUUUUCUCGUGGACCUUAGUCGAUUAAGGAGCUUCCCUAACUGGAGGUAUUUUUUCUGGUGGGUUGUUGUUUGGUUGAAUAUAUGAUUUAUGGUUAUGGUUGUUUUUCUGUGGAUUGGGGAAAGGACCUGGUUGUGUCCUUGUAGACUGAAGUGGAUGUUAUGAUUAUACUGAUGUACUGAAGUGCUUCAGACUGACUUUGGCUAAUUUUGAAUAAGAUGACUGCUAGGGACCAAGUGAAGAGUUUAUGCAAAUGAGAAUAUUUAACUGAACUAUGAAUGACUGUUAAAAUGUUUAGAAUGGACUGAGGGGAAAGUUGUUAGCUUUUAUUGGGAUGUGUGCCUUGUAGGUGUCCUACGGAAUCACCAAUUUUUAUGCAUCGUUCGGGAGCAUUAGACUGAUAUGUGUUUCUGCAGAACACUAGACUGAAAUGUACGUCCCUCGGGGCGUUAGACUGAAAUGUGUAUCCUACGGGAUCACAAGACUGUGACUGUGCAGGGUAUCCCAAUAGGAUGUUAACAAUUUAUUUUCCCCUGACGGGACCAGUAGUGGGUCUCUUACUAAGUAUUUUUAUACUCACCCCUUUAUGUUUAAUUCUUCAGGCAAAGGUAAUAAAGGUGGCAAACCGGCGAGGGACAUGAAGGAAGCGUGAUCGCCAGAGGGGACAUUUUAAAUUCGCUUCCGCUUAGUGAUUUACCGUAUUGUUUUGUUUUCGUACUUGAGACUGUUUAGAAAAUUUGAGGUUUAAAUGUAUUCAAAGACUAGAAAUUUAUUAGUUUUAUUUUCUUGAAAGUUUUGGUUAUUUUAAACUGGGCCCAAACAAAAAUAAAUUAUGUUUUCUUGAGACUUUAAAUUUAAUUAAAUUUGGUACUUUGUGUAAACUCAAGUCUUUGUGUUAAUUUAACGAUUUUGGCUUAGUUAGAAAUGUCGGGUCUUUACAUCUAUUGAUUUUUUUUUAACAUUAGUAAUUGAAUUUAUAAAAAUUAAUUUAACAUUUUAACGUGCAUUUAAAUUCUCUGAGUAAAAGAUUGUUUAAUGACAACCCUUGUAUGUGCUAACGAAACCAUACUAAUGAUACUGAAGAUUUUUAAGCCAAACGAGACAAAAGGUGCAAUGACCUGUACUUUUAAACUAAACUAAGGUCAUUACUCAAAAGAUAAAUAUCAAAAGACUCUCUCUUGGAAAAGAGAAACAAAAAAAUCCUUAUAAAGUUAGUUAACAAAGAUUUUUCAAAGACAUAAAAUCGACAAACUAAUCAAAAUAAUUUGAAAAUGUGACCCGAGGCACCAACAAUUUUUUAAAAUAAAAUAAACAUAAAUAAAUAGGAUAAAAGUUUCUAAAACCAAGGUAUUGAAAAUUUGAUACAUAGACGCAAAAGCAAAACUAAGUCCCAAUAAGACACCCGUUUUUAAUUCGAGUAUGGGAAGUAGAAUUUUUUCUAAAAGUACUAUAGAAAUGAGCGUUUCAAUAUAUUUGUGGAAAGGAUUAAGCGAUAAAAUCUUUUAUUGUCAGAAUAAAUUUUGCGAUUAACAAUUUAAUUUGCAAGGAAGUUUUGAGAAAAGAAGGAUUUACAGUAGAAUCUAGAAGUCUAAACGCUAUAAGAAGAAAGUCCAGGUAAAUUUGACAAAAACGACUAGACGUUUUAGUAGUCUUUUGCGAUAAGAACCAAGAGUUUCACGAUGAAGAAGUCUGGGAGGAAGUCUUGAAGUUUAAAUAUGUGAUAAGUGUUCUAAGCGAGUAAAAGUUGGUUACUUCGUGAAAAACGUUUAUUGUAAAAAUAUAACAAACGCGAUAAGGUUAUUUGCGAGAAGUGUUGUGGUUAAGGGUAUUUACGGUUUGGGGUGUGAUAAUUUGGUAUUAGAGCGAUACGUUCUUUGGAAAGAAUAAAUUCGGGUAGAGUGAGUUAAAAGCCAACAUAUUCAAAGUAGCACUCGUCAUUUUCAAAUUGCUGAAACAUACAAUUUAUUUAUAUUAGAUAUACAAGCACUUUUCAUUCAGAAAACCAAUCAAUUUAGGAAAAAAUUAAUAUAUCCUAAGUGAUAUCUAUUUUUGCAAUGAUGCUUCAGUGAGGUAGGAUAAAAAACUUCGUAGGUGAUUAAUUGUCCCUUCACUGAAUUGAGACAAUCUCAACUAAAUAUUACACCAGAAUAACUCUUAUUCCUAUAAUAAUUAGUCAUCAUUGUUUAGUCAAGAAAUGAUUAACUUACUUAAAAAUUUCUUGUAAGUGUAACCCUUCAUUUUAGAUUCUAUACUUCUGCCCUAAUAAGUAAUCCGUAGGAAAAAACCAAUUAGAGCAAAAACUAAAGAAAUCCUAUCCAUUUCUAGAGUUGAGUAAAAUCUCAUGUGCCUCAAGGCCGAGCAUGAGAAAUUACUAGAAACUAAUGAAAGAGACUGUGGGAUGUGUUGACACACAUCUCUCUCCCACUUACUAUAAACACUAUCUCCAUUCACCUUGUUAUUGGCUUAAGCAAACACCACCCGCAGGGGACACAAUCAAAAAAAUGCCUCGAGGCCGAGCAUAAGUCUCACGGUGUGAAUAUUUAAGGAGAAAAAUGAAAAGAAAAGUGAAGUAUCAUAUACCUCAUUUUCUCCCACUUAGUGUUUUACUUAAAAUCAAUUAACUUGGAAAAUAAACGACUAACUAUUUAUCUAAGCCAUUGUUAAAUUGGAUAGUUUAACAAUAUAUGAUUAUUGUUCAUCAAACACUUUGAUAAAUAUAAUCACAUAUUGCAAGCUUAUAAAAUAUUUGACUAAUUCACCUUUCAAGUUAGCUCUCAGGUACGGGUGUUCCAUUACAGUCAGCUUAAGUACCCCAGCCUAGACAGAACCUUCCUUAGACAAAGGUCUCUUAUAGACAAAUAUUUUAUAAAUUUAAUCUUUUAUUGAUAUCAUUUUAAUAUUAUUAAACAAUAAAAGAUUAAUCAUAUUUCUAAUUUAAUUAGAAGUAUUAUCCAUUAAAUUCUAGGUGAAUUAAUUUUAAACCAUUUAAAACUAAUUGUGACCUUAUGUUAGCAUGCAACUCUUUAUUAUAGAUUUUAAUUCUAAAUUCAUAAACUUAUAACACUUAUAAGAAAAGGAAACAAUUAAAACCUAUAAAUAUGCAUUUAUAAUGUCAUUUAAUAAAGAAAACAAUUAUAUUCGUUAAGUAAUGAUAGGCUCAAUGCAUUCUGAAUUUCAUCACACAAUAUAAAAAUUAUAUUAAUGCAAUAAAAAUAAAAACAUCCAUCAAUCAAACUAUAUAAUACAACAAUUUAAAAAUAGUAUGAUGCAUGAAAAUAUUAAUGAUACAUGUUAUCAUAUAAUAUAACAAUUAUAUUAAAUAUGAUGCAUGAGCAUGCUUAGAAAAUCAUGCAACUAAAAUAUAACACUUAUAUUUAAGAAUGAUGCAUGGUAGUUAUAAUCUUAAGGUACGGUUUUAAACUAUAUGAUAUACAUUAUGCAUAUAAUUAAUUUAAUUAAAAAAAUAUUCAAUAAUAGACAAAAUAACAAAAUAGUCCGAAUUUGGCACCCAUAAAAAAAUCAAAUUAAUAUAAUCAUAUUAUAUUAGAACAAGAAAAAAUUAAAAAAAAAAAAAGAAAAUUGCAACUUGAACACACAACCUCUUGCAAUAAUGGAGAAUGAAGCAAAUACAGCACCAAAACCAUUGAUGGUGUCUUCAAUACGCUCAAAUAGUAUUUUUUUUUUCUUUUUUUUUCUUUUAACGAAGACUGCUUCAAUUGCAACUCCGUACAGAAUACAAAUCUGAAAAAAAAAACUUUCAAAAAAUGCAUCUUCACAGCAACCAUCGAACGAUACAUAUUUACAAACUCGAUUGCAAAAUUAAAAUGCCUAAAACAUCAGGCCCUUACAUCAAUCAAAUUAAUAAAAAAAAAUUGCAAUCGAAGGUGCCAAAAUCGAAAACAUCUAUUUUGCAAACCCACACUCAUAAUGAAGUGAGAAAAAGAAAUUACCCACAUUUUCUCUUAAUUUUGUUUCAAUGAAAAAACAAUUGCACAAUUUGGCUCUAAUACCAAUUGAAGGAAUGAAAUUCCCAUAGCGGAAGUGUGUGAACGUCAUGCAAAAGAAAUUCAACUCAAAGCACAGAGAAAACACCUAAACAUGCUUUUAUGGAGGAAAUGAAAAAAGAAAACUAACAUUUGUAUAACCUUCCAAGAAUUCUCGAAUCUCCUAAAGAACACCACGAGGAGAACACCACGAAAUUUUCCUUGUUAUCCUCAAGAUAAAAGAAAAAAAACAAGAAAGGGUUUUGUGGGACUUCUAUGUUUUUUUGUUUUGUUAAAGCAAAAAAUAUUUGCAGAGAGAUUUUCUUUUUGUAACCAAUAGAUCGUCAAAAUUCUCCCAUGAAAGGUUGCAUCCUUCCUUUUUAUAUCUUAACCAAAAGAUACGAAGAGAGAUGGAGGGGAAGUUAAAAUAACUUCCUCCCUCUCCAUCACGUAGAAUAACUCCAUUGGGAGUUAUUCUUUUAUUUAAAUUCAUAUUAAAAUAAAUCUAAUAUAAAUUUAAAUUAUAUUAUAUCUUAUAUAAUAUUAUUUUUAUAUUAUAACAUAUAUAAUAUAACCAAUCGUUUAGAUCUUCUCAUAUGAUCUAUAAUUCUAAUAUGAAUCGAAUUCAUAUUAAUUUUUAAUCUAUAGUUUAUUUAUGAAUUUUAUUCAUAUUAUUAUUAUUUGAAUCAUAUUCAAAUAUUAACUUCUCUCACAAAAACUUUAUAUUAUAAUGUAUCAAAUACAUUAUAUUAAUUGUAUCAUAUACAAUUUAUUCCCUUCAAUCAAUUUGAACAUUUCAGAUUAAAUCAAAAUAAAUUUGAUUCUCAUUUAUCUUUGUUGAGCUAACAAGAGGACCUUAUGGAUCUACAUAAAUGAUGUGAGAUUAAUAAUUAAACUCGUUAAUGAAAUUAAUCACUAUUCAUUAACUAUCAGUCAUUCCACUAAAGACCAAUAGUUGCAUUCUUCUUACUAUAGAUAUAUUUUUGUGUCCAUUAAAUAUAACCAAUCAACAUGCAAUGACCCUUCACAAAUUGCUCAUAAGUACAGUUAGGCCAAAAAUUACCGUUUUACCCCUGUAGUUACAUCUAACUCUAUAAGUACCACAAAUCCCUCUAUUGAACAAUAGUUAUAGUCCCAUUAUAACUGAACUCGUCUCGAACUAAGAGUGGGUGUGGCACCACCACAUUGUUCAAGCCUUGGAAUCAGCCCUUAAAAGAGCAAUUUCUCUACUUACUCUAUCUUUAGAGAAUGAGUUAAUUCUUUCUUAUGUAGUUGUGUUCCCAGCUCCCUAAUCAAACGAAUCCCAAAAUGGUAGGCCUAUUGAGUCAGCGAUAUAGGCCACUCUCACCCAUGCAAAUCAAAGUACUGCCUUCAUAGGCAUGAGUUCACAACUCACUCAUGAUUGAGGUCAAGUCACUUAUUGUCAUCUUAGUGAAAUGUAGUCUCGACUAGUAACGGUGUUAAUAAGAGAGACUAUUGAUUUCAUGGUUCAAUCUUAUACAAACUCUUUGUAUAGAAUAACCCUACUCUAAUGUCUCAACAUGAAUGAUUAGGAUCAAAUCAUUUGUAGCACUUUAGAACAAUUGUAACAACUACAAAUCAGGUUGUAUUCAUAGUGUCACCAGGAUAAGGUAUCCAACCUAAUCCAUUUACUACAUAUCAUUUAGGUUAUCAUUUAAACAUCAUCCACUUGUAUGUCUCCACAUAUAUGUUUAGAUUAAAGAAGAUAACCUUGGAUGUUAGUUUAUUGGUUUUGUGGAUUAAUGCAACUAAAUGUCAAAUAAAAUAACACACUUAUUUUAUUAGAUAUAUAAAAUGUUUGUAUAAUAUAUACAAUUACAAACUACAAGACCACAAGAUUUAGGGCAUCAAUCCCAACAUGGACGAGAUGGACUGUCUGCACACACAUGACAAGUUCAUGACAUAACUGAGUGGGAAGGCACACCCUCAUGCUGCGUGCAUGAUCUGCCUUAAGAGGUUAGCGCCACACACGGUGUGCGAGGAGCACCAGCGCAUGACUAUGUUUGGAAGGGACACUAGGUAGGCGACAAGUACGCACGCGAAAACCCCAUUGCGAGGUUAGAACGCGGCGCUCCCGUCCCACCUCAUUGAGGUUUGUAUGUUGGUGGCCCCAGGCCAUGUGCGUGUAGCUAGCCCAUUUCAUCAUGUCAAUGGCACCGUUGGGCUAUUUUUGAGUUGUUUGGGCUGUCUUGAUAUUUUUGGGAAUUUUAAGAGAAAUUUUUUAUAUUUUCAUGUUCAAUGAAUUAAUUAAAGAUAAAAUAUGAAUUUUUCAUGACGGGAAAAUUAGGAGAAAUUCUGAGACCAAGGUUAUAUUCAAGUGACAAUGUAUAACAAAAUGUUUUAAAAAAUUUAUUAAGCAUGUUUUCAAGCUUACAAGCAAUAGCUUGUGAGUAACACAUUGCUUUCUAAAUGUUAUUGUUAAAUAAGUUUUUAAGCUUUCAAGCGCUAGCUUGUAAAAUGAUUUGGUAACCAUGAUCUCGAGUUUUUAUACAAGUCAUGUUAUUGAUAAAUGUUUACUGUAAUGAUAUUUCCACGCUUACGUUAUGAUUUCAUGAUUUCAAGUAAAUGUUUCAAAACUUUCAGGGAAACAUUUCACGUUUUCAAAUGUUUUUAUUCAUGCCUGAAUACUCCAUGGACCUAUUGUAUACAUGUGGUGUUAACUCCAUAUUGAUGGUACGAUUGACAAACCUAUUUUUAACUAUGGACCAUCAUGAAGGGUAUAUUAUUAUGCCUUAAAGGAAGAGGGUUAGCUAUCCAUCGACUGUUUUGUCUUCGUACCAGGGGGUAAAUAUUUCUCGUGGCUAUGGAGGACUGUCUUCGAAAAGCUGUGCAAAUGUUUCAAGUUCUAUGUUACAACUAUUUACUAAUAAGUGUAUUUAAGCGUCAGUUUUAUACUAAAAUGUUUUAUGAAACCUAUUUUAUAAAACUGUUGCUCACCAAGUCUUUUGACGUACUCUUUCAAAAAUGUUUUUUCCCUUUUCAAGUACAGAUUAUGGAUCUCUGCACGUUGAACAUACGACUUUCAGGCCAACUUAAUUUUUCAUCCAAGGAUGUUUUGUUUUAAGUAGUAUUGUGAUUGUUCAAAUAUUUUAUAACUUCAUGAUUUAUUUAAUUUCCAUGAUACAUUUUAUAAAGAUUUCUUAUGGGUUGUACUUCAUAUUUCAAAGUAUAAUUUAAAUGUUCAUGUUAAUAAAAUACUUACGAUGUUUAGAAGUUUUGCAUAUGAUCAUGUCAUGUGUCAGUUGAAGUUAUUUCAGAAGCAAAAAGAUUUGGGUGACAUCAUGUCACAUUUUUUCAGCACCAUUCAUCUCUUUCUUGUCUUUCUUUACUUUAGGAACAUGAAAAUCUUUAGUUUCUCUGUUGGCGAUGCUCAACUUCAUAUGAUGAGCUCGAGUUGCCACUCUUUAAAUGUGCGGGACUUUAUUCCCUACAAAAUAUAUAGGAGUCCCCAGUGCAUGUCUUAGGUGCACAUUUCUACAGUCGACAGUUCGGUGAGCCGAUCUUUACAGUCAAGACUUAGAGCUCUUCAUCGAUUGAUGUAGUCGAUGACUGGUUCUCCCUUUCUUUGUUUCGUUUUUCCUUUCUUUGUUUCGUGUUUGUAAGCUCCAUCAUGCUUACACUGCGCCUGGUACUGUAGAAGCUGUUGAGAAACUCCUUUUCCAAUUGAUCCCAACUGUUAAUGCUUUCUAGUUCUAGAUCAGUAUACCAUUCAAAAGCAUUUUCUUUCAAGCUUCGGACAAACUGUCUGACUAGUUGAUCUUCUCUCUGAUCCUACAUUCUUGGCAUGUUUCGACGAAGUGAGCAACAUGAUGUUUCAUAUUGCCCUUUCCAUCAAACUGGUGGAAUUUUGAAGGCUGGUAUCCAAGCGACAUUCUCAAGUUAUCAAUUCUUUUGGUGUACGGCUUAUAGUACAUGAAAGAAGUCUGAGAUGGGCCUUCAUACUAAGCUAUGAUGGAUUUGUGAUCAUAUCUUGUAAUUGUUGAAUUGAGAGAAAAGCCAGAGAAGUUGAUUAUUGUUGUGGUUGAUUUUCUUGCACCACGUUCUUCCUUUGUCACCAGCUUUAACAACAGAAGUUUGACUCGAUUUAGCAGUUUCGUGAGUCUGCAUCUACUCUUUUAAAGUUGUGAUUUCGUGGUCUCGUUCAUCAACAACCUUCAUCUGGAGAUUAAUUUUUCUCUCCAUCUCCGCCAUAGCAGCCUCGACGGUUACAUCAACCAUCAUGACAGACAUCACAUUAGGGUUUGCUUCUUUCUUUGACUUGCUAGAGGCAGAAUUAGAAUCAUUACAUAAAUAAUUUUCUUUUAUGACAAUCUCAGUUGUAGGAGAUUCCAUCAACUGGCUUAAGGAUGCUCUGCACGAUGGCGGAACCUCGAUCUUGCUCUUGAAUGAUCCUUUUAGAACGGCUACGGGUGACAAGUCCCAUGUAGGUGUCGCUUGCAAUAGAAGAUUUGGAUGCCGCUUUCUUUGAUGUCAUUGGUUUGCUUGUAGAUCUAGAUGACGAGAGAGAUAUGAGAGAUAGAUAUGGCCCCAUUGGGCGUGCCAAUUUGUUCGCACAAGAUUUCUAGAGAAAUUUGAUCCAUGGAGUUGAACUUGAGUUGAUGUUGUAUUUUGUUGAUUAGAUGCGAUGUGGUUCGAUCUCUAAAAUUUGAUCAUCUGAUUCUCUCUCGAUUGGAUGCUUAAGCUUGAUUUGGAGGAAGCGGAGCACGUGGUGUUCUUGAAAUUGGAGUCCUGGAAGAAAGCUUUUAUCUUCAAAGGAACUUCAAUCUUCGAGGAUGGUUAACUUUAGGAGCUAAGGAGUCUUCUAGUUCUUGUGAGAAUUCUCUAUGGACCUUUUGGAGUAAAAAAGUUUCAUCCCCUUACAAAUGAGGAGAACUCCUUUAUUUCUAGAGUUCUCUGGUGGGCUUUAUGACCUUGAGGCUGGUUGGUCCAUGGACCAGACCAUAGGCUCAAUCCCAUGUAUUUGUGUUAUAUUUAUUCUUUAGACUCAAUUAAGCUUAUUUUUUGACUUAAUUCAACUUAUUCAAAGUAAAUAAUAUUUAAUUGAACCAAAAUAAUUAACUUGAUCCAACAAUUAAGACGAAAACAUGUGAUAUUAUUAGAAUUAGCCAAUUUAUGUUUUCAAUUUUUAUUUUGGGGCAUAUGUCAAUUUUAAUUAGUCCUAAAUUCAAUUGUUUGCACUUUUCAUCAUUAAUUUAAUAAUGAUGUGGCAAUUUGUGAUUGCUCUCAAAAUUUCUUAUUCAACAUAACCAUUAAUAAUAAUAUUAUUAUUAUUCUCUCACCAAAAUAUAUAACAAACAUAUAUAUUUAUUUAAAUCAUUAUUCUCUCCCAAAUCAAAUAUAUCAUAUUUUCUCAUCCAAUCAAAUCAACAAUCUCUCUUCACAUUAAUUAUCUUAUUUUUCAACCAUUAUAAUUAUAUUUCAUCGUAUAAUUAACUUUAAUUUUUCAUAUUAAUUAUUUAUACAAAACCAAAUAGUUAAUAUCAUAUUCCACCAAAAUCCAAAUUCUUAAUUUAAAUAUAUAUAUAAUAUAUAUCCAUAUAUAUACUUAAUUAAUUACAAUGCCACCAAAACCAACUUUUCCUUUCAAGAUCCCAAAUUAAUUCAAAUCUUCUUUAAUAAAUCAAUUAUUUUAAAAUAUCAUAAAUUAUCUUAACCCCAUCAAUAUAACACCCAAAUAAUUUAAGAUAAUUAAUAAAAUCUUCUUAAAGAUUUGAGAUAUUACAUUUCUUUUUCCAAUAAUAUUAUUCCAAUAUAUAAUUAAUAAUUUUUCUUUUAAAUAAAUCAUAUUUCUUCACUUUUCCGAUUUACCCAAUCAUAAUAACUUCUCCCACAUUCAAUAUUUAUCUUUUCCCAUAAUAAUUAAUUUUUCACAAAUAAAAUUAUCUUUACUCCUUUUUAUAAUAAUUAUAUAUAUAACACAUAUUAUAUAUAAUUAUCAAAUCUCUAACAAAAUUUUGAUCGUUAACCAAAUUAUUUAAUUAAAUUCAAACUCAUCGACACAAAAAAUCUAAUUCUACUACUUAAUUAAAAAUUUAAUAAAAAAUAUUUAAUUAAUUAUAAUUUCAUAAAACCAUCCCUUCUAAAUUAAUAGUUUCAACCUAAUUAAAUAAAAUUAAAUUAAUAAUUUCAACGUAAAUAAAUAAAAUUAAGAUAAUUAAAUUUAAUAUUAGAUUAAUCAUUGGAUCGUUACAAAUGGAAAGUAUGAAAAAAAAAAUUAAAUUGAGACUUUCAUAACUAAGAAUAAUAAAAUAUAUUCUUUUGUUAUUUUAACUUGGCAUACAAAAUCAAAAUAUUGAAGCACGAAGACUAUGAAUGUAUAACCUUUCUCUUUCAUAACUUUUUUAUUAUUUCAUUGCAUAUUGAAUCAGAAGAAUUAGAUAUUGAUUAUUUUAGCAAGAUGGGAGUGUAACUCCACAUUGAGAGAUGACCCUUUUGGUGGCAGGAGAUUGUAAAUAAUACAAAAAUGUAGGAUUCUUUUUGUAUUCACAGUAACAUGAUUUAUCUUGUCGUAUCAUUUUGCAACAAGAUGAUGAUGGCGCUGUCGACGUAGUGUAUGCCAAUCGACAUACUAACAUGUUAUUUGGGUUACAUGACGAUGCCUUUACCAAUUGAGUUUCUUUUACAAAUGUCACAAAUAGCAACACCAAAAUGAAAAACCUGAUCAAAGAAAAAGCGUUCUUCAUUUUGGAGAACUAUUAAAGGACACUAAUACGUAUGUGAGAAAGCAAUUAGAUCGUACCGACUAAAUGAUUCAACAAUUAUUUUAUAGACUCCUUUCGUGAAAUUGUUUUUCUUUUUAAGGAAAAGUAUUAGUUAAGUUUGUUUUGUUAUUUAUGAGCUAUGAACGUUUUUGGAGUAUUUGUUAAUUUUAAAUUAGCUUAUUAUAGUUUGUUGGUUUUAAAGGUUGUAAAUUUGUUAAAUGGUCUUAGCUAAUAUUUGCUCUACAUUUUAACACUUCUUGAGGAAACCUUUCUUAGUUAAAAACCGUUCUAAAUGUUCUUUCUUUCUUCUAUCGUGACAGCUAGUUAUAACGCAUUUAAUUAGCAACAUUAAGGAUUUUGAUUUUGAAUAAUAUGAGGAAUUAUAAAAAAAAAAAACCAAAGAUAAACCAAUUAAGAAAGAAAGUUUUUCGGAUUGCCUUUUUAAAAAUUGAGUUUUACAACAAAAUGGGGUAUGAAAAUCCAAACUAUUCUUAUGUGAAAAUUUUAUUUUCUUCUUCUUUUUCCCUAAAAAAAGAACAUUAAAAAAAUCCAUUUUUUUUCAAACUUCUCUCUAAUAACUCUCUUGCCCUUUCAUAAAACUUUUAGUCACUCUUCAAGAAGAGUUCUUGCUAUUAUUGGUAAGUGUUUAUGUUAUUUUUUAUUGGUAUUGUUAUAGAUAACCUUCUUACGUUAAACGUUUAAGCCUUGAAUGUAUAACCCAAAAUCAAUUUUUGUAAUUGUUCUAAAAUGAUGGUUGUUUAAUGCAUAUUUAACUAAUUUUUUGUUAUUUUUUUUCAAACAUCUCAUUGAUAUCUCGAUAUUUGGCAAACAUCUUGUGGAUUAAAUAUAUAAAUCCAAAUUUGAAUUUAUAUAUUUAUGUUAUAUUUUUGUUGCUUAAUACAUGUUUAUGUUUUAAUUUUUUUGCUUAAUAUAUGUUUAUGUUUUAAUUUAAUCCAAAUUUGAAUCAUAUCUAUAUAAAAAAAUUUCAUAAUCUACCGUUUUAAUGUGUAUCAUGUAAGCAUUAAAUUUUAAUCUAUAGUUUUAAUAUGAAUCUAAUUCACAUUAAUUUAAAAUAUGAACUAAUUCAAAUAUAUUUUUUUCUCAUUAAUUUGAAUCAUCUUUAUAUCAUCGUAAUACAAUUUCUCCAAGUAAAUUUGAACAUUUCAAAUAACAUCCAUUAUAGUUUAGAUAUUUGUAAAAUUAUCUUUAAGGUUUGUAAUUUUGCAAAUAUAGCAAAAAUAAUCAAAUCCACAAUUUUAUAUUUUGUAAUUUCAAUUUUAACCUUCUUUUUCUUAUGGAACAUCUUAGUUUCCAAUCACACGACUACUCUAAAUUCGAUUGAAAUAGUAAAAAGUGGUAAAAUAGUGAUCCUACCAUUUUCCUUUCUAUUACUUUAUUAUUUUUGUUAUUUAUAUGUUUUUCCAUUUUCUUUCAAAUUAAAAACAAAAGCAGAUUUUUUUUUUUAUUUACCUUUACAAACGUUUUGUUCAAUUUCAAGUAACAUUAGCUUCAAUCUAAUACAUAAUGAUUGUCCAUAUAAGAAAUUUAACUUCAUAUGUUAUUGUUCUCUACUUUAUUUGAUGUGAAUUUUGGAGUUGAGUUAAUUGUAUUAAUCUUGAUUUUAGAAUAUCAAAGUUACAUUAAUUGUAAUAAGAAAUAUAAUGGUUAUUGACCAGACUAAUUUAACUUCGUUUAUGAUUGUUCUCUAUUUUUUCAAUGUGUAUUUUGACAGAGUUGAAUCUAAUUUCAAAUUAUUUUGUUUUAUUUUUAUAUGUUGGUUCUGUUUUGGUUUUAUUUUUGUAUCGGUUUUGUAUAUUAGUGUAGUGAUGUACUUAUAUGUAUUAGUUAGUUGAUAUACUUACUACGUGAUUUUUAUUUUUUUCAAAUUUUAUUCAGUUUAUUGUAGUAUUAUUAACUAUAUGAAUUAUAUAAUCCAAUGUAUCAUUAUCAAGUCUAUUAGUAAAGUAUAUUAGCAUAUUUGUAAAGUGAAUCAUUAUCAAAUAUAUCAAUUAAGUUUACAAGCGUAUAGGAGUAGUGUAUUAAGUGUAUCAGUAGGACUUCAAGCAUAUCAAGUGUAUUUAACCAAUCGAAUGUAUUAGUAAAGAAUAUUAAGUGUAUCUAUAGUACAUUGGAUGUAUCAAAACAUAUCACAUGUUUCAAGCGUAUCAAAUUUGUUGAGUGUAUCAGUGAAGCAUAACAAGUUUAGUAGCAGUGCAUCAAGUGUAUCGAACUUAUCAGUGAUGCAUUUAAGUGUAUCAAACUAAUCAAGUGUGUCAAGGCCUAAGAGAUAUCAAGUGUAUCAAGAAGAAUCAAGUGUAACAAGAAAUAUUAUGUGUAUCAAGAUGUUUUAGAUGUAUAUCAAAAGAUAUCGAGUGUAUCAAAGAGAAUCAUGUGUAUCAAGUGUAUCUAUCAAAUGUAUCAAGUGUAUUAAGAAGUAUCAAGUGUAUUAAGGAUAUUAGGUGUAUCAGAUGUAUAUAAGGUGUAUCAAAUACAUAUUAGUAACGAAGACAUUUGUGACAUUAUACAUCUUAUAUGUGUGGGUUGGGCUUUGUUUUUGCCAUCUCUGCAAACAAUAAAGUAUGUGUGUCAUGAACUUAAUUAUUAUAAUUUGUUUUGCCUUUUUUGUUUUUGCAAGUGUCUAUAUAUUUUAACCCCAUUACUCUUUACGAGCUAGGAAAGAGACCUAAUGAACCUACAAAUCAUAAGUUAAAACAAUAUGUGAUUAAUUGACUAAACUCAUUAACCACAUUAAUUAAUAUUUGUUAGUUGUGUGCAUGCUUGCCAAAAACUUGAUUUUUUUGGUUUGGACUUAGGGAUAAUGUUGUGUGUGUUUGUAUCUAAUUCUACGUGUGAGUCAUUGCAUGUUAGAUGCUCACUAUGUAUCUCUUCAUCAUGUAAUUACUAAGUUCUCGUUGAGUACAAGUUUUUACUAUUGCUUGUUCAAAUAUAAGCGGAACAAUAGGUUUCCUAGUAUCGAACAAAGGGAGUUGAUAUCAAAGCUUAGUUUUAGAGUUUACUCUUCAUUUGGAUGAUAUAAAAGAAUUAUCUAUACAGUGGUAACGUGUAAGUUUAUACUAUAUCUACUUAUCUACACUAAAAAUAUGUAAAGGGAAUUAGGAUGGAAGUGAGAUGGACAUGUGAACUAACUUGUUAAAGAAAGUGUGAAUGAAGGUCUCUAUAUAUUAGGCAAUUAAGCUAUGUGAUAGUCAUGAUGUGAUAGAUCUCAAUUAACUAGCUUAUGAUUAAGGUAAGCAUCUCUGGGUGUCUUAAACGCCACACUUGCUCGCCUCUUGGAAUGCAAAUGACUAAGCUUGGUUAAGCAAGGUAUAUCUAUAAGAUUUUCCUUACAAAAGUUAUAAAGCUUUUCUUAUAAGGGUGAUAACCUCUCCGUGUCAAACACCCAUACUUGUUCUCCUUUCGAGACACAAAUGAUGGAAGUUAUCUCGUAAGGUGGAGUUUGUCUCCAAACUCCUCCUUGUGCUCAUUAGCCAUGUAACGAUCCAACUUUUCUAACUAAGUCGAAGUCAUUAAUUUUGACAAAGAGACCUUGAUUGUCACAAAAUAUAGUAAAAUUCAUUUGAAAUCAUACGAUCAAAGAAAACAACCUUAAGUCGGGCCCUAUGUCAAAUAGCCAAAACUUUAAAAGUAUUGUUUACAAAACAACCAUUCAUAAACUCGGUUCCAUCACAAAAUUUUUAAACAACCUCAUGUACUAAGAAAAACAGGAAAAACAUAAGCAGAAGCAUUUGAAGGACAUUCCCCUAUGACAAUCACGUCUCCUUAUUGUCCCUCGUUGGUCUACCUCCUUUGUUACCUUUGCCUGAAAUAGUUAAACAUCAAAGGGUGAGUAUAAACAUACCCAGUAAGAGACUCAUUACUGGUCUCGUUAGGGGAAAAAUAAACUAUUAACUUCCUGUGGAGUACCCUGCACAGUUUAGGGAUAACAUACAGUCAACAUAUUCUUCUUUAUAGGUGAGUCCAUUUGUAGAAAAUCUCUUUCUAAUACAUAAUCCGAUCUUAGCGUAACGAUUUCUCAAAUAGAUAAACUCAUACAUAAGUGUCACUCAUCUCAGUUCAGUUAAUCCAGUCAAACGUACACCGUCCAUUCUUUAACAUAACAGUCAAUCAUCAUCAGUUCAGUCAACAAACAUUUUUAAUUUAGUCAAUCCAUCAACACACUUAAAACUACUUUAAGCAAUUAAGUUUCUUAAAACAUAUCAACCUACACUUAGCAGUCAUAUCCUUUAAGUCAUUCAAGUCCAUGCAUAACAGCCAAAUCGUUUUAAUCAUUAAAAUCCACAUAUGGGUCCAGUAGAAAGUCCCUUAUCUGUACGUUACCUAAGGUUCUUAAUCGAACCAAAGUCCCACAAAGAAGACCAAGCUAAUGGCGAAUCGAACUCCAACAAAUCUACAAUUUGAUUGUGAAUCCAAAGAACUCAACGUUACUUUCAACACCUUCAAGAACCAAUUAACAAUUUAACCAAUUAAUCCAACCAUAACACUGGAAUUAGUUUUGAAACAACUACAACCCAUAACUUAAAUUUCUUUACCAACAAAACUUCGACGAAUCUUAGUAAAAUAGGUGCAGCGACAAUCGAACCUAAACAAAAAAAAUCAUGUGAACAAAUCAGAGUGUAAGUCGGCUUGCGAUUCGCGUUGGGAGACGAAGAGUCAUGCGACAAACGUUUCGACGGACACGAUGGCUCAGAUCUGGAUGACGUCGAGCUUCGAUUGAUUUGCAGCUUCGACAAAAAUGACAGAAAUGAAGAAGACGGUUUGACCGGCGACGUUCCUCAACACCUGAAGCAGAGACGCGGCGGCGCAAAAUGGUUGGCAGACGACGCGGUGGCGCAGACGGCUGGCAGACAAAGAUGUGGCACGACACCUUGCAGCUGCAGUGGCGAAGCUUCAGUCGUAGAUGAACGCUCCGACUUUAGCUCAACUACGUGAACAGAGAUCGGCGCGGGCGAAAUUAAACGAAGGCGCGAUGGCUGCGGAUGGAGAGGCGGUGUGGCUCGACUGGGUUUCGUCGGACGGGAAAGAGAAGGGGAAGGGACUGCGGGCUAGGGUAAGGAGGAAGAGGAAGAGAAGAAAAGAGGAAGAAGAAGAAAGGAACCUAAUGGACCUACAGAUCAGAAGCUACAACGAUAUGAGAUUAAUUGGCUAAACUCAUUAACCACAUUAAUCAAUAUUCGUUAACUGCAUGUACACUCCACUAAAGACUCACAGCUGAACUCUUCUCACUGUAGAUAUAUUUCUAUGUCCACGGAUAUAGACUAAUAACAGUAAGUUAGUCAUUCACGAGUGUUCGUAACAUCAGCUGGGUCAAUUUAUUGUUUUACCUUGGGUUACCUCUAAUCCUUAAAUAUCAGUGUUCAUCCAAUGAACAACCUAUUUAUGGUCCUACCAAUAAACAGAAACCUCGCUCGUGCCAUAGAAAUGGUAGGGCCAUAGAAAGGGUAGGGCCCUUUGUUCAAGACCUUAAGACACCAUUUACAGGAACACUCAUCUACUUACCCUAAAGUAGGGAAGGAGUGAAUUCUAUCUUGUGUAAUUAUGUUCCCAGCUCUCUACUCGGUUUUGUCCCCAAAAUGAUAAGCUUAUUGAGUCGGCGAUCUGGUCACUUUCACUCGUACAAAUCAAAGGACAAUCUCUCGCGAACAGGAGUUCAUAACACACUUAGGAUUAAGACUAAGUUACCUAGGUCAUCCUAGUUAAAUAUAAAUCUAACUAGUUAACGGAGUUAUAUCUAGUGGUUACUAUUUCGCGGUCCGGUCUUAUGCAAACUCAUUGCAUAGGAUACUCUCACUCGCAUGUCAACUACAUGAAUGCGUUGGAUCAUUGCGUUUGUACCAAAUACAAAGUGAGGCGUAUCAAUAGUGUUACCAGGAUAAGGUACCCAGCCUUAUCCCUAUACUAUAGACCCUUUAAGCUGAUCUUGAACAUUGAUCUCUGUAUGUCUCUAUAUACUGUUCAAGACUCAUUAAACAACUUAUGAUGUUAGUUUAUUGGAUUUGGGUUAUUAAGACAAAACUAAUAAUUUAAUCAAUAACAAUUAUUACAAUAAUAACACUUUAUUAAUAACGGUCAGUGAAUUAUAUUUACAAUCUACAAGUUUUAGGACAUAAAUUCCAACAGAAUGAUCACCUUCUAAGCCUCUAAAAUAGCAAAAUGGAGUGAAGAAGGGAAGAGGAGGCCAAAUCAAAUAGGAAACCUUAAGAAAUAGUCUGACUAAACCCUUGGCAUUCCUUAAACCAUUCAGAUAAGAUGAAGAAUAGAUAAAACCAUCCAAGCCACACCUCAAAGCCACUAAAUUACUGGCAUGCACAUGACUAAAUCUUUUAUAAACCCUAGCAUAAUUAACCAACCAUUAAGAAAACUUCCUUGAAUUGGCUUUUUCAAACCCCAGUUUGGCCAAACCCAUUAAACCCAUCCUGCUAUCAAUUCGUUUAUAACCAAAUCAGCCUAGACUCACUAAAUCAAUCCUAAUCAACCCAUGUCAAACACUCACAAAAGUAGUACCCUCAAGCCUAACCACAAGCUUAGCCUUAGAAGACCUAAACCUAGCCCCUACUAGUCCACAACUUAGCAAUUUGAGCCAAUCGUCAUUGUCCAACCUAACUAGUUGGUCCAACAUAACAGUCAACGUUUUAAAGAACCCCAAUGAGCUUCUUCUUCCUCUCUAGUUGAUCAACUACCUCCCUCAACAGCAAAGCAUUACUAAAACCCACAUCCUCCUUAAUAGCAGCAAGCCCUUCCCUCUAGCUCCCUAAAGACAAAAGGGCCACUAAAGGGGAAAACACGCCCUCUCUUGAUGCAAUUGUUGGAUCUCAAAAUAGAAUGUGUGGAUUUUAAACCAUGAAAUUGAAAUCCUAGAUGUUGGACAUCUUGAAAUGGAAAUUGGACGUCUAAAGUACGCGGCCAAGAACUCUUCUCCUAGGAUUUGGACGUCUAGACCUAGUCCCCUAGAGUACUUCAUCUCGUAGAAUCUAGACGUAUUGAAUUUUGACAUCUAGGAUUUGAACGCCUCAGGUAUGCGUCCAAAGCUGCAAAAUAGAAACUUGUGACAAUGAAUGAGUCAUGGUUGACACUAUCGGUAAGACAUUUAACGACUUUACCUAAAAUGCAAAAUAUUUGUAAUUGCCAAGCCGUUCCUAGGUAAAACAGUCAAUUUGAACGAAACUGCACCAAGAUGAACUGGUGUACCAAGAUCCUUCAAAAUAUCCUCGAGAAACAAAGAAAUAAAAAUAAAAAACAAAGGAAGAGAGAGUUUGUUAUGUGUUUCUUCUGAUGUGUUGGCUGAAAUGAAACCAAAUGAAGACGUACAUAGUGUGAACGACUAACAAAAUGUAAAAGAAAUUGUUCAACGGCUGUAGAUUAAUAGAAAGAGUUUGGGGGCAAGUGAAGUGGCUAUUAAUGAGAAAAAAAUGUAUGAAACGGCCGACUAGACAAUGAUAAAAAAAUCAUUGUGCGGCUAAAUAAUUUUGCACCUAAUUCAGUGGAUAACAUUAGUAGAUAAAUACUUCAAUAGUUUGUGUUAGAUUAUUUAAUUAAAUUAAUUUUCUAAAUGCAAUAUUUCAGGUGAGUGGUUAAAAACAUAUAUUUUAUACGAUAUUUACGUAGAUGUCAAAUAUUUGAACCUUUCAACUCUCACUCUAUAUUCCUAGUCUAGAGUCAUUGCAAUAUUUGUCUUAACAUAAACAUAACAGAAAUUCUUAUGAUUAAAAAAAAAGUUAAGAAAAAUUUGACAAAUUUUGGUAUGUUUUUAAAUAGUUUUAAUUUUAUUUUUUUUGUUAUAUUUAAAAAUAUUUCUAAACAUAAUUCAUUUAAUUUAUGUCUCAUCAACGUUCCUCCUUCACUUCUCUAUGUUGUUGAGCUCUAAGAUAUUUUCUCACCAAUAUGUAUCAUACCUCAAUUUAUCACAUCAUCUAACUUCACCAAAAGCUCAUUGUUGGUACUGAAAUAUUGUUGAAGUGUUGAAAAAGAACUAAAUAAAAGAAAGAAAAGAAGAUAACAAGAAUCAAAAGUGUAGAGUUUAUUCAUGACGAGAAAAAGAAAAGGAGAAACCCCAAAAAGAAAAAUCAAUUAGUUUUCUUAUCCAUGUUCCCUAUGAGUUGCUUCAUUUGAAAUCUCCAAAACAAGAAAUAAGCCAAUCCAAACCCAACCAAUACAUAUAUCCAAACCCUUUCGUCUUCACUCUCUUUGGGAGACCUCAUUUCCUCAAUACCAAACAUCUCCCUUCCCAAAUUACCAUUUAACCCCUCAUUCACAUACCCAUUCAAUACAUACACUCUCCCCUCAUUCCCUACAGCUACAGCAGUAGCAAACUUCUCUUCAUCAAGGUCAAUUUCGUCAUAAACCACUCCCUCCCCCCAACUAUCCUCACUCUUCAAGAACCACAGCUUCCUAUACGACACCACCAAAACGACGCCGUCUUUCCUCGCCGCUAUCCCGUCCGCCCCUUUCAAUUCUUUGUUUAGCAAAACCAACCUCGCCGUUCCGUCAUCGGCGUCCACUUUGAACAUCUUUCCGGUGUUCGAUUGCACCACCAGAAGGUACCCUUUGCUUACGUAAACGGCGCCGUUUAGCCCUGAGGACGAGUACACUUCGUUCGGAGUUGCGGGAUAGGAACUGUAACUCGCGGAUUUCGAGAAGAUCGAGGCGGAUCCGUCUUUGUCUACCUUCCAGAUGAAGUUUCCGCCGGAGUUCGUGAUGAAAGCGUUACCCUUGAAAUCAACCGCGACGGCGUUCGCGACGGGGCGAUGACCGGAGGUUCCAUCGGAAGGGAGAGGUGUUAAGGAGAUGCGAUGGCGAGAUCGGAGGUCGUAGGAGGCGAGGGCAUUGAAUUCUGGGAGAGGUGGGGCGUGGACGGCGGCGAGGAGGCGGCUGUUGACGGAAUCGAUGGCAAGGCCUAAGAUCGAGGCGUUUUCGGGGAGGCUGGGAUCGCGGAUAAGAGUUUCGGCGACGCCGGCGUCGGAGACGGAGACGAGAGUGCGUUGGUGGAGUGAGCCGACGACGAAAUGCUGGGCUGAUGUGUCCCAAACGAGGCCCUCCGGGUAGAGAUUUGGGGAUCGGAAAUCGAUAAGGUGGGGCUUUCGAGCUAGGGUUUGGGAGAGGAACAAUUGGAGGAAGACGAAUAGGAGAAUUGGAGAGCGAUUAACGGGCGCCAUGGGAUUGAUUUGAGAUUAGUUUUGAUGGACUAGUGAAAUGAGAAAGGAAUGUAUAUUAUAAGAACGAAGCUGGAGAACCGAUUCAUUGAAGAAUAAGAACAACAAAGCGAAGAGGAAAUGGAUUUCUUGUCAAAGGGGCUGGGUUCUACUUUCUUAAUUUUAUUUAUAAAGUUAAGCUUUAAUUAAUACAUCAAGUCAAACCUUUGAGAUACAUAAAUGAAAAUUGACCAAAAGAGACCUUCUUAUCCAAGCAAAUUUACUAUUAUGUACGCUCUCCUACCGACCUAUACAUUGAUUGUCACACCCCUAAUUAGGGGUACACUCCUAACUAGGGUUGAUAUUGGGUUGGGUUGAAUUGAGAGACAUUCUCAAUCCAACUCAUAUUUUCUAUUUAUUUGGAUUGACAACUUGAAUAAUCCGAAUUUAGUUUCCAACCCGUAGAAUAUGGAUUGGAUUGGGUUGUGGGGUUAGAUAUAAGAUUCAUCUUCGGUCUUGUUGUAUGGGGUUUGGAUGGAAAAGAUGCAUCUCGAAUCUGAGACGGAGGAAGAGACGUCAGAUCGAAUCUAAGACGGAGGAAGAGACGUCAGAUCGAAUCUAAGACGGAGGAGAUGCGAAGAUUGAAAUCGAAGAUGGAUAAGUUUUGUCAUCUUGGGUUCGAAUGAAAUAGAUGUGUCUCGAAUUUGACACAGAGACGUCAAGACGGAUGGAUUUUGUCUAAUAGGGUUGGGACGAAAUGGAUGCGUCUUGAAUCUGAGAUGGAGGAGGAACAUUGGAAUAGAGGAGGAGACGCCAGAGGUUGCACGAGGGAGAGGCGGAGGGAUGCAAAAUGAAAUUGCACCCUAAAAGAAACCUAAUUAUUUUUUAUUAAAUAAUAUAUAUAUAAUAAUUAUUGUUAUUAUUUAAUUCGGGUUGGAUUGGGUUGAACCGAAUUGUUCAACCCUCCAACCCAAGACCCAACCCAACCCGAAAAAAUCAAAUUUCUUUAACCCAACCCAACUCAUAUUUUAAAUCAACUCAACUCAACCCUUAUAAUAUGGGUUGGGUAGUUCGAGUUAUUUGGGUUCAACCCAUCUUCUUACACCUCUACUACUAACAUUUAAAAAUUCUUCGAGUUUAUAAAAUAAAUAAAUAAUUAAGGAGUUUUUUAAAAAAUAUAACAAAGUGACAAAAUAUUUACACUAUAUAAAACAAUUUCGAAAACGAAAAAAGCCCAUAGGCCCCGAUGCGAAAUUCCAAAAAUUCUCCCGUCAACACGUGAUUAAUUGGCAACACUCGCACGUAUUCUUUUUCUAAACGAUCAUGAUACACGAUCGUGUAGAUAAUGAUACACAUCGUGUAAACAAUGGUGCACGAUCGUGCAGGUAGUAUCAACACUAGUCACACGAACGCUUGUCAUUCUUCUUCUAAAUAAUCGUGAACUAAGAUCGUUUAGAUAUGGUUACAUGAUCACGUACUAAAAGCUAAACGGUCAUGUAUACAAUCUGAACGAACGAUCUUGGUUCAUGAUCGUGUACCAAGAUCUUUUAUAUUUGGUACAAGAUCUUGAACCAAGAUCGUUUAGAUAUUGGUACACGAUUGUGAAUUAAAAGUAACAUUCGUAUAUAAAAUCUAAACAAUCUUGGUUACGAUCGUCUAUCAAGAGCUCAAUAAUUGUGUACCAAAAGAUCUUGAACCAAGAUCGUUUAGAUAUUGGUACACGAUUGUGAAUUAAAAGUAACAUUCGUAUAUAAAAUCUAAACAAUCUUGGUUACGAUCGUCUAUCAAGAGCUCAACGAUUGUGUACCAAAAGCUAAACGAUCGUAUAUUUAUCACAUGUGCCUUAUCUAGAUGAUACAAAAUUUCACACUCAUAGUCUUUCACUGGCUCUAGUAAUCUAUGUUGUCUCAUAUUUAACUCCUUCUAGAUGAAGAAGCACGUCAAGCUCUUGAGGCAUAUGAAAAUUUGUACCUUCUCUCCGUGUAAGUGGUGCUUCAAGUCUUUAGAGCAAAUGCUAAUGCUGUCUACAAAGUCUUAUUAUUUAAUUAACAAAUUAAAGGAUAAUUAAUUUAAUUAAAUAUCUCAUAUUUCGUCAAUAAAAAAUUGAAUCAUAUUCAAAUGCAUAUUUCUCUUUUACCCUACGAUUUUAAUAUAAAUAUCGUUCAUAUUAAUAUAUAACAUAUAGUCUAGUAUACAUCUCAUUCAUAUUAACUUAAUACAGAUUAAUUCUUCCAUGUUAUAUAAUUUAAAUUUGAAUCAUUUUCAUAAUUUACCAUAUAAGUUACCAUUGUCAUGUUUCAUUUGGAACCUCUUGAUUGCAAGGAUGGAUACACAAAUGAGGUUCAAAUUAAACGCUUCGCUGAUGCUAUUAUAUUAGGAAAACCCAUAUGACCAAUUCUAUUUUUGGAUUUUUGUUACUCAUGAAUUAGCUUCCCAUGCUCAUAUUGGUUAGAAUUAUGGUGUGUGACUUGAAAACCACAUUAGAUGAGGAUUAUGCUUUCCACUUCACAAGUUCUUUUGUUUGUGCUAAAAAAACUCCCUAAAUUUAUUUAUAAUAUUUUUAUGGAACAAAUAUCAAUUUAAACCCUAAAAUUCAUGGGUCAUGUUAAUUUAAAUUGGAUGAUAUUAUCAACCCAAUCCAACCCAUAUUUUUAGAUUGUCGAACACAAUAACUCGAAUUAAGUUUACAACUAAAUCACUAAAAUAUGGAUUGAGGUGGGUUGUGGAGUUUGUAUUGUUUUUUUAUUAUUAUUUUUAAAUUCUAGUGUAUGUAAAAUUUAAAAUUGUUCCUUUUGAAAACAAAAAGUAUCAAAUUGUUGUACUCUGAAAGUUUCAAACCUCCCUUAAAAUAUAAUUGCAGAUUUCAAGAUCUGGUAUACUAUAAUCUCCAAUUCUCCGUAUAUAGCCCAUCAAAAUAUUGGCCUGCCUCCAGAUUAUUAAGCUUUAGCCAUACCUCUAACAUUAAAGUUUAACUUUUGCAUAGUAAACAAUUUUAGUAUACCAAUCAGUUAGCCGUUGGAAGGAGAAUCAGAGGGAGAGAGCCAAAAGCUAGGGAGACGACGCGAUGUGAGAUGAAGAGGGAGACGACAUGAUGAAGAAGGAGAUUGCACGAUGAAGAGAAGAGGGAGACGAAUGAGAACGACGAUAAUGAGAAGAGGGAGACGACUGAGAACGACGAUAAAGAGAAGAGGGAGAUGAGUCAAACAACUGAGAAGUGUGAAGAAGAAGAAAUUAAGAAGAGGAGAUGUAGGACUGAAAAGUGAGAAACUAAGAAGAGGAGACAAAUGGCACAAGAGGAAGAGAUUGAGAAGAGGAGGAGACGCACAACUUGAACCUAAUGUUUUAACUUUUAUUAAAUAAAUAAUAUAAACAUUACAUUAAUUUGGGUUGGGCUGGUUUGACUCAAAAUUUUCAACACUCCAACCCGAGAUCCCACCCAACCCUUAGUACAUUUUAAACUAACCCAACUCAACCCAUAUAAUAUGGGUUGUGUAGUGUGGGUUAUUCAUUGUAUUUUCACACCCCUAAUUGGCAUGUAUCAUUGAGUCGAGACAAAAUUACCUGUGUAAAUGUGGUCCUUUAUUCUCCAUAAACAUGUCUCUAAACUAACUUUACCUUUUGACACUUAGGAGGCAUUUGGAGGAAGGAUUGAUUUUUGGUAAGGUUAGCAUUAUGAUAAUCUCACUAUUAUAAUAGUCCUUAUGUUAUGAUAAUAUGCGAUUUUGGGAAAAGAGUAUGAUAGAUAGUGUUAUGAUAUUUUUUUCUCAAAUAUAUAAUAUAGAUCCAAUACACAAAUUUCAUAAAUUUAUUUUAUCAAAUAAUCUUACUUUUCUUAAAAUCAUUUGCCUUAAUUUUCUUACUUACAAUGUUCAUUUCAUAAAUUUUGUUAUUAAAACAUUAUGUUUCACCCUUAUUUUUUAGCAUACACAUGUAACUCAUAAACAUGUAAACAAAACCACUGUUAUUAAAAUUGCUUACAUACGAUUCUUAUGUCAUACCCCAAACCAUACUACGAUGAUAACGUAGUAGAAAUAAGGUGCAGUUUGUUACGAUCUUGAAAUUUCUUAUUGCAAAAUCAUAUUCUCAACUCCUUUUAAACUAUCAACAAAACUCAAAACGCAAACGGUGGUCAACCUAAAUGCCAAGUAUAAUAAAUACAUACCAAAACGUAUACUUUAUUAAUAACAUACGUUUGAUACAUAAUUACAACACUUUGACCAAAUAACUAAUGUUUAACUAUUUCCAAAACAUCUGGAGUCAUCUCGCUGCAAAUCAUUCAACCUUCUUUUCUACUUGGCCUAAACGCCUGAUCUUGGAAGAUGAGAUUCUUAAAACGUAAGUCUAAAUGACUUAGUGAGAUUUUAUGAAAUCAUUUUCACAAUGCCCUUUGAUAAAUCAUUUUCAUCAAAUCAUAAAUAAUAAUACAAAUCAGUUUAUCAAUUAAACACUUUAUUUUGCAAAACAUGUCAAAACGCAUGUAAUCAUUUUCAUAAUAGAAUUAAAUCAUCUCGCAAACCAUAUCAAUAUACAUUUGCAUAAACACCAAUUCGCAUAACACAUCUUUCUCACAUAAUAUAAAUCAUUUCAAACAAACACACAUUAGUUAAUUAUUUUUUUCACAAGUCCCAAAUCGUUUUCUACGCCUUGGUCUCAUUAUCUAACAUUUAGACUACUGUAUCAACAACAUCCAAGAACAUACAAAUUCGCCAUUGUUGCUCAAGCCACUAAGCUUUAUACGCUUCUUUCAAUGCAUAAGCCAACUACUUAUCACCAUGUAGCCCGUACAUCCCAUGGUGGUCUUGGCUCUUUAUGUGAACAUAAAAGUUAGCAUCAUCUCAAGAAAUCAACUAAUGUUUUGAAAACCAUUUUAUAGUAUGAAAAUCAUAAUCAUCAAAUCAAGCUUUAACAUUACAAAUCAUGUUUGAAAACAUAUAAAUUUUUCAUAGAAUUCUCUUUUGAAACACUUUUCAUUUGAAUUCUUCUUUCAAAUCAGUAAAGAGAUAUCAUGAUAAAGUUUUUAACAUAAAUUUAUUUGAGAGAAAAUAGUCACGAAGCUUUGAAAGAAAGCACUCACUACCAAAAAUCCUCAUCUUCCUUCUCUUUUCGUGGAGCCUUCUCGUAAAACAAUCAUCAUACUUAGCACUUUAUUUUUCUUCUUUCCGCCAAAGCCAAACGACAACAUUUUAGCUCUCUUUUUUUAAAAUAAAAUCUUUUUGUGUUUACUUAAUGACCAAGUCUUCCAUUUAUAUAGCUCUUAAACUAUCUUAAUCAUGCUUAAACUUUUCUUAGUUUGCCAGCUCUUGCUUAAAACUUUACACGUGUAAAUUUAAUACUUAGCUCAAUCAUGCUUAACUCCUUAAUAUUACACGUUAAUCCUUGUCAAAUAAAUUGACAUUUUUUCGUCAAACCUUAGUUCUUGUCUAACUUCAUACCGCAAAUAACUUUAACCACUUAACACUUCUCACGAAUAACCUUAUUGUAUUGUUAUAUUUUUACUACAAGAAACAUUCCUCGCAAACUAACCAACUUUUACUGGCUUAGAACACUUAUCGCGAACUUAAACUUCAAGGCUUUCUCGCAAACUUCUUCAUCACGAAACCCUUGGUUUUUAUCGCGAAGACUACCCAAAUGCCUAGUCGUUUUAGUCAAAACUUCACUUCUUAACUUACGUGAAAACUUUAUGUAGAACAAGAAAUUUCAGUCAAUUAAAUUUCGCCAUGCCAGCACAACAAAAUUGUGAUGAUUAUAAUUUGAUUGGAUCUGGUUAGUCAAGUUUUUCCAUAUUCAACCCAAUUCAAGCCCUGAUGAAAAAUUGGACCAAACAAGAGGGCCCGAGCCCGCCAAGAAAGUGGGCCCAAGUCCAAGUUCAAGCCCAAGCCCAAUAAGACAAAUGAGUCCAAGCCUAAGCCCAUCAAGCAAAUGGGUCCAAGCCCACUUAAAACCCAUGAAAUUUCUCUAUAAAUAGAGACUUUUGCCACUCAUUUGAGGAGGUCUUUGGUUGAAAGAAGAAUUGAAGCUCUAAAGUAAUGAACCUAUGAAGAAUUGAAGAUUCAAACUCCUACAAACUCUUUAGACGUUCAAGUUCGUAUCAACAUCUUCUAAAUGAUUGAAGACUUGGAAGAUUGGAAGAUUAAACUUUCAUUUGAUUCCAGAAGAUCGAAGUUCAAAUCGAUAUGUAACUACAACAUCCUGAUGACCAAAGAUCGAAGACCAAGAAGUUCUAAAUUUUUUAUAUUGUAUUCAAGAGAAAGCAUCAAAGGAGUAAAUACUAGAGAUUGUAUUCACAAUAUUCAUCAAUAUAUUAAAGUUUAAUUCCACGAAAUACAUUUCUUCGAAAUCUCAUGUGAACAUUUUCUUUUGAGAGUGUUUAGACUUAUACAUUCUAUACAAACCCUUCUUUUCUCAAAACUUCCUCACGAAUUAACUUCUUAAUCACAAAACUUAUACUUAACCAUAAAAGAUUUUAUCGCUUAAUCUUUUUUGUGGAUUUAUUCAAACGCCAACUUCUUUAAUAUUUAAUCGAAUUUUACUUCCUAUACUCAAAUUAAAAACGGGUUUUACAUCUUACUCGAUUAAAUUUUGACCUAACUCGACACAUUGCAUACAACAACAACUUAGGUUAUUUUGCGACAUCUUAAUUGAAGCAUAUAUCGAUAGUAUUCGUAACUUUGGUAGUAAGACAAUGCAAAUAACAUUCUAAAUACAAAUUUCCUGAAACAUAACUUCAUUAAUACAAUAAUAACUAAAAAGUGUCUAGGUCUAAUUGCUUUUGUUCUAAAGCAUCAUUGUUUUUACUUUUGUCAAAAUGUUAGCACAAAAAAUGAGUAUAAAAAUCUACAUUACAUCUAAACAUUUUUUCCUUUCAACCACGUACUAAUGAUAAAUAUUUUUAACAUUUAAAAAAGUUUCAUGGAUAUUAAUAUAACUUAAAUAUUUUUAAAAACAAAAUAGAGUAAGUACUAAUUUUUGUAAAAAAAAAAAAACAAUAAAAUUCAGGACAAUUUUCUAUAAUGAGUUAGAAAACAGUAUGUAAAAGAACUCUCUUAUCAUAGAUUAAUUUAAUUGAGAAAGAAAAAAAGAGAAAGGAAAAAGAGUGAAGAGUUUGGGAGAUAAGGAAAGAAGUUUGGGGGACUAAAUAACAAACAGCCACUAAAUACAAAGUAGAAAAAGAGUUCUUCAAACCAAACUUUUUGUUUAACACUUCUUUUUCAUUCUUUUUUCUAACAGUCGAACCUCUCGCAAGUUCUUCCUCUCUUCUCUUUUUUCAGUUCCCCUUCGUCCUCAAUUUCUCUUUAUCUUCCAAUAUAAUCGUCAUUUUUUUUUUAAAUUUCCACUGUGAACCACACAUUCACUGCCGGCAAUGUUUUCUCUUCACUUUCUAGCUUCUAGAUGUUCAAAUAGGUCUAAUUUUGGAUUUAUGAUGCUUCACAAGGUCUUGUUUUCAUUUUUAUUCAUACACGCCAUGACGGACGCCUAUUUUUCUUAUUUGCAGACUCAUACAAUCGCAAUUCUGCUUUAUCUGCACACUCAAUUAAGUCAUUUGGGUAGAUGUAUAUGCUGAAUUUGUAUAGACCCUCUUUCGGGCAUCUCUGGAAAUGCUGUGAACAUAAGGAUUUGUGCGGCUAUUCUAGAGGGUUAACACGCAUUCCAAUCUCUACUGCUCGCUGCUUAGGUUCCAGGUAUUUGCAUGGUUUCCUAGAAUCAUCGUGUAUGUUUAAAAGAAGUUCUUGGUUUAUGCAAUAUGGAAUAAGAAAAUAGAGAAUUUGAGAUCAUGCGCCCUAGUGGCAAAAGAGGGUCACGUGCUUAAUAAAAGAACUUGGAGGCAAUGAGUUCAAUCCAUCGUGACCACUCAUCUAGGAUUUAAUAUCCUAGAGUUUCUUUGGCACCAAAACGAUGUAAGGUGAGGUAGGUAGUGUCGCGAGAUUUUUGUAUGUGACCUAAGCUGACUUGGACACUUUUGAAUAAGAAUAAAAAUAAAAAUGAAAGGAAAUUCAAUAGAUACUGACUGCGUUUAUGUGACGAGUAUGGUUGUAAACUAGAGACAAGAUGGUAAGAAGGGAGGACAACUUUGGGAACAAAGUAAGUGUUGCAAAGUGAAGGAAAAGUUUGCCACUUUUUGAGUUGAUUGUUAUUUAGUUUGGAUUAUAUUAACAUGUGCAUUAUUGCGGUUUUUGGAUGAUUACUAGUUAAUAAGUACACUAAAUCAUGUAUCUUAGGAUGUGAAAUCGUUGACAUGUGUUAGACCUAGAUUUCAAUUAUAGUUGAUGGUGUAUCAGAUGUUAGACGUUUGCCAAACUUAUGAUCCACUUCUUAAUAUUUUCUUGUUCAUAUUGAUAUAAUAGCAUGUUAAAAUAGUAAGAUCUUUUAAUUUGGUCCAACUUCUAAUUGCUUUUAUAUCUUUAGGCCAACUUCCAUGUCACAGGCAUUAACAGAGUUUGCCAAACUUUUGAUCCACUUUUAGUACUAUCUUGUUCGUAAUGAUAUAGUAAAACAUUUGAUGUCAAGAAAAUUAGACAUCCUGUAAAAUUUUCAUGUAAAAGUUUCUUUUUUUUAGUGUAGAGCUCAUCGGUUUGUGCUCUAAAGCUUUGUAGUGACUUGUUAGUUUUUCUCUUUGUUGAUGACUCAACUUCAGGAAAAUUAUUGCCAUGUCUGCAUCUGUGUCAAAAGAUUCUGGGAUAUCAGUUGCAUCAGCAGCAAUCCAGCCUCCAUCUCACCCUACCUAUGAUCUGCGUGGCAUCAUCAAAUUAGCCCUUGCAGAAGAUUCUGCUGACUUUGGUAUGAAAUUAUUAUUUUAUUAUUUAAUUUUUUGAAGAUUUUAUGGUGAUGUUUGGGAUUAUCUCCCAUUCAAGAAAAAAGAAAAAUGAAAAAAAAAAGAAAAAGAAAAGAACUAGUUGCUGAAAUUUUCAUUUGCCCAGUAAUCCUUAGCAUAGUUUUUGCUUCUGGUAUGGGUUUGAUCUUGAGUCUUAUUUUUGUUGGAUAAGAAGUUUACAGAAGCAUUCACAUCAUCAAUGGUCAAUUUCUAAUUCCCAACAACUGUUCUCAUGGGUCAACUUCCAACGAAAGACCUAGCAGCCUGCAUCAGAUUGAUUAUAUCUGCAUGUCAUGUCGUGCCUGGGAUGCUUUUUCAAGAUUGAAUUCCUGAUGCAUAAUGUACCAGUUUUACUUUUUUUAGAUGAAGAUGUGUGUAUGAGUGUUACAGGAACCAUAUAAUUGAAAUAGAGAACAAAAAGUUGAAACAUAAAUUAUAUUGAUAAUUUGCAGGAUAUGGAAAUACAGAAAAUACAACUCCCCAAGUUUGAGGAACUUUGAUGCCUCCUUGAGCAAACUCAAUUUCAAACAUCUAAUUAAUCGCUUACUUUCAGCCCAUGCGCACAGACUUUUUGUAAUCAUUUUCUACUAAAAGAUGCUUUGACCAGUGACUAACAUAUCAAUCCAUAGAAUCCUUUUAAUCUUUUAACAUUUAUUCUCAAUUCCUAAUAGUAUUCUUAACACAAUUGUAGGUGAUGUAACAUCUUUGGCAACUAUCCCUUCUGACAUGCUAGUGGAUGCUUUCUUUUUGGCCAAAGAGGAUGGCAUUGUUGCUGGUAUUGCUCUUGCAGACAUGGUUUUCCAGGAGGUUGAUCCUUCAAUUAGGGUAAUGUUAAUGCUCUCUCUCAUCACUCCCUCCCCUCUUGUUUUUGGUACUUAUUGAGUUAUUUAUGAGCUGGGUGUUCCCAUUCAUCCUAAUUCACGUUUUGUCUUCAGGUGGAAUGGUCAAAAAAAAUGGAGAUUAUAUUCAUAAAGGAUUGCAAUUUGGAAAAGUUUCUGGUAAGAAUAGAAAAUCUGUAGGAAUCCUAACAAAACUCCAUGUUGAGCAUUGUUUUGGUAUGGGAUACUCCAAACACUUGAUUUGAGCUUGAUUUUAAAAUUUAUUUCAUUAUUGUUAGAGUUAGUGUGCUUAAGCCCAAGGAAGGAUUAUGUAAGAACCCCAAUUAUCCAUACCUAUAGGAGGAAGGGUAGAAAGGUAACUGCACAGGACAAUAUUAUGGAGGAAUGAUUGGAAGGAAGAUCGUGCUGGGUAGGGCCCAUUGGGCUGAGAAAUAGGUGAGCCUAUAAAUAGGAUUAUUAGGUAUGGAGUAGCUAGGUAUAUUUUAUCUUUUAAAAGGUAGGGCUGCAGCAGCCGCAAGGGUCUCUUAAAUCAAGGAGGCCGGUAUGUUCUUUUCUUGAUUUUCCUUGUGUUCUUUGUUGUUUCUUUUCAUCUUGUGACGUUGUAAGCAUUUGGCUAUAUAUAAAUAAAGUAAACCAGGGUACCGCCUCUGUUUAAGCCAUUUUUACAGUAUUUUCGGUCUAAAUCAGUGUAUCCUAACAGAUUAACUCUAAUAUUCCUUCUUUACAUUAAGCGUGUUGUCUAUUUAUUUUCCCCUAUUGUACCUUUUAUAUAUGAGAAAAUAUUAAGAAAGUCAGAUCGUGAUUUUUCUCCCGGUCCUAUGGUUUCCACCUAACUCAGUGUCAUAUUUUCAUUUACUGCUUUCAAUAUGGUAUUAGAGCGGGGUAAAGACGAAACCCUAGACACCAAUAUAGAUGGAACCCAAAUAGAGACUAAACACAUGACAGCCGUUGCUGUCGUCGAGAUCAAUGCCACCGUCGCUGCCACCAUCACCAUGGAAAAACUAUUCCACUAGCUUCAGACGUUGCUGGUGAGUAGUCUUGACCCUAGUGAAUGAUUCCAACCGCAAGUGCCAAGCAAGUUUGCCCAUGCACCGUUGCUACCAAGCGCAUCUGUCCAUGUUCUACUGUCUAUCUUCUCUAAUGCUCAGUGGGCCUACUCCCAAUCGGUCUCCUCUGUCUAGUCGCAUAACCCUUUUGGUUAGCUGUCGAUUCAUGCGCCACCAACCCUAAAUCACGCGCCACUGCUGCCAAGGUCAUACAUCUACAUGCCGCCACUGCCCUCUUUUCACACACCGCUACCUUUUGACUUGUUAUAGCAGUCAUACAUACGUGGUCUCUGAAUUGAUCAGCUCCAUACUAAAUCAGGGUUUGAAGUUGCCAAACCUCCAAGGUUUGAAGCACAGUUUGAUUAUCGGGUUUGCGAACUUUAGAAAUCCUUGUAUGGGCUGAAGCUGUCACCAAGAGCAUGGUUAAGUUUACUAUCUUUGUCAAGUCCAAGGAUAUAGUCAGAGGCACUUUGGUCACACUUUGUUUACAAUAAUCUCCAAGGUUGGGAAAAUCACUGUGUUGAUUGUCUAUGCUGAUGACAUUGUAUUCUCUAAAGAUGACAUCGUCGAGUUCAUCCAAUUGAAAAAGAAGAUGGGUGAUGACUUUGAAAUUAAAGACUUGGAAAAUCUGAAGUAUUUCCUUGAGAUGGAGGUAGCUAGAUCAAAAGAAGGUAUCUCCGUAUCUCAAAGGAAGUAUACCUUUAUUUGCUAACUGAAACAAGUAUGCUGGGAUGUCAUCCUGCUGAUACUCCUAUUGAGUUCAAUUGUAAAUUGGGAAAUUCAGAUGAUAGAGUUCCAAUUAAUAAAGAAAAAUAUCAGUGGCUCGUGGGAAAGUGUUAGACCACCUAUUAUUCUGCAAUAUAGUAGAAAGGGAAAGACAGGAAUAACACGUGUAAAGAGGAACUUAGACAAUGAGAAGAGGGACCACAGUGGGACCCAAGGCAGUUAGAGUCAUUGUGUCUAUUAUAAAUAGAAUUUCAGUAGGAGGGAAGGGCAUAUGUGCAUUUUGGUGAGAAUUCUGUUUCAUCCUUAAGAGAAAGGAUAACAGGGGUGAGAGAAAGUUUCUUUGAAUUUUCAAUUCCUAGUUUCUCAAAUUGAUCUCUUCAUCAAUUCGAUAGUGUAAUUCAUUCAUCGUUUAUAUUGAAUAAGAACAUUUUAUUACGUGAUCGUUUACAUUUUUCGGACUCCAUCAUAUUGGCAUCAAAGCUUUUUUCUCUAGGAAAUCGAAAGAGGAUGGCGCAGAAGCGAAUUGAAGAAAAAUUAUAGAUGUUCGACCAAGAAAUAUUAGGAAUUCGAAUGAAUUGCACAAAUUACCAACCAUUGAAGAAAACUUCACGUCCUUAGCAAAAAGUAUUGAGAUACUGGAAAUGCAAGCCGAGAACAACAACUGUUGUUGAAGUACGUUGAAAACACAUCAAAGGAAAAGUCAGCGAUGAGCGAAGGAAUAAUAGGAUUUAGAGGCCAAGGGUCAACGAUGACGAAAAUGAUGGAAGAAGGUAGUACUCCAAUAAAAGAAAUUGGAAGCGAAAGACGAUCGAAGAAAAUCGAAAUCAAAGAUAAUCGAGUGAUGGAAGCAAGUUCAAGAAGGUAGAAAUGCCAGUUGAUCCGAUUCAUGGCUAUUUAGAGCAGAUUGGUAUUUUGAAAUACACAAACCUGAUUCAGAGAAGAUGAUGUGGCAGUCAUUAGCUUUGAUUGAGCAGCGUUAGAUUGGUACAGGUUGCAAGAAGAACACGAUGAGUUUAAAGACUGGGCGGACUUAAAGCAGAGGUUGUUGGUGAAAUUAAUCAGUCAGGUAAGGUUCAAUUUGCGGAAGAUUCUAAGCAAUCCAACAGGAGUCAAUUGUGGAAGAAUAUCGAAAUCUUUUGAUAAAUUAGUGGCACUCCAUGGAUUAAGGCCAACGUUGAAUGCUAGGAAUGGUUGGGCUAGCACAAAUGAUGAAAUUAGCCCAAAGAGUAGAAAAUCGGGAAAUCACAUGAGAGAGAGGCAAAUUUAAAGGAGAAUCCUGAAGGUAAGUAUCAAUCCAACUAUUUGAAUAAUAGUAAAUCUGUUAAUUUGAUAAGACUGGAAAUAUAUUUCUAAUGAGAAAAAUUACCCUAAGAGGGGUGGCGGUUGGAGAAAAUCGACAGGAAGGUCUAGUGAACAGCUUUUUGAUGCUGAAUUUCAAGCUCGAAAAGAAAAUGAAUUAUGCUUUCGUUGUGAUAAAAAUAUAACUUUGGGCACAAAUGUAAAGCCAAAGAACAGAGAGAAUUACGAAUGUUUGUAGUGCGAGAGAAUAAUAAAGAAGUGGAAGUUAUAGAGGAUGAUUUUGAGAGGAAGAGAGAUGAAUUCGUUGGGGAUAGAGGAAGAAGUUAGAUCAAUUGUAGAGUUGUCUAUAAACUUUGUAGUUGGUUUAUCCAAUCUGGGAAACCAUGAAAGUGAAAGGAGAUUAAGGGCAAAGAAGUGAUCGUGUUAAUUGACUGUGGAGCUACUCACAAUUUCAUAUCCAAGAAGAUGUUUGACCUUGUAGUUGCCAACGAAGGAAACUCUAACUAAUAGGGUUAUAUUGGGGUCAGAGACUCCUAUAAAAGGAAAAGGAGUAUUUGAAGCAGUACUUAUGAAUGGAAAGUAGUGGAGAGCUUUUUGCCUUUGGAGCUUGGGGAAGUAGAUGUCAUUUUAGGGAUGCAAUGGUUAUAUUCAUUGGGUGUUACAAAAAUGGAUUGGAAGAAUCUUACUACGAUGUUCUAUCAUGAGUGAAUAACAAAGUAGUCAUAAGAGAGGAUCCAAGCCUAAGGCCAGAGUAAGUUUUGAAAGGCAUGAUGAAAACUUGGUCGGAUUUUGAUCAAGGAUUUCUGAUGGAAUGUAGAGCUCUAGAGGGAGGAAUGACCUUGGCAAAACUAUAUGGGGUAGAUGCGUGCCAACCAUACAAGAGUCCAUUCCAGCAAUAUUAGCAAAAUUUGAAGACGUGUUUGAAUGACCAGAAGAAUUACCUUCGAGGAGGGAAAUUGAACAUUGCAUCCACUUGAAGAAUGGUACAGACCUAGGGAGUGUAAGACCCUACAAAUACGUGUAUCAAUAGAAGGCUAAAAUGGAGAAGUAAGUGGACAAAAUGUUGACUUCUGGGGAAUUUGCCCAAGUACCAGUCCCUAUUCAAGUCUAGUGUUGUUAGUAAAAGAGAAAGAUGGAAACUAGAGGUUCUGUGUCGAUUACAGGGCUUUGAACAAUGUUACAAUUUCGGAUUAGUUUCCUAUUCUGGUAAUUGAAAAGUUGAUUGAUAAACUAAAUGGUGAACUUUUGUUUUCGAAAAUUGAUUUGAAAGCCUGAUAUCAUUAAAUUAGGAUGUUCACAGAUGAUAUAGAGAAAACCACAUUACGAACUUUUAGUCAUAACUCUUUGGUUGACUAAUGCCCCUUCCACAUUCAAUCAUUAAUGAAUACUAUCUUCAGAUCCUAUUUGAGGAGGUUUGUAUUGGUGUUUUUCGAUGACAUAUUGAUAUACAAUAAAGCUUGGAAGAGCAUUUGUAGCAUUCGGAGUUGGUGUUGGAGAUAUUGAGAGAAUAUGAACUAUAAUGCAAAAAAGAAGAAAUGUAGUUUUGCACGAUCGACAGUAGAAUACUUAGGGCACAUAAUAUCAGGAAAAAGAUGGAGGUCAGGAAAUUAGCCUUGAUUACAUCCGCUUACUCCGAUGUCGAUCCUCUAGAAGCCUAUUGUCCCACUAACUCAACACUUCCAAGCUGGUUCAUUUGUAGAAGAUGUGUGCAAACCCAGGACAGCCAAAGAGGAACUUGGAAUAUGUCUAUCAUCAGCCACAAUUUUGGAAUAGGAAAAAUUGGUCCUAUUAGAGUCCAGAAACGCGAAAUAUUGGAUGAAUGGUUGUGGUAAGGCCAACCCAUAUGCCACAUGACCAAUGCUCGCCACAGGACCAAUGCGAGCAGCCACCAGAAAUGGACCAAUGAAUUGUGGAGCAAGUUUAGGAUGGUGUAGUGGCCAAUAGCGAUUGGAGAUAAGGACGAAUUUGACAUAUAUCCAAUCAUUGACUCAAACUGCAUGUUCCGUCAUUUAGAACUGGCGUACUUUAGCAUUCUUUGCUGGGCCUUCAUCAAAUUCUUCUUCAAAACAGUGAGCAUAACAUCCCUCUCCUUAGUGUCCUUUAGAAGAUGAUCAAUUUCAUUCAUCGGCUGGAUCCCUUGUCAUAUGGAAUGGAGGGAGGUGGGCAGUCAUAGAGCACCUCAAAAGGAGUCAUACGAAUGGUGGUGUGAUAAGCGGUGUUAUAGCUUACUUACACAUUGUUUGGGGUCCCAUGGCGAAGCAGUCAAAUAAGUCGCAAAGAAAAGCUCAAAGAAGUCAAACCCAACUGCCCGAAAACCAAUUCGAUCUCAAUCCUGAGAUAGUUUGAUUACAGAUUAUGUAGAUGAUCAAAUGAACUAAGGAUAGGACAAUGUUUGUGCUCCCAUCAAUCUUUGGUCUCAAACACUCCACAAGAUAAAUCAAUUCAGUUCAUGAAAGCUCCAAAUAUUCAUGCAUUCUAUCACAAGAAACACAAAACACAAACCUUGAAAGCUUUCAAGGUUAAAACCAUCCAUAUCACCUACAAAUUACGUAGUUUCUUGUAGCCUCAAAAUACAAUUUAUAUAUUCUAUGAGGCAUUUCCAAGGUUGAACUUUCUAAAUUUAUGGCCAUAAUCAGGUGUGUAACGUAAAAGGAAAUAAAAUGACUUAAAACAGAAAAUUCAAAUAAGAAACACCAUAAAUAUGAAAUUCUUUGCUUUUAAUCACCUGUCUAAGAAUUUGUAACCGUUCGUUAGUCAUGAAGCCCCGUUGUUCCUUAAAUGAAGCUUGAUUAUUCUUCAGGGCAAGCACAAAGCAUUCUUGUAGCUGAAAGGGUGGCACUAAACUUUAUGCAGAGAAUGAGUGGAAUUGCAACUUUAACCAAGGUACUUUUGUUUCCCUUAUUAGGCCACAAUGUAGCUUGAUAACAUCAAUUUCUUCCAUGUCUUAUAUAAAUAUAGGCAGGCAAUUGGGUGAGGCAGCCAAUGGAAUCAGACACAUGACUUUGCUAGUACCCAAUGUGUGGUCCGGCGAUGCGUUGUGCUUGCAUGGGCUGAGUGCCUAUGUGCGAUUGACAUUGUUCAGGCCUCACCCCACCAACGGCCCUAAUAGUGGUGAAUUUAUCCAAAAUUUCAUUUUGGCUUAGUGGCACUCACAUGCACCUUAGCCCCUGAAAGCGGCAUGAAUUUGAGCCUCUAAAAUGCCACUUGAAUGAAUACUUAAAUAAUAUUCAACAAGAAAAAAAGAAUGUUAGACCUAUUAUAGUUUUAAAGUUUACGCAUUUAAAAUAUAUCUUCGCUAACUUUUUCCUUUCAAAUGGUAGUUAUAUAAUCAUUGGUCCCAACCCCCUUAACCUCUCCAAAAUACUCCACUCAAUUAUAGGAGGAAAAAAAUUAUAUCUAAUUUUAAAAAGAAAAAAAGUUGCAUGCAUACGUACAUCAUAAAUGUAUCUAUAUAUAUUGGACGUUGAAUCAUUCAAUCUCCAAGUUUAUAAAAUCAUUUUUAUCAAUAUUUAUGUUGAGAUCGAUGUAUUUAAUAAGAUACAUAAUUUAGUCUUACAGCAUAUAUUGAAAAAAAAAUUGUUUGAUAAGAUAGGCAAUAAAGUUUGUAUGCAACGAUUUUUUUGCAAUGAAAAUUAGUUGAGGCAUAUGUGAUAUAUUUAAAUUAGUUCAAUUUUUAUAAAUGAAAUUUUGAUUGUUUGUUUUAGAUCAUUUUUCACUAAGCUCUCCAGAAUAAAAAUUCUAGAUUUGCCAUAGAUCCUGAUGCGCAUGCCUUUGGCACAUGCACACUUUUUUGUUCCCUUGCAUGAUUCUGCGCCCUCCCACACAAUGCUCCUGCCGCAGCCAUCUUGCCUGUGUGGUUGCUACAGUCUGAGACUCAAAUAAGCCUAUGCAACAUAUGCUCGAUCCCAUCUUGUUUUGUGACUCCCUCCUCUACUUGGUGACACUAACGCCUGUCAUCAGUCUCAUGGAUGCUGACUGCAUUAUUCUUUACAAAUACAUCACUAUCUAGGUUACAUUAACUGCCAACCUCUAGUCCAAGUGUUUAGGGUUUAGGGUUUAGGGCUAUCUAGGUUACAUUAACUGCCAACCUCUAGUCCAAGUGUUAAAAAAACAUAAAAGUCUGUAACACUUGUUAGGUGUGGCCCUCAUAACCUUAUGCUCAUGUAAGAAUUUCACAAAACCUUUGUUACCCUUUACAAAUAAAAUUAAAACAUUUCCUUGUAAACGAAAACGUUAACUUGGGCAAUUCUCUAACGAAUGGAAGACAUCACACAGACACAUCCUUCGUUGUAUACUAAAUAUGACCUGAUACUCUGGCAUAGCUCUAACUCUUCCAUAGAAUCAUUUCAUAAUGAAUUCCUUCAUUCUAAUUUUUGUUGAGGAGCUACCUUGAAUGAAAAUACUACAAGGUUUCACAAAUCCUAAUGUGGAGGGUUUUGCUUUUUUGUUGCUUAAAUGGGGUCCCACAAAUUGUAUCAUUCUUCUGUCAAAGCAUGACAACCUCAUUCCUCAUGUCUUCCAUGUGUCGCACUGGUUGAUCUUGCAUUUGAAACUUGACUCUAUGGACUUAUCCAAGGAACUCUGCAAGGAUUGGAUUCUUCUCUUGUUGCUGUUCUACCAGCUUCCAGAAGGUUGGAGGAUGGUUGUGAACGUUCAGGAAUGCAUAAACAUACUUCUGUAGCAUGCUGACCACAUGGCCGUCUGGCAUCCCCAUUUCCUUUCCAAAUCUGGCAAUUUUUGCUUCCAAGGUUACUGUCCAUUUCUACAAAACAAAAAAACUUACGAAGAAAGACACUGUUAUCAUGAAAAGAAAUAAUCUAAUCCAUAAGGUAGAAUAAAACAGUGGAUAUUGGAGUAAAGCUGGGGAUAUGCUUAGCCAAGCAUCAAAAGGAAUCGUAAGAGGUCUUGUUAUCUUAAGUGGGUUCCUUAGAGCAUGUUCAUGAGAGAGUUACAGGCUUUGUAACAUUACUCCAGUAUGUGAGAAUUGUAUGUAAUAGCUGAGAUGGUAUCUCGUAGAUUAGCUUUACUCGUGCAUUAAUGGUUGCCUUACUUGUACAACGAAGGCUGUUUAAACCUUGUAGGUGAUUGUUGUGUUGGGUGUGUUGCACCCUAUUCCGUGCAAUAUUUGCAACAAAAGUAAAUGGCAGUCUUUCCUGUGAUGUGGCUUUCAAACAGCAAAGUAUAUGGCCUUUGGUUCUGGAUGGUAUCCAUGACCAAUGGCAGGUCGUAGUUAUUUUUGGUGUCAGUACUCUGAUUACUGUAACAUCAACACAUCUCCACAGUAAUAUUUUAAUGAAAACGGUUUGACUAGGAAGUACAGGUUUAUGUAUUAAUAAUGUAAUAUUUACAAUUUUGAAGCAUCAUUUUGUUCUUAUUUUACCAUCGUAUGAUUAUCAACAUAGUCGCCAUGUUCUAACCCAUCGGUAUUUGUCGGUUUUAGUUUUAUCAAUUAGCAAAGAAAACAGUGAAAAUUAUUAUUUUUUUUUUAGAAAAAUUGCCUGCUUUAAAAUAUAAUUGUACUUUGCUACACUCUAACUGAAAACUAUAGAUCAUGAAAGCAUUGUAAUCAGCCCUUAGAUGUUAAGUACACUUAGAUUUUGAGUUAUUAAGUACAUGACAUCAACUCAUCAAGUACUUUGCAGGCAAUGGCAGAUGCUGCAAGCCCUGCGUGCAUUCUGGAAACGAGAAAAACUGCUCCAGGUUUACGUUUGGUGGAUAAGUGGGCGGUGCAAAUCACUUCCUUAGUUCACUUUUUUAGAGAAACCUUUUUAGCCUUCUACACUUAUUCCUUAUUCUUUUACAGGUAUUAAUUGGUGGAGGUCAAAAUCACAGGAUGGGUUUAUUUGACAUGGUGUUGAUAAAAGAUAAUCAUAUAUCAGCAGCUGGAGGCAUCUCAAAUGCCAUUAAAUCUGUGGACUUGUAUCUGCAACAAAGGGAACUUAAAAUGAAUGUAGAGGUACUUUCCCAAAUCUUAACCUUUUUGUUCGUUUAUAUAGUGGUAUAUUUUGUACAUGACAUCUUAAUUGCAAAACUUUCUCCAGAUUGUUUGGAGUUUCUUCUGACUAGUUGAUGUCCCGAGUACUGCUCUUUUCUUGUUAUAAAUAGAUUAACAAAGAAAGAAAAGAACCCACUUGAGAAGAAUUAUAAUACCAUAAUUUAUAUAAAUUAAUCGGACUACAUCCUAUCCUAUUCCUGUCUUUUGCAGUUUCACGAGGUUUCAUUAUAAGAUGAAAGUUACCCCAUCCUUUUUCUAAUUCUUGUUAAUUACACUCCCUUUGUUAUUAGUUAAAUUGGAAGUGUAAUCUAGAAUUCAGAUAAGUAUAAUUCUUAUUCAUUUUUAGUUAAAUAAAAGUUACAUAUUAUAUAGAGAACAAAAUAAACCCUAAACACUAUGUACAAUUACAAUAAAGGACAUAUCUUAUAAAUAUAUAUCAUAACACUCCCCCUCAAGCUGGAGCAAAUAUGUCAAUCAUGCCCAGCUUGUUGACAGCUAGCUUAUCCUUGCUCCAUUUAAAGCUUUAGUCAGAAUAUCUCUCAAUUGUUCUCCAAUCUUUACAUAUCCUGUGGACACCAACCCAUCUUGGAUUUUCUCAUGAAUGAAGUGACAAUCCACCUCAAUAUGUUUAGUUCAUUCAUAAAAUACUGGAUUAGAUGCAAUGUGAAGUGCAGCUUGAUUAUCACACCAUAAUUUAGCUGGCACUGUAAUACUGAAGCCUAUCUCAGAUAAUAGUUGGUGAAUCCAUACUAUUUGCACACAAAUUGUGUCAUAGCUCUAUAUUCAGACUCAGCACUUGAACGAGAAACAACAUUUUGUUUCUUACUCUUCCAUGAUACUAAGUUUCCACCUACAAAGACACAAUAUCAGAAGUUGAUCUCAUCUCACGAGAUUCUGCCCAAUCAGCAUCAGUAAAACAUUCAACUCUUGUAUGUCCAUGAUCUUUGUAUAAGAUCCCACGUCCAGGAGCACUUUCAGAUAACACAAAAUCUGCUCUACUGCAGCCCAAUGAUCCACUGUAGGGGAAGACAUGAACUGACUUACAAUACUUACAAAAUAAGCAAUGUCUAGUCGAGUCACUGUUAAGUAGUUCACUUCCCAACUAAUCUCCUAUAUCUCUCAGGAUCUUUCAUAAUUCUCCUUCUUUAACAAGUUGCUGAUUUGGCAUCAUUAGGAAUGUCACUUGGUUUGGCUCCUAAUUUUCCUGUCUCAGACAACAAAUCAAGUACAUAUUUUCGUUGAGACAAAUAAAUACCUUUCUUGCUUCUCAUCACUUCAAUGUUCAAAAAAUAUUUCAAUUGGCCCAAAUCUUUUCGUAUAAAGCUGACCAUGAAGGAAAGUUUUGAAAGACGAAAUACCCGAUGCAUCAUUUCCAGUAAUAACAAUAUCAUCAACAUAUACAACUAGUAGAACUAUACCAUUAUCAUAUCAACGAUAGAAAUCCGAAUGAUCAGAUGCACUCUUUUGCAUACCAAAGCAUACGAAGACAAUGUUUCAAACCAUACAAUGAUUUUCGAAGGUGACGUACUUUAUCUCUCCCCCUGAGCAACAAACCCAGGUGGUUGCUCCAUAUAAACUUCUUCUGGAAGAUCACGAUGCAGAAAAGCAUUCUUAAUGUCAAGUUGAUGCAAAGGUCAUUUAUGGUAGCAGUCAUGGAAAGAAAUGACGUAUGGAAGUUAAUUUGGCAACUGGAGAAAAUGUAUCUGAAUAAUCAGUUUCAUAGAUUUGAGCAUAACCUUUGGCAACAAGGCGAGCUUUCAAUUGAGCCAUUGUUCUAGCAAGAUUCAUCUUGACAACAAACACCCAUUUACAACCAAUGGCCUUCUUUCCUGCAGGACGAGAUACCAAAUCCCAAGUACCAUAUUAUCAUCUAAAGCAGUCAUCUCCUCAAUCAUUGCAUUUCGCCAGCCAGGAUGAGACAAAGCUUCAUGAACAGAGUUAGGAAUAGAUGUGGAGUCAAGGGACGUAAUAAAAGCAUAUGUGGGAGGAGACAAUUGGUGAUAGGAAACAAAGGAAGAAACAGGGUAAGUACACUUGCGUUGACCUUUCCGAAGAGCAAUGCGAAGAUCAUCACUUGGCCCCGGAUCACAUGAUGAAUGGGCAUUGAUGGAGGACAUGAGUCUAAAGCUUGUGGUGGAGAUCGUCGGGAGUAGACUCGAGAAAUCAGUGGGCGGGAAGGAGGUGCAUCAGUGGAAGAGUAUGGUGUGGGAGAGGUAACCUCAUAUAUAAAAAGAUUGUUAUCCUCCCCCGACACGAACUCGAUGGUGAUGAAGUAAAGGGUGUAUAUGAUAGAACACUGAUACAGUGUUUCUAUUUUAUUGAUAGCUUCACAUAAAUUACAAUAUAAAAGCAGUAAAAGAAAAGUAAAAGAACACUAACCCUUGCCCUUCCUCUCUUUCAAGGAAUGUUGCAGCCCUAAUUCUUCACCAAAUUAUUCAUGCCCUUCUUCCCUCCCCAACUUCCUAUUUAUAACCAACUAACUACCAACAAAUCUAAUUACCUUUAUACCCCUACCCGAUAUUAAUCUAGGUAUCUAACAUUACCCGAGCUUCAAAAACACCCUGUCCUCAAGGUGUUCUUACAAAUAUGAUCUCCCUUUUUCUUUUCUUUUUCUUUUUUUCUUUUGGUUACAAACUAUUUCCAGUGAUAUGCUGACCAAAAAAAAAAUCUCUCAGCUUCAGGAAAAAAACAUUUCUUUGCUUCAAUAAGAUCCAUUGACUUCGCCCAUAGCCCAGAAUGAUCUUCCUUUAAAUCAUCCACUUCAUUUACAUAAUAAUGGGCCUUCACUCUUUGAUUUAUAAAAAACUUAGAAGCCCACUUUAAGUAGUAAAGCCCAAAAUUUUAGGGUUUGUUUUUCUUGCCUCUUUCUUUCUCCUAUCAUCUUCUUCCACGUCAUUGGAAUCUUCACGCGUACUACUUCUUUACGUGAUUCAUCCAUAUUUGACAUCAUCUCCCCGGACCACCGUAACCGACCACUUGCCGGCGUUUUCUCUCUCCUCCACAUCCAGAUAACUGUCAUCAUCUUCUUUUCCCCUCGCAACCCAACAACUUCCAGCGGCUUCAUCCUCCAUCGUAACCAGCCAUUUUCUCUUUCCUCAAGCAAUAAUUUUUUUUUCGCUUGAGUCUUUGAUUCAGAUCUCUUUGGUACUUCUCGCCAAUCCUCCGCGAUCAUUUUCUCUUUGAUUGCUAAGGAUUGUCCGCCAACACCUUCUUCUCACACUGAUCAGAAACGUAAUAACAGCCUUUAGUCCAGUUCAAACCAACCCUUGAAUGCUUCGCGUUCCUCCGGUGAUCGAUAACAAUAUAAUGUGCUUCCAACAGAACUACUUAGCUUGUUUUGAUCGAUUUCUUUUCCUUCAAUUUCUAUUUUGAAUUGGUUUCGAUCACUCACCUUCUCUGUUUGUACUUCGUUCUCGGCUCUUCCUACCGGUGUCAUUCCACCGUCGACUGUCUUUAUCAUUGGUAUUUGUGGUUUCUUUUCGGCUUCAUCCUCUAACUUCUCUGUAAUCUUCUUGCUCGACCGGCUGAUUGAAUCUUCUAUUUCGCUCGUUGUAUCUUCUAUGUCGUUCGUUGUCCUAGAUUUCUCACGAAUCAUGUUCUAAAAAAUAUUUCAUCAGUUCUAUUUCUCUUUUUUUUGUUUCUUCGAUUUCUCUCUUUUUUGCUUCAAUUUCUCUCCUUUUCAUCUCUUCCUUCUCCAACGUUUCAAGCCACUCUGACAAGCGCUGAUCGUUUUCCUCGAUUUGAAUCCCCCUUCGAUCAAUCGCCUCUGUCAAGGUUUCUUCGAUUUCUGAUCUUUUUGUUUCUUCCUUCUCCAUUGUUUCCAUAAACAGCAACAUCAUUUGUUGAGUCCUCUCGUUUAUUGCAAUAAUGCUUUCCAUUGUUUCCCAUAUCGACGGCAGUUUCUCUUCCAUGGCUGACAACUUGAUAAUUCUUCCUCCAAGAUCAACUAGCUCUGAUACCAAUUUGAUAGAACACUGAUACAGUGUUUCUAUUUUAUUGAUAUCUUCACAAAAAUUACAAUAUAAAAGCAGUAAAAGAACCCUAACCCUAUACUCUUCCUCUCUUUCAAGGAAUGUUGCAGCGUUAAUUCUUCACCAAAUUCUUCAUGCCCUUCUUCCCUCCCCAACUUCCUAUUUAUAACCAACUAACUACCAACAAAUCUAAUUACCUUUAUACCCCUACCCUAUAUUAAUCUAAGUAUCUAACAGUAUCCUAAAAAAAUGUAACAUCAGGUGAAACAAGAUACCUAUUAAGGGUAGGACAAUAACAACGCUAUCCCUUUUGAACUCGCGAAUAACCCAAGAAGAUACACUUCAAGGAUUUGGGAUUUAACUUAGUAUGAUGAGGAUGAACGUCGCGAACAAAACAAACACAACCAUAUCUUAGGAGCAAUAGAAAACAAAUUUUGGUAGGAAAAAGAACACGUAGGGAAUCUCACAUUAAGAACAGAGGAAGGAAUUCUAUUAAUAAAAAAACAAGCUGUGGAAACAGCAUCUGCCCAAAAGGUUUUCAGAACAUGCAUUUGAAAAAAAGCACGGGCAAUUUCAAGUAAAUGCCAAUUUUUCCGCUUGCAACACCAUUUUGAGAUGGAGUGUCAGACACGAAGACUGAUGAAUAAUGUCAUUUCACACAAGAGCCAAGAGAGAAAAAUAUUCACCGCAUUAUCAGUGCGCAAAGUUUUGAGACAUUAAACUGUUUUUUAUAUUUAGUAUGAAAGGCACAAAAUGAGAUAAUAACUCAGAACGAUUUUUCAUUAAAUAUAACCAAGUUAGACGAAAUGAUCGUCAACAAAAGUAACAAAAUAACGAAAGCUGUUUGAGAUACAACUAGACAUGGACCCCAAAUAUCAUAAUGAACUAACUCAAAUGGAGCAUUGCUCGUUUAUCGACUCAAGGACUCGAACUAAGACGAUGAAAUUUGCAAAUUGACACGAAUCACAAUUUAAAGAGGACAAAGACCUAAAUUCUGGAUAAAGUUUCUUCGACACGAACAAAGAUGGAUGACCUAAACGACAAUGGACUUCAAAGGGAGAGGAAGACAGGACAUGCCACAGCUUGGUACUUGAUGAUCAAAGCGAUAAAGGCCUCCUGACUCAUAUCCUCUACCAAUAAUCUUCUUGUUACACGAUCCUGAAACAAGCAAUAACCAGGAAAGAACAAAACAACACAAUUUAGGUCAUGAGUAAGUUGCUAGUAAAUUAAAUUAAAGGAUAAAUUAGGUAAAUGUAACACAAAAAACAGAGAAAAUGAUGGGGUAAGAUGAAUAGUGCCAGAGCCAAGAAGUGGAACCAUCCGCCAAUGUAACAGAUGUAAAAGAGGCAGGGGACAAUGGUUUAGAAAAUAGGCGAGAAUUACCCGUCAUAUGAGCUGUGGCACCAGAGUCUAUGACCCAUUUGGUAGAUGAUGUUAGAAGACACUUUGUAUUACCUGGGACAACGGUGGAUGCAACAUGAGUCGAGGAAGAUGACGCUUGUAAUGAAUCUUAGUAAUUCUGAAACUUGGCAAACUCAUCUGCAAAAAUAGUAACUGAUUCCUCUAGUAUAUCACAUGUGGAAGCUAUUUGAGCAUGUUGAGAUUGUUGACUAUUCUUAUAUAACAAUUUUCGACAAUCACGUUUCAUACGGCCUGGCUUACGAUAGUAGUUACAAACAAUCUUUGCAAAAUCUGAUUUUCGAUGAUCAUAACUAUUCCUUUGAACAUUGCUAUCUAUUACUCGAGGUGCCUGAGGGUUAUUCUUCUUGGUAAAGAGAGCACUACUAGGUUGAGAAAUAGAUACACCAGUCGGAGAGCUUUUAAUGCGAAGGACACGAGUGAAAGCAUCAUCUAAUGAUGGAAUCUUAGAGUCAGAGAGAAUUUGUGCCUUUGUUAUUCCAAAUUCAGGUAAGAGUCCAUUCAAAAAGAUCAUAACAGCCAUCUUCUCUCGUUGAGCUUGUUGAACUUUAACAUCAGGACUAAAAGGUAACAACAAGCCAAGCUCAACAGUUGUCUCUUAAGCUGCAUAAAGUAGCUGGUGACAGACUCAACUUUUUGUUCAACACGAAAAAAUUGCAUACAAACCUCAAACAUUCUAUAUACACUUUAUCUGAAUAUAGAAAAUCUAGAAAUUCCAGAAGAUUUUUAACAGACUCACAGUGAUCGACCAAUCCAAUUAUGUCACUCUCAAUGGAGUUUUUGAUUUGAAGAUAUAAACGGGCAUCAUCACAAUGCCAAUCCUUCUUCUGCUUUGUAUUUUUUGGGGAUCUUCGUCAUAUGAUUAGGUCCAUUUAACUUAUGUUCUGUGAUCUUAGAGCUAAGGGAAUAACGUUGGAGACUACCAAAUUCUUUAUGUUGGCCAUAUUAAAGUCACACACUGAUUGUAGUACACACAAACAAAGAAAAAAUCAAUUCAAACCGCUGUUAAAUUGGAAGAAAACCCUAAAACAAUGGCGUAGCCUUCAGAUUUUGUCAAAUCUGAAUACUCUUUGAUAGACCCAACGAUACAGACUGACCAGAAGCAGAGGUUCGAGACAAGCCCAGAAGAUGGAGGUCAAAACGGAUUUCUCACACGGCGGCGCGUGGGUGAUGUGUAGAGGUAUUCCGGCAGCGCGUGAAUCUCACGCACAGUGUUUCCUGACGAUCGGCGAAGACGGACUUGGGUGGACAGAGGUGGUGCUUCUUAUGGUAUGGGGCGGUGUCGACAAACCGUCAGCGGAAGGCAACCUAAACUUAAGCCUAAUGGAGGAGGAAGCUAACGGCUAUUCGAAACCCUAAUGGCUCUGAUACCAUGUAAUCUAGAAUUCAGAUAAGUAUAUUUCUUAUUCAUCUUUAGUCAAAGAAAAGUUACAUAUUUAUAUAGAGAACAAAAUAAACCAUAGACACUAUGUACACUGUUACAAUAAAGGACAUAUGUUAUAAAUAUAUAUCAUAACAGGAAGGUUUCUUUUAUAUAGGAAGUUAGGAUUCUAUCACUCUCUUCUUCAGCAACCAAUCUUCUAUAAAUGAUCUGAACCUAACCUGUACAAACAGGGGUCAUCCUCAAAAUGGAAUUUAAAUCAUGGAAGAAAUGUUUACGCUGGUGAUAGUUUAAGUUAACAGGAGAACACCAAUUCGGUUUACAAUGUCGGGAACCAUGGUGUGCAGCCGCUAGGUUCUACUCGAAGUACUACUCAUCACCUGUUGAAGCUUGAAAGCUGGCGUGUCCUAGAAAACUUUGCACACCCUUCACAUUGGAAGGUUGUGGUAGCUUCUCUAUGACUUCAAUCUUGGCCUUAUCUACUUAAAUUCCAGUCUGCAAAAUUUUGUGCCUCAGAACAAUGCCUUCUUCUACCAUAAAGCCGCAUUUCUCCCAAUUGAGAACCAAGUUCGUCUCCUUGCAUCUUUUGAACGUAAAUUCCAGAUUCUGCAAACAAUUAACUUACAAAUCACCAUAAAUUGAAAGUUAUCCAUUCGAUAGGUUUUUUUCAGCACAUCAGAUAAUAUUGACAUCAUGCAUCUUUGAAAAGCAGUUGGUGUGUUACACAAGCAGAAAGGCAUUUGUCUAAAGACAAAUGUUCUGUAUGGACGGGUGGACAUUGUUUUCUCCUGAUCUUCAGGGCAAUAGAAAUCUGGUUGUAACUGAAGUACAUAGCAAAGCCCAUCUAUUUGGCACUUGUCAAUGAGGAGCAACAGGAAAUGAUCUUUCUUGUUGCAAUAUUGAGAUUUCUGUAAUCCAUGGACACACACCAGCCAGUCACUGUUCAUGAUGGAAUCAACUCAUUCAUGUCAUUAUUGGUGCAUAAUACCUAAUUUAGACUGGAAGUAAGCAGCACAUUCUCCUCUUAAUUGAGGGAGUCGUCUUAAUACCUUCAACCGUUGCAUCACAUUGUAAAGAUGAAGAAGAAAAAAAAAAAACAAUGUAGAACUUCAAACAUCUUUCACAAUUAUGCUGCACCUUCUAUUUUCCCAAUACCAGUCUUGCUCCUAUUUAAAAAUAUGUAUAAAGAAUUAAUUCUACUUUCCUAAAAAAAGGAAGCUCUUUCUGUAUAUUGUGAUCUUUACUUCUGCUAUUGCAGAUAUCAACACAUUGGUAGGUGCACCUGUACUGACUUGAAGAUUGAUCUUAAAACUAAUUUUUUAUGUGCGCAUCACAAAUCCUAUGCUUCACCUGUUCACCAUCUAGUAUAUUAAAAUCCAUUGAGUUUCUUUGUAAUUAAAUGUAUAAGGUUAAGCAAUUGUUCUUGAGAUUAGUCCAGGUGCUUAUAAACUUAAUACUUAUGGAUAUAAAGAAAACGUGUGCUGUAUAUGCUGCUCCUAUAACUCUGAUUUUGUUAAGUGAAGUUAUAUUGUCAUAUAUUACAACUUGCUUACCCCUAAUUUUUUUAGUUCUUAAAUUUUUAAAAUUCUCUUCUUGAAAUAUUCAACAUAUUUUAAUCAUUUUUCAGGUUGAGACCAGGACUCUCGAGGAAGUUCAUGAGGUACUACGCUAUGCAACUCAAAACAAGACAUCCUUAACUAGGAUGAUGUUGGAUAAUAUGGUAGUUCCACUGCCAAGUGGUGAUGUUGAUGUUUCCAUGCUUAAGGAGGCUGUAGGCAUAAUCAAUGGGAGAUUUGAGACUGAGGUAAUGUUUAUUAUCAGCAUAGUUUGCAGUACAAAAUUUGGAUGAUUGAACAGAUUGCUUUAUCAAAAAGUAGAUAAGUCUUGGUUAAUGGUUAAUCUAAUGUUCAAUUAAGAUUAUUUCUUUGUGAUGUAAAUAGUAAAACUCUUUAAAAGUUCUCUAGUAAUAUUGCUUUGUGUGCACAGAAAAAAAAUGGUGCACGACUGGUUAAGUUUUGGAAACUUGAAGUUCAUUGAUGGGCUUUAGUUUUGCAUAUAGAUACUAUAUAAAACUCACAUGGACGCCUUAUACGUAAAGACAUAUUUUACCGUAGGCUAACUAAUACAUCGAGUUAUUAAUGGAUUUUGAUUACUUAGAAGUGAUAAUAGUUGUAUAUUAAGUUUUGCCCUUGUAAAGAGUUUUGGUUUUGGUUCAAGUAGCCAUGAACUUCGAUAGAUAUUUGAUAAUGUGAUAUAGCAACACUUAACCCACUUAUGCUAGAGCGUCUGGUUUAAAUUUAUUGCAUGACAUUAUUUAGAAAAUGAUAGACAAGAACAAGGAUGAAAAAAUGAUAUCAAAUUUUGAUUCACCUACUUUCUGGUGGCAGCGUCAGGAAAUGUUACUCUCCAUACUAUACAUAAAAUUGGACAAACUGGGGUUACUUACAUAUCCAGGUAUAAUGACACCGAUUGAAAUAUUUUUUAUCAGCAAGCUUGCAGCUAUAGUCAAAGAGAAAUUACACUGUUUUUCUUUUAAUUUUUAAUUUAAACUUGAACUUAAAUUUUAAUAUAUAUAUAAUGUCAAUGCAAUUAAUUCUCUUAAACUUCUCUGGUAUCAACGAUUUGUUGACAGCCGGAUACUGACUUAAAAGAAUCCUAGAAAAGCACCUGCUAGGAGUUGAUAUAUUAUCCCAGCUAUACUUUCUGAGGCAUUAAUGACCUUGUGGGAAAAUAUUUCUUGAUUGUCAUACAUUAAUUGAAGUCGUGUUUCCUUCACAAUAACCUCCCAUUAGUUUACUCAUAGCAUUUAAUGUUGCUUGUAUCUUACAUUCUUAUUCAUAGCAUUUAUUGUUGGUUUAGUUGUAGAAUUUUUGAACUGAACCUUCUCCCUUCAAGGUGAAGGUAACAUAAUAUCCACAGAUUAUUGAAGUUCCAAAUCCUUGUCUAUAGCACUAAGACUUUAUGCUGCUAUUUUCGAUAAUUUCGGUUCCAACGAGCUUAAAACAAAACAGUGCAUCUUAGAUUUGAUGGUGACAUUAAUGUGAUAAUUAUUGUUACCAGAAUAGUUCGAGAUAAAAUCAUGGAGACAUUUAUUGAUUUAACCAGUUUAGUCGUGGCUCUUACUCGAGUCAUGAUGAGAUUGUUGGUCUCUGCCAGUUUUACUAAUAAUGCUCCACAAAGCAAAAGUAGUCUGGGAAAAAAUAACUUGCUGGAUUGUCGUUCAAACAAAGAGACAAUCUCUCGAGUUGAAAUACACUGUCAAGGAAACAUGAAACCUGCUAACUAACCUUCAUUUUGGAAGGAUAAUACUAGAGGGAUUUAAUAAGGGUGUAUUAGUAAUUAGUUAAGUGGUCUGCUAGGGAAGUUUGGUUACAAAAAUAUAAUGGGUGGGGAAGAAUAAAAGGGAGCAAUAUUUUGGUGAGUGAAUUAGGGUUUGAGAGUAACCUCAGGAGAUUGGAAGGAUCCAAGUACUAGGGAUGUUCAAAUGAACCAACAAGCCGAACGAUCUGGACUACCCACCUGGGUUAGUUUUGUUCUUGGAUUUGGUUGGGGUCUUGGGAUAAAUAAAUUAAUUUUUGGGUUGACCUAACUCCGAAAUAUUUUUAUACGUGUAAUUGUCUUUUUUCUAGUGUAAUUGUCUUUUUUCUAAUAUUUUUCUUUUAGUAUUCUUAUGAUAAAUGUUUGUUUAAAGCUUGUAAUAGAUAUCAUUAAUAUUUGGUAUUUAACAUUUGAAUUUUACAUGAUUUUAGUUAGUUAUUAGCCAUAUGUGUCCUGGAUAUAUUUAGAUGUAUUAAAUAAUAAUUACCAACCUGAAUUUUAAGGGUUUCUUUGGAUGCCCAAUUCGAGUCUUUUGGGUAGUUAAUGCGAUUUAGGUUGGUCUUAAAAUCCCUUCUAACCCAAUCCAAUCUAACUUAAUUACACCACUACCAAUUACCUUGAAUUACUUUGUUUAUUUUGUAGUUUUGUUACCAAUUAUAUUUUAAUAUAUUCGGGCUGUAUCAGAUUUUUAUCUAGAAAUGGAAAAAAUGAAAGCAAAAGAAGAAAAGAUUUCUAAAACAGUGGGAAUUUGGUAAAAUGCUGCCACACAAGAAGAGAACUUCUUGACUUUACUAAUUGCCCUAUGUGUAUGAUUCCAUCUCAUGUCAUAUUGUCAAUCACAGAAUGGCAUGUUUGUGCUAUUUUCUCUUUUCUUUACUACAACUUACAAGGAAAGAACAACUUUUUUUUUAGCAAAGCUAUUAAAAGUGGGGAUGAAGCUAUAGAAACUAGGAGGAGUCAUUUUCCAAUAAACUUUCAUGAGUUUUAUUUAUUUAAUUAUUUAUGUAUACUGUUUCUUGUGCAGUGGUGCGCUGACACAUUCUGUGAAAGCACUUGAUAUCUCCUUGAAGAUAGACACAGAAUUGGCCCUUCAAGUUGGAAGACGUACAAAACGAGCUUGAUUGAUGAUUCAUUCUUGUAUUUGUAUUUGGUAAAAUAUUUAUCCACUCUAACUUUACAACUGUCACCCUUUUUUCUUUUUCUUUUUUUUUAUUGGAAUUGCAAAUUUGGUUCAUAGUUUGAUAAAUUAUCUUAGGUAGUAUCUAUCGCUGGUGGUUGAUACUACGGGUGAAGUUACCCAUCUAUCUUUUAAGGAGUACUAAGUUCCUUUGAUUUUUCAUGAAGUUUUAUCAAUUAGUCUCAAUGUUUAGUUAAUCCAAUUUGCAACUUCAUUGUUGCAACUUCUACAAACUAUUCAUGUUUAGUUAAUCCACUCACUAUUUUAAUAGAAAAUGAAAUAUUAAAUCUUCUUAAUGGCGAUAAUCACUUUUUGCAAAAUUAAGUUUAUUGAGUGCAGAAAUUAACCGUGGGAUCACAUCUUCAUAACUCAAAAAAUUGAAAAAACAUCUAAGCUCACUUAAUGUACAAAUUGUAUCACUUUUUCAAGUUUAGUUUAAGAUAUAGGAAUUUUUAAAUAUAAAAAAUGAGUGAAUUUUUAAAUAUAAAUAAUUAGUCAAGUUAUACCAAAAUUCCUAUAUUUUUUCGUUGAUGUCUAUUAAUAUUUAUAACUAUUAAUAUUUAUAAGUGAUUGAAACUAUAACAAUCUAUUAGUGUCUGAUGAGGAUGAUUUCUUUCUUCUUCUUUUUUUUCUUUUUUCAUCAUGCUUCUAUGUUAUUUCUUCAAAUAAUGUUAUGUUUUCUAUUUAUAAUCCAAUUUUACAGACAUUUCUAGUUAUACUUCUAAACACCUAAAGUCACUCAAGAAGCCAAAACUCUUUUCAAAUUUGCUCAUUCUUUCAAAAUUUUACUUCCAACCAUAACAUUAAGUUAUAUAUAGUAAUUCCUCUAAAUGUUAGAAGUUAGUAAUUUUCUUCAAAGCAAUACUUGAUGAACUUUUUUCAUGUAUCACAUCAUUAUCAUCACACGCAUAAAAUAUAAAUCAAAAUAUUUUCAAAGAAAAUAAGAAUAUUGUGUAUCAAAUUAUGAGUUUAAGGGAAUAUGUGCUUUUGGUCUAAGUUUUAAAAAUAGACAUUUUUAAUCUUCUAGUUCAUAAGAAUUGACCCACUUGGUCCUUGAGUUCUCUCAAGAUACCUUUUUAGUCCAUGAAUUCUAAAAUAUAGGUUUAUAAGAUCAUAAAAGUAUUCUAUGUGAUUUUUAAAAAAUAAUUAUAUGAUAUUUAAAAUCAGAAAAAAAUAGUUUUAUGAAAGAUAUGGUCAUUAGAAAAUAUUUUUCUAAUUUAAAAUGUCAUAUAUAAAAUGAAAGUAUAAAGCUAUUUGAGAAACCUUUUAAACAUAUUUAAAAAUAUAGGGUAAAAUUUUAUAAACAUUGGAACUUAAAAGAUCUAAUUUUAAGACUUAGGGACAAAAAUGUACAUAUUUAUCCAAACAAAAAAGAUAGGUGGGAGAUGCAACUAAAAUUUUUUAUUUCUUAACAAGUUUGAACGUGAAAAAUACAUGAAUUUCAGUGCUUGGAAGUUCCUACGAAAUGUCCAAAUCAUGUGGUUGCUUUGAUUGAAGUAUAUGGUUGUAAAUAACAAAAAAAGAAGUCUUCCAUAACAUAUUUCUCUCCCCUUUCUCAACAGGCGGGCAGGUGAGACGGUUUGGGUUAAACCCACUUUUUUAGUUUUCUUUUUAUUACCCCAUGAGGAGAGAAUCACUCUUUUCUUUCACCCUAAACAAUAAAAUGAAUUUAAGUAAAAGAAAAAUAUGGGUUUUAUUUUUAGCUUUUAGUCCUUGGAAACAGUUUUUGCUUCUAUAAACCCUUCCUUAAUGCUAAUGUUAGUAGCAGCUAAGCCUCAAACUUUACAUCAUAUCUUUAUCUAUUAUUUAUUUGUUUAUUUCUACCAAAAAGUUGUUUCCUUUUUGCCACCCCCUCCCUAUCCUCAAUACUUUCUCCCCUUUGUGUUUGUUUCUUUUGUGAUUCUUUCCGACCAAUGCUCUUUGAAUGCCUUUCUCUCUAUCUUUUCCCUUAAAUGCAAAUGCCAAAUGCAAUGUUAGAAGGCUUACACACGAGCCUCUUGCUUUUUGUGUACAUUACUUUACUUACACAUCUGAAUUUUAUACGCCUAAGAUGUGUUGACCUCCCAUUUUCUAGGUUUUCUUUUGGGUUUAUGGCUGCUUUUAUAAAUUGUUAGUAUUUAUUUGUGCACAAUAUAUUUUUCUAAGCUACCUUUUUCGUUCCACUUUUAAUAAAUUAGUGAUGUCACUCCUUCGCUUAUUACUGUGCCAAAAUGUUGAUUUGUGUUAAAUCUAUUGGUGAUGAGUUUAGUAAGCAUUUGAUGUGAUAAUUUUAUAAUGUGUUAACCAUCAAUUGGCUGUUGUAUUUGAAGUGGAAUAGGCCACUUUUUUAAUUGGAUAAACACUUGUUUUUUUUCUUCUUCUUAUAUUGGUUCAUUUUCACAUAUUACACUUUCAUUUCCUAAAUUCAAAGUCUGGUUUCAAUGUGAUUUCCAUGUUUUGAAAUUUAUACUUUUAAUCUCAUUUUUUUACUAAAUAUUGACUUAAUUUUGGGAAAUUGCUAUUUAUUAAUUCAUUUUUUAAAAAAAAUUAUAAAUUAAAUAACAUCCUGUCAAUUAAUUUAGAACAGUUAAAAUUAUUUCAAUAGUGAUAAAAAGAAUGGUGAAACUUAAUAGCAAUUAAACUUAUUGAAUGAAAAAUAAACUCUAAAAUUUAUAAGUGAUAUCUUGAAGGUAAUUAAAACAAAAUUCAAAUUUUACGGUUAGAUUUCUAACAUUUUGAUAUUUUCCGACAAAAUUGAGAUUAAACUAAAAAAUGUAAUAUUUUAAAAUUAAGAACUAAAAAUGUAAUAUUAUGAAAUUCUAUACAUCAAAUGAAAACUAAGCUAAAAGCUCUUAGUGUUUGAAGGUGAAAUUACAGAUUUAAUCCUAAAAUUUUGUAAGGCUCUUAGUCAUUUUAACAUCCAGUUUGGAUUUAUUGGACAUAACACAAUGAGGUACAUCAGUAGAAGAAAGCAAACAAAUAUAUGCAUGGUGAAUAAAAAUGGAAUUAAUAAGUAGUUCCAAACAAGGGCAUAUUACAUAUGCUACUUCAUUUUGAUAAAAUGUAGAUUUUGUUUGGUCAUCCUCAUCUGUAUACCAAUCGAACCGACCAAGAUUCAUCGAAUACAUAAAAUCAUGACCAAAAAGUUAAAUUCAGAAUUUUUUGGUCAUUAUACAUUAGAAACAAAUGUACAUAUUAGAAGCUUGGGGUGGGUUGUGUAACAUGAAGAGGGUGAUGAAAAUGAAAGUUGAGGGCAAAUCUGUCAUUUAUGUUGUUGCGUUGUUGUGUGUGUGUGGGAUGGUGCCAACCAACCAACCAACCAACCAACAAACCCUUAGCUUUUAUUAUGCAUCUCAUCAGAGCCUAACAUAACAUGUUAUUUUAUUCCAUUCUCUUUUGGUGUUUUUCAUUUAUCCUUUUUCCUAUUACCAAUAAAGCAACAAUCCCUCUAAUCUUAGGGUUCCUCCCAAGUUAUUCCCCACCAAUGGUCACUGGUCACCCAUGUCCUUAACCACCACACGGCGUUCUCCAAUUGCUUCAUGUAGAGCAUCACUCACCUAAUGUCCUAGGAUUCUUUCCCCUAACUUUUUUACUACAUAAUUGAUAGUACUUCAAUAUAUACCCCUGUUAACUGUUAAGGAAGGAGUAAUUAAGUUGUUAAAGAAAUAAACAGACUUGAUAACAAAUAAUAACAUACUAACUAAACCAAUUCUUCUCUCCUAAUAUCGUUAUACUUCAAAAUGUUACCACAUUCAUUUUGUUUCAACUUCAAUCACUAAAUACUAUCCUUGAUCGAAAUUUUCUUAGAGUUAGUUGUAUUUUGCCCCCUUCUUGGCUAUGAACUUGUUUUGCUCCACAAGUUCAAAUUAGUUCUUUCCAUUUGUUUCUUGCAAUAAAGUUUCUCAAAAUUGCAGAAUUUGCUAGUUUCAAUGGUUCCACUAUCUGGGUUAGAGAAAGCUUAAAUAUUACCACAGAUGAAAAUUUUGAGUUUUUCCACAGAGAAAAACAUCUUUUUUCCUAAAACAAGUGUUGCUUACUCUCUCUACUCUACUUUCUUUGGGGGUUAAAAUCUCUGAUGCACUUUUCUCACAAAGAGAAAAAAAACUCUCAGAAAAAAAGUCUUCCUUCCUCCCUUUCUCUCUAAUAAGUUUUCUCACUUAACAUAUUCCGUCACUCAUUUUUCUUGAAACAAGAAAGUUGAGAAUAAAAUAAAAUAUUUCAAAAAAUAUCAGUUUAUAUCCUUAAAUUUUGAGAGUUAUCAGUUAAAAUUCUCAACUAAUAAAGUUGAGUUGAAGUUGAUAUAAUAAAUAAUUUAUCGGUUUUAAUUGGUAUAGGCUCAAAGUAAACAAAGCUUCCACUACUAAUGUUUCAAGCUCAUGCCCACACUUAAAUCACCAACAAAUUCAAAAGCUAAAGUUCAUGGGUUGCCGUAAAUACUUUAAUAUUUUCUCUCACUUGUAAGCUUAGAGAUUUGUAGAAAGCACAAGAAGUAGAAAUCAAGAUUACUUAGAGAUUUGUAAGCUUAGGAGUUUGUAUAUACGACCUACAAUCACUAUAAUUAAACCAAAAGUUUAAGUUGAUGGGUGAAGGUAUGAAUAUUUGACAAGUGAUAAAUAACCUAAAGUGGGAGUCCUCUCACAAGCUGCCAAGUGGUCCAUAGUUGAUACUUGAUCACACAAAAACACAGAAGCACAAAAGCAAAAAUCCAUAUUGAUUAGAAGCUCUAUGUUAUUCCUACUUGAAACUUUUCUUCUUUCCAUCAAUAAUGAAAGCAACUUUUUCCAAAUCACAGUGAUCAUAAAGAUGACGUUUAGGCCAUCUGUUUAGGCCUAUAGACAAAAUAAAGCUACAUCUUUGUAAUUGGUAACAGAAAGGGCACUAAUUAACAAAGAAACUUAUGGCAAGUAGGGAUUAGGCCAAGUCAUGUCAUUUGGGGUUUUCUAGCCGACCAAACUUCAGAAUUUAUAUGAAUUUGAUGGCCUCCCACCUUUUUCCCAAAGUUAUCAUUAUGAUGAAACCAUAAUUCUCCUAAACUUUAUUUGACAAUUUAGGAAGAUACCUUUCCUAGAUGAAAUCAUCAUAAUUAAUAAAAAAAAAUUGCUUGACUUUUUGGUUUAGAGGCUAAUUUUGUUCUAAAGUGGAGGAGAGGAAAGAAUAUUGAAUUUUCUUCUAUUAUUAGAGAUUGAUGCAAAACUCAAUCCCACAUGGGUUUAUAUUUGCAAAGGACUUUAUUCUCUAGAAUGGUAGUGCUUAAUAUUUGGGAGUAACACAAAUUGGAAAAAGUCAAAAGUACCUCUUAAAUGCUUUGGAAGAAAAGACUUCUAAUCCAAGUGCUUGAUUGAAGAGCACUAAAAAACUACUUUAAGAUUAUAAAACUAAACAUACGGUUUUGUUAUUAAUCUUUACUCUCUAAUUAUAAUGAAGGUACUUUUCCACCAGACAAAAAAAGGGCCAAACAUAUCAAUUGCUGUUUGAGAUUAUAGGUUUUUUCUAUUAGAAAAAGUAUUUGAUAUGACUAUUAAAAGAAUCAUUUAGUGAAAUAAUUUUUUUUUGUAUUACUAUUGAUUAACGGUUUCACUUAAAAACACCUUAAAAUGUUCUUUUAAGAAAUUUCAAAUGUAUUUCCGUAAUGUGACCAGACAUCACAAAAAAUUAACAAGUACUGUAAAUUAGUAAAAUGGAAGGAAAAAACAUGCAUAAUAAAUAGUCAAGAAACGAAAAAAAAACAUUAAAAAUGGGUCAAGCUCACAAUCACAUGGAGAAAAACAAUGUGGGUAUCCAAAAUUGCAAAAUUCUAUCUCAAAAAAUAAAAUAAAUAAAAAUUGCAAAAUCCAUUGGAAACACAUUUAAAUAACUCAAAAAUAUUUUUCAAGAAAAUCCCAAAGUCUAAAAAAGACGGGGUCAUGGUAUGAACUAUGUAAGGGCCAAAGUGGUUGCCAUCCUCAUUUUCCAGACAAAAACUAUCCAAAUCAUAUAUUGACUUUGGCUACCACAUCUAUCUAUAUAUAUAUAAUAUACAUUAUAAAUACAUGUCAUAUGGAAAGGAAUCUAACAUAAACAAAUGAAGAGGGCAAAGGAUUAUAAAUGGUGGGACCACAGUAGCUCUAAUUUGACAAAGAAUUCACAAUAGAAAAAUAAAACAUGUACAGUUUUGAAUACAAUUUACCCAUCAAAAAGCCAGUGACUCAAAGAAGAAGAAAAAAAAACCAUACCCUUCAAGUAUCAUGUGGAGAUGAGUCAGGCAUGAUGACUAAUCCGCCCAUGGGCGGCGCUGGCAGUACGUCUAUUUUCCCCGCCCGCCCAACCAACGCCAUUUGCAUAUAAAAGUGACGCAAACAUUUUUACAAACAAUUGGUGUGCAUUUUGGACCAUUCGCUUUGUCUACUCAUCUUCCUUCAAAAAGACCCAUUAAUAAUCAAAUCAAAACGCUGUAUUUUAAACUAAUGAAUGAAAUUUGCUGCUGAAAAACGCCAAAAAUAUAACGCAAUUGAACGAGGGGCAAAAUCAAUCGAUUCCCAAUUGAAUAAUAUUUGUUUGAAAAAGAAAAAAAGUGUUGCAGGAUCAGCUUAUCUUUCGGCGAAGCUUGUCAGCACAUACGUCCCUCUCUUGAGUGUGAAGACGUUGUUGUCUCACCAAACUAACGCCAAAAUUGAGUCUCUAUGCUUAUGUCUGUCUCCCAUCGCCCAUUGUUCAUUUCUCUCGCUUUCGCUUUUCUCUUUGGCUCUCCAUCUCACCUUUUCUUUUUUAUAUAUUAUCAUCAUUUUGGGUAAUGGCUUUUUGGAUGUAAACUUCAUUAUUAUGUUGCUGUUAAUUUAUAUAGAAAAUAGAACAUUUUAUUUCUUUUAAUUACUAUUAUACUUUUGAAAUCGAUCCAAUUAAGCAAAAAGGUAUUAAAACUCUUCAUCAACAAUCUCAUUGUCAUCCUCUUACACUGUAUAGGCAAACAAAAGUAUAACAUGCAUGAUCUAAUCUAAAACAUUCUCAUUACAACGAGAUCAAUCAAAUGAUUUAUAAGCAUUCAAAAUCAUUAGAACCAAUCAUGUAGUUUAAAUCAACAUCCACCAAAGUAUUUAGCAAUAAUACUUGACUACGUUAGCCCUAGAAAACUAAGAAAAUCGUGCAAACAUGGCUUCGAUGAGACGAAACCAAGUUUAGAAGAAUACAAAAAAAAAUACAUAGGAAAAUAAAAAAAUAAGAAAAAUAGAGAAAGUGUUAUCUAAUGAUUGUCCAAUCCCAUUUUCGAGAUGGCAUCAAAUAUCAAUCUUCGAUUGCUCUUUACAUUGUCUUCGACUCCAAAGACCUUCUGAGUUGUAGUCAAACCUCUCUCUCUCUCUCAGCUUCUAAGAGCUCAAGAAUCGAUACCCUAACUCAAAGAAACAAAAUGUGUUUACAAUGGAAUUUACUGUAGACGUCUAAGGCGAAACUGCGCAAAGAAAUAGAUGCUUGUAGCGCCAUGAUGCUAACUCACUAACUUGCUUGUUCCUCUCGGCUAUCUAGUUACGUUGAUGCUAGCAUUGAAGGGCUACUUUUUUCAUCAUUUUCGACUUUAAUUUUGUACCUCUUUUUGUGCCUUGCCACUAUUUGGAGAAUUGGACAAAACUAGCACAUUUUUUUGUUUUAUCUGUUAUGAGUAGCACGGUUUUAGAAAACUCGUAAUUUUGUUUUUUUCGAGAUCAAUCUCGGUCGCUUCCCAAAUUUAAAAAAAACUAUUUGAAUGAUUUCUCUCAAUCUUCUCUCAGCCCAGUGCAUCACCGUGAUUGAAUUUUAAUUUUAAAUAAUUGGCCUAAAAAUGACUAAUUAACCCCAAUAAAAAAUGAUUUGGUAGAGCAAGUGAUGGAGGAAAUUCCACGUUGGUCAUCUUCUAAUUUAAUUUAUGACUAAUACAUUUUUCUUAAAAGGACUAAAAAGUGUCUAUAUCUUAGUUUUUAGUUUCCCUUUUAGCUUUCAUUUUUAAAUUUAGGGACAUCUCGAGGCAACCUUAGCCCGAAGUCAUAUUACAUGAUAACUUUGUCCUUUAAUUCAAGCCCAUCUUGAGACAACUUUGUCCUGGGAUAAUUGAUAUAAUUGCUUAAAUUUUUCAACUCGGGGCAUCUGGGGGCAUAUCUCGAGGCAACCUUAGUGUGAGAUCAUACUACAUGAUGCUUAUGUUUUUUAGCCCGAUGUAUCUUGAGGCAACCUUAGCUCGAGAUUAUACUUUGUAAUGCUUAUAUUUUUUAGCUUGGGGUCAUCUCAAGGCAACUUUGGCCUAGGAUCGUUGACAUAGUUGCUUAAACUUUUUAGCUCAGUGCAUCUUGGGGCAGUGAUGUAUGGGAGCAAUUAGCCUAUAUACUUCAAGAGAGUAUGAUUUAAAGUAGUACCAUGUUGAAAUUUAUGUGUUCUAAAUUCUCAUAAUUUAUUAGUUGAUUAGUUUAAUUAUUGAUUAUGCAAUAUUAAUUUGUGUAUUAAUUACAAAAAUCCAAGGUUAUUGUAUAAUCUCGGAUCAAAUAAGACUUUAGAGCACAUAAAUCACAAUAGACCCACAAUGGAAAAUACAAAAAAUGUCUCAGUCAACACAUGAUUAGUUGGCCACUCACGCACGUAAUAUAUUUGGUACGUGAUCGUUUAGAUUUAGCUAGAUUUGGUACUAGAUCAUUUCGAUUUGGCUAGAUUUAGUUACAUGAUCGUUUAGAUUUGGCUAUCCAAAUCUAAACAAUUUUUUUAAAGAUUGUUUGAUACAUGAUCGUUUAGAUUUGACUACAUGAUCGUCGUUUAACAAUUUUUUUAAAGAUUGUUUGAUACAUGAUCGUUAGAUUUGACUACAUGAUCGUCGUUUAGGUUUGGCUACCCAAAUCUAAAUGAAUUUUUUUCAAGAUUGUUUGGUAUACAAUCGUUUAGGUUUGCCAAAUCUAAACAACUAUGUACCAAAUCUAAACGAUCAUGUACCAAUAUCCCAACAAAUUUUUUCAAGAUAUUUUAUAUUUGGUACACGAUCUUGAACCAAAUUUUUUUUCUUUCAGAGUGUUAUUUGGUUCAAGAUCGUGUACCAAAUAACACUUUGAAAGAAAAAAAAAAAUUAUGAUUGAUUGAAAAUAAAGAUCAUAAUUUCAAAAAAAUGUAAAAGAAAAAUUAUAGAAGAAGAGAAGAAAGAAGAUGGAAAGGAAAGACAAACUUGGAAUAUUUAAGAAAAUGGCCUACUUCAUGGGCUUUUUGAUUUUGUUACACCGGCCAUAAAUUUUUUGGUGUUUUGUUAUAUUUAUGAAAAUUAACCUUAUUAUUAUUAUUUUUUAUAUUUAAAAAGGAUCCUCGAUCCUCGUGCAAGAAUAUUCAUCAUCCUCUUCCUCCUUCACUUUUGAAACCCUAAUACAACCGUCCUAGCUCCUUCACCAUAUGUUUCGACGUCGUCCACCGCUCAUUGUUACUCCUCUCAAACGAAGUUGUCGGUAGUCAAGCAUCUGUUAUGCCCACCAAUCCACCCCAUUUUCUUUCAUUAUCGUGAGUCGAGUUUGCAUUCAAGCACUAUCUUUGCACACCAUUGUCUGUGACGUCCUCCUUUUCAUCACAUCCAAACCUCACUAAGCCACCUUUAGUCGUCCCUCGAUCUCACCCUCGUCGUUUCCUCAACCUCCACAUCAGAGGCGUCCCAAGCUUUUACUCGAGCCACUUAAGUCGAUUUGUUCCCUUCCCCAAGCCAAGACACAAGCUAGCUUCUUACCCUUUUCUUGAGCCAUUUAUCCAUUUGGCCACUUCGGUAUUUUUCUUAGUGAGUUUUAAUUGGAUUUUAGGUAUGCCCAUCAAAUAUUAGUUUUUGGUCUAAGUAAAUUAAUUUUUUGGAUUGAGUUAAAAUAUUUUCUUAAAGUUUGAUUAUUUUUUCCUUGAAGGGUAAAUGGCUAAAUUGGAAGAAUUAAUCUAUGAAAUUUUCUAAUUCAAGGUUGAUUUGGUUUCAACCUCAACUUUGGGUAAGUUGGAAAUCUAAGAUAAAUAAUUGGAUGAUUUGGUUGAUAAAAUUAUUAAUUUAAUAUUUUUUAUGUUUAGGAUUGGUUUAUUUGGAAAGUUAUUGACUGUUAACUAGGAAGUAAAUUUUAAGCUAAUCUCUCAAGAAAGAGAUUUUACUACUAGACAUUCGAACAUGAAUUUAAGAGCUUGCAUGUAUUUACUGUUAUGCAUUGAUGGUAGCUAAUGCAUAAUGUGAUGCUAUAGAUGAUGAUUGAUAUUAUGUUGAUGAUUAUGCAUGAUAUAUUAGUCACAUGAUUAAAGACUUUAUGAUUGAUAUUCAUGUCAUGUUAUGAUGUCUAUAAUGUGGCUACAUGCUAUGGAUUAUGGUGUUCUAUUAACUUUGACCAUUAGGAUUGUACCUACAUGUUUAGUGUCCCUCGGUAUCACCAUUUUUUGACAAAUUUAUGAUUGUGUGUGUUUGACAGGACCACAAGUUUAUCAUGCCAUGUUUUUUUAGUGGUUUGACGGGAUCACUUACAACCUAAUAUCGUAGGUGUUCUUUAAUUAAUAUUUCAGGCAAAGGUAGAGGUAGAGGAAAGCUGAAAGAAGACAAGAAGGGUUUGUGACUUGCUUUGGGGGAAUUAUGUUGUUUCAACCUUUCAUGUUUUCAGUAUUUUUAUUUUUAGUAUUUUUAUUGAAAUUUAUCGAAACUCGUUAAAUAUUUUUAUGUUAUUUUCUUUUAAAGUGAGAUAAGGUCGGAACUAAGACUAUGUUUACCUAGCAGUUAUUUCUAUUUUUUCAAAUUAUGAUUUAUAAAUGAGUAUUUGAAAUUAUUUAUUUAAGAAUUUAGUUUUCCUCUUUCUCUUUUAAAUGCAAAAAUUGUUAUUUCUUUUAAUAGUAAUGAGUUGGGUUGUUACAGAAUUAACCUACUAAUCAUGAUCUUAUCAUAUGGACACGAAUAUAUCUAUAUUGUGAGGAGUGCAACUAGAGGACUUGUGGAAUGACCCGUUAGUUAAUAAAUGUUGAUUAGCUCGAUCUAAAAGGGUUUAACUAGUUAAUCUCAGUUAAUUGGUGCCUAUGAUCUAUAGGUCCAUUAGGUUCUCAUGCUAGCUCAUAUGGAAUUAUUAACUUAUAACAGUAUGUUGGAUUAGAUCGAAUAGUUUGAAUUGGGUAAAGAGAGAGAAACUAACAAGUAUAUAUGAUAUAGCGGUCGGUUAUUAGUUUUGAUAUAGUGCUUUAUAUUUAAAUAUAAUUUAAGUAUGAAAAAUAUGAAUGCAAAUACAUAUGCAGAAGCUCGAACAUGAUGGAAAUGGUCAAAGUUGUAAUGUAAGACACUAAUCCAAAAAAGAUGUCCUAUUAAGGAAAGCCUUGUUAGAAAGUUGUUUCAGAUAAGUGUCGAGACAUCCUACAAGGAACGAUACAAAGAGAAAAGCGUAAGACAGAAGUCCUAUCAUAGGAAACUGAGUAACACGAUAGGAAUAACUGACGAGAAGGCAAUGCGCUGAGCGAGGCAUUGGUAGGGUACCGCAAGAAGUAUUUGUGUCUAAGAGAUUGAGACGAGGAAGUAAAAGUCUUGUCAUUUAACACAUUGUAGGAAAGGAAACGAGGUAGCUUCUUUGAGAAGAGAACGAGAAGAGUUAGACAUUCAAGAAUUUGGCUUCCGAAUGAGAUAAGGUGUUCAUCUCAAGGGAAAGUCAAAUCGCCGCUGAGAAUAGACUACGUGUAGAGUUUGGAUUGGUAGAAUAAUGUGAUGGGUGCUAAGACAACACGUGUAAAGCGCAAAAGUGACCCUUGGAUGUGAAAGGUCUCUAUAAAUAGGGUCAAAAGCCAAAAGAAAAAGGAAGUUUUUUCUAAACAGAAAAGUGGUAUCCGAUAAAAGUAAGAGGAAAAAGUUCUGAAUGCUGAAUAAACGAUUCCACCAACUGUUAGACGUGAAGAGGAAGCUAAAAGCCGAGAAGGAAGAAGUCAAGGCUAAGUAUUUUGAGUGAGUGACAAAACGAUUUACAAGCUUGUUGUGUAUACUACAUUGUUUGUUUUUACAAGCUUCGUUUGAAUGUAAUAAUGUAGUUUAUUAUCUUUCUGUGAAUGACCAAAUAUGUUUUAUGAGUCUUAUUUCUGUGACUGAAAAGAUACAUUUCAUAAAUAUUUUCUAGAAAUAGGUGAAAGGCUAAAUGUUUUCUACAAGCAUUGUUAAAUGUUUUCUACGAGCACUCUUUGAAAGAUGGUAAAAUGUGAUUUAUAAAUGGUGGUGAUUAGUUAUUCAAUUUUUGGUAUGAUUUGUAAAACCACUAGUUGAUCUUUGCUUUAAAAAGUGAUGUUUUAUGCAUGAUGUAUAUGUUGAGUAUUCUUUUCUCUAUGUUGAUGAUCACGAAAUACCUUAUUAAUUGUGCUAAUAUGUGCUAUGAGGAAGCAGUGGUACUAUGUCAUAUGGUUGUGGCUUGAUCUAUUGCACAAUGUUGAAUGGAAUUCUGGAUAACUCGUGUAAUACUAGCGAGAGCAAAUCCUAGGUCAGGGAAGGGAGAACUCCUAGAUCAGGGUGAGCUAUUAGAAAGAGGUGACGAGAUGUUGUUGUAUAUCCCAGGUAAUUCGUGUGAUACUGGCGAGAGUGAAUCUCAAGUCUAAGCGAUGGAGAUUCCCAGGUCUCAUAAUGGGCUUAUUAUGAACUAAUUGUAGCGUGUGAGAAAGACAUUGAUGAGACGUUGGUGGAGUGUAACUCCCAAGUUUAAGAAUGUGAAUGUGGCGAGAUGUUGUUGGAUAUCCCAAAUAACUCGCUUGGUCAUACUGAUGCGAACGAAUCCCAGGUCAGUGAGAGAAGAUUCCUAGAUCUCAUAAUGAACUUGUGAUUGUGAUUGUUGUAUGGAUUGGUAACUCACCUCGUGGUUAUUGAUUUGUAGUGGUUAUGCGACUGCGUUGAUUGUUUGUUGUGACGAACUUUAUGUGUUAUGGCUUACUAUUUAUUAAUCUGUGGAUUCCUUGUGAUUUUCCAAAAGGUUUUUCUUAAAACCAGCUAUGUGAAACCCUAAAUUUUUGGAUGCUUGGAGUCUAAUAAGGAUAAGAGAAAAUGAGAUUUAAGGGAUUAAGAAAGUUAAAUUCUUUGAAAAAGUUAAAGAUUAUGUUUAAGUCAGAGUUAAGAAAAAUUGGAAAGAUUGGCUAAGUAUCAAAGAAUGGCACUUUGCGCGUUUAGAGGCUAGUGUGGACGGUCAAUAGGCCAUAUAACCUCUAAAAAGUGUUUUUUGGGCAGCCAAGGGAAAGAAAAGAACCUCUAAAAAGGUUAUUUGACAUUUUAGGCAUGUGUUAAGUGAGAAGAUAUAGAGGUAAUCUAAUUUAAGGGCUAGGUGAGAAUAAUAGUUUGAGAGGUUAUUUGGACGUUUUGUGUAAGCAAGAAAGCUUGGUUAGAGGUUAGUCGGAUAAAACUUGCGACAAUGCAAGAGAGGCUAGUUGGCACUUGGUCUUGGUGUUUUGGACUUGUCAAGGGGGUUGGGCGUUUUGGUUUGGCAUUUUGAAGAAAGGCUAGCGAGAUGAACUAAGAGGUUAGCUAUGCAUUUUGGACAUGCAUGUGGCAAACUUAAAGGAAGCGGUUUAAAGAUAAUCCAAGUGUCUUCAUAUUAUUAACAUGCAUUUUGAGGUAGAAAGAUAGUUUGAGGUGUCUUAAGGAGAUGGUGGAUUAAGCAAGGUUGAGGUGUCAAGACAAUUUUGACGCAAUGCUUUUUAUAAUAGCUAACUGCAGUAUUGAAUUUCUCAUAAUUUACUCGUGAAAAAUUGUUCAAAUUGGCCUUGAAAGUUCAAAAUUUUUGUCUACUUUGUGAGUGAGGGUUGCUGUUCAUUUUGGAUUCAAGGAGGUUUGCGUUUUGAUCAAGAGAAGGCGAGAAGAUCAUUUCUAAGGUGAUUCUGAGCAAAGUGCACUUCCUGAAGACUAUAGAAUUUAUUACUUGGAAUGUUCCUUCGAAACUUUGAAAAAGAAAGCUAAGACAAUUUAGAACAACGUUAUAGAAGGAAGUUUUAUGAACAGAUUUAUGGAUGUUAAGUUAUGACCUUUCGAAGUCAGGUCAUAUAUUCUAAAUGAAAUUGAAGUUGUGAUUUGUAGGUCAAUGUUGUGCAUGCUAGGCAAGAUGGGCUUGAUGUUUGGUCAUAGAGGUUAUUUUGGGUCAAUUUGCAUGCACAUGACAAAGUCAUGGCACAACCGAGCGACAAGGCACGUGCUCAAGCUACGUGUAUACUAUGCCUAAAGAGGUUAGAGUGACACAUGUUGUGUGAGGAGCACCAACGUGCGCCAUGCAUGCAAGGGGCACUAGGUAGGCAGGAACCAUGCGUGCAGUGUCACAGUCAUACUUGUCUAGAGCGUUGUUUACCUAUGGUUGUAUGCCCAAAUAUCCUCGAUUUAUCUUAUCUUUAUGUCUUGUAUUUAGUUUAGCUAGUUGUUUUCCUUUUUAAGUCAUAAAGCUUGGGUGUGAUGUUUUGGCAUUUUCAUAUGCAAGCCUACCAGAGCUGAAAAUGUUCAAAAUGUAUGAUAGGGGAGGCAUAGUAGUUGAAUCCCCAUCCAAGCAAUGUCGCACUCUUUGCAAGCAAACCUUUUUCCUUGCAACUGACAGUCUUCAUUGCAUAUUGUAACGUCAAUUUCAAUGUAUUUAUUUCUUUCUCGCGUUUCAUAAACAAUUUUCUCAAGAACGCGAACGAAGGUUGCAUCAUACUCUUAGAUUAUCUAUGACUUUUGAAUUUUGAUAGGUUGACUUGUUCAUCGAAUUUGAACAAGUGUCACACAAUCGUUCGCCCCGAGUUUGAAAGGCUGUGAUCCUCCCUAUGCUAAGAAGGGUCCUCAAGCUCGCAACUUUACCAAUAAGUGAAAGUGAAAAUCAUAUAUCGCUUGGGCCUGUCUAAAAGAAGCCUCAAAGCAACUGAAAAGGUGGGCAGAUAAGAAGUUUCGCCCUCUAGACUUUCAUGCGGAAGAUUAGGUCCUCGUUAAGCUGUGGUCUGAAUAGACUUGGUUUUGAAGAUAUAGAAACCACGACCUCGAGAGAAGAUACGAGAGACUGGCAGAAGUGGAAGAAGUCUUGUUGAGAGAAAUAAUUUGAGGAUGUACUAGAGCUAGGCGAGCAAGUGUGGUAUUUAGGCACUAAGAAGUGUCCACUUUAAUUAGAAGAUGGUUAAGUAAACUCUAUCACAUCAAGAAUUACCGCAUUACUUAAUCACCUACAACGUGGCAACCUUUCUUCUCAUUUCUUUAAUGCAAGUUAGUUCACUCUCCAUAUGUCCACGAUUCCAUGUCACCUUCUACAGAAUCUCUAGCGUAAAUAGUAUAUUUAAUAAUCAUACAUACUCUAACUUUAUAUUGUAUGGAUAUUGUAUAUCGCCUAGAUGAGAAGUGGACUUUAUAACUAAAUCUUGAUAGAAAUUCUUUGUGUUUGAUCCUGGCUUACCCAGAAAAUCUCUUGUUUCGCUCACACUUGGGCAAGCAAGAGAAAAACUUGCACUACAUGCAAAUCAUUAAGAAAGUCAGCAAAGCAUAGAUAGUAGAUGAUGGAAACUGUAGACAUGCAGCAUAAUAAAGAUCGUAUUUUACUCUAAUUACAACUAAACACUUCAGUGAUUAACAUGCAUUACAACCCUUAAAUGAAACAAAAUACAGUUAAUAGAAAAACUCACAUUUGAUGCUUUUCUAUUAUUGUAAUCUUCUCACAUGCUCUUCACAAUCUCCUCACAAAAUCAAAGCCAGAUUAGAAAGAAACAACACAUCUAGGAUGACUGUGCAGGGUAAUAAUUGCGACAAGGCCCCAAUCAUUAACGUUCGAGAAUCUAAACGCAAGGAUGCUUUUGUAACAAAUCACUUUCCUUAACCAUUUUACAAAUGUACCACUUUUGUAUUUAUUGAUUUCUUUUAGUUAUGUCUUUUACUGCCUUCUUUUAUAGCUUUCUAGUUUAGAAGUUUUUGAAAAUUUAGACGAAGAAAGAAUAAGGUUACGCAAUAAGACCACUAUGCGAGCUUGGGUUAAGGUUAAAACGCAUCACUCGUUAUGGUUUUCUUGCGAAGCUUAUUGGGAAAAGAAAAGCCCAUGAGUUAUUUUAGGGUUUCAGGAAUUCAAAACGUCAAUUUCAAUUUAAAAAAGAAGGAAUGAUUAGUCACCGCUUAGGAAAUCCAAACGAUGAUGUCAGGCGUCCUAUCACAAUUAAAGCGCAGGACGCUAACUGACACGGUAACCCACCCUUAACCAUAGUUGAUCAUCUCUUUAAAAACCCACAUAAAUCCUAAUAUACACUUUUUUGUCGCUUCCACCAUUUGAAGGCCUAAGCUCUCCAUCCUUUGAUCAUCACUUUCGAUGAAGUUUCAAGUAAUUCCCUUUCUUAAUCUUUUACAUUAGACUUAAUCUAUAUAUUUUCUUGUCCAAAUGGCCGAAAAGAGGACCAUCUGCCAAGCUAUUAAGAAGUAUUUGACUUCCAAGCCUAGCAAAUCCCAAGAAUAAAUUAAGCAAGUCCAUUCUGAUGGUCCUAUGUCGGAACAAGCACAACCCAACUUCAUGACCAAAGCUUUUGAGAAAAUUUCUAAGGGAACAAUUGAUCCAACCCUGUUUCAACACAAAGGAGUUGGUAAUGAAGGGCAAGAUAAUGUUGCAUUGACGCCAUUGAUAAUCAAUGGGGUAGAAGUAAAGUUGCAUGAAUCUGACUUGACAACCUAUUGGCGAUGGUUGAAGAAACAAAAAAGGCACAGGAAGAGCAAGAAAAGAAAGAAAAAGAAGAGAAUGAAGAACCUGAAAGAAAAGAGAAAUAAAAGAGAGGGAGGAUGAGGAAGAAAGACUUAAAAGGGAGAAAAUGGAAAAACAAGGCAAGAAAGAUAAAGAGACAUCAUCAUCUCCCAUCAUCCUAACUAAGUUUGAGAGGGUCACAAAAAAGGUCCAAGAGAAAAAAAGGAAAGAUGGCAUAUGGCCUCUUUAAACUUAAGGUCACAGUGUAGGGUGUUAAGGCCCUCGCACAAGCGAAGAAGGAAACAAAGUUAAAGGAGCGGAAAGAGCUCCUUAACAAAGUAGAAAAAGUAACCCUCUCCGUGAAGAAGGGUAAGGCAAAGAAAACUCAUAGUGAAGAGUACGACAAGGAGAUGGAAAAAGAAUUAGAGGAUGAAAGUCCCUUAGAUGACGAAGUGGCCAAACCUUCAAAGAAGAAGAAGGUCACAAUAAAGAAGAAGGUUUUGAACAUGCAAUUCGUCGAAAGGCAAGAAAGGUUCUCAAAGUGAAGUUGUUGAAGAAGAAGAAGAGACCAAGAAAGUGAGAUGGAGGGGACCAUUUCUGUCAAUGAAGUAAGCAAACAAUUUAAGAUAGAGAAGGAGCUCUAUCCAUUCUAAGGCAUUUUGCCAGAGUGUUGGGAUUUAUGUCCUAAAACUCGUAGAUAGUAAAUAUAAUCCAUUGAUCGUUAUUUAUUAAUAAAGUGUUAUUAUUAUAAUUUCAAUAAAUGUUAUUAAUUACAUUAUUAGUUUUGUCUUAAUAAACUAACAUCCUAAGUUGUUUGAUGAGUCUUGAAUAGUAUGUAGAGACAUACAAGGAUCAAUGUUCAAGAUUAGCUUAAAUGGUUUAUAGUAUAGGGAUAACGUUGGGUGCUUUAUCCUGGUAACACUAUGGAUAUAGAUCACUUUGUAUUUGAUACAAGCCUAAUGAUCCAACGUGUUCGUGUAGGUGACAUGUGAGUGAUGGUAUCCUAUGCAAUGAGUUUGCAUAAAACCGGACCACGAAAUAGUAACCACUAGAUGUAACUUCGUUAACUAGUUAGGUUUCUAUUUCAUUAGGAUGACCUAGGUAACUUAGUCUUAAUCCUGAGUGUAUCAUUAGCUCCUAUUCGUGAGGGAUUUUUCUUUGAUUUAUACAGGUGAGAGUGACCAGAUUGUCUACUCAAUAUGCUUAUCAUUUUGGAGACAAGACCGAGUUGAGAGUUGGAAACGUAAUUACACAAGAUGAAAUUCACUCAUUCUGUACUUUAAGGUAAGUAGAUGAGUGUUCUCUUAAAUGGUGUCUUCCAGACUUGAACAAAGGCCUGUACCCUCUCCAUGGCAUGAUAAAUGUUUAUGUUUAUUAGUUGGACCAUAAACAGGUUGUUCAUUAGAAAAACACUAGUCUUUACGGACUAGAGAUAACCCAGGGAUAAAACGAUAAUUUGACUCAAUUGGUGUUACAAACACUCUUGAAGGAUUAACUCACUGUUAUUGGUCUACAUCUGUGAGCACAAAAAUAUAUCUACAGUGAGAAAAGUUCAGCUGUGAGUCUUUAGUCGAGUGUACAUACAAUUAACGAAUAUUGAUCAAUGUGGUUAAUUAGUUUAGUCAAUCAAUCUCAUAUCAUUGUAGCUUUUGAUCUAUAGGUCCAUUAGGUCCCUUCCUAGCUCAUAAAAGGGUAAUGAGAUUUAUUUAUAUUAGUUGUAUUUCGAAAUGUUCAAAUUUACUUUGGGAAUUAGUAUAAUGUAUGGUGAUACAUUAUAAUAUAAAGUUUAUAUUUUAAUCAAACUUUAUUAUAUAAAAUUAAUUUUGGAUAUGAUUCAAAAAUACUUUACGAGAGAUAAAAUACUUGAAUAAAUUCAAAUAUUAAUUUAAUGUGAAUUGGAUUCAUAUUAAAAUUAUUAGUUAUGAGAUAAAUUUAUAUUUGAAUGUGAUUCAAAAUUAAUUUAAGUUAAAUGUAAGAUAUUUAAUUUAGCUAUUAAUUAAAAUUAAUUGAUUAAUAGUUUUAGUUUGAUUUGAUUUAAUUAAAUUAAUUUAAAACGGUAAGAUAUUGGAGAGAUAUUCAUUAAAUAUGAUUUAAAUGAAAUAUUAAUUAAAUAUGAUUUAAUUAAUUAUUAAUUGAUUAAUUAAUUAAUUAGUAGAUUUGAAAUUUAUAUUAAUUUAAUAUUUUUUAAGUUAAUAGAAUUUCAUGAUUCUCUCUUAUUUCCUCAAUGAAAGAGAGCUAUAAAUAUGCAGAAGAAAAACAGUGUUUCUUAACAAAAUGAAGUCAAUGUUUUUGCUCUCUGCAAAAUAGUUUCUCUUUAAACCUUUCUUUUUCUCAUCCCAAUUGGUUCCCACAAACCAAUCUCAUCCCAGAGGAUAGGAAGGUCUCCGAGAGGUGGUGUCUCAAUUAGAAAUUUAGUAGAUUCAGAGGUGUCAAAUUAAGUAAGUUUUUCAUUCUCUGUAUCUUUUAAUUUGGAAGCAUGCUUAGCCUUUUAGAAUUAUGUUUAAAAAUGUUGUCAGUGUAUUGGUAUUUUGGGAUUUUCAAAUUAAUUUUAAGGAAUGGUUCUGUAAAAUCUUUUGCUUCCACAGACUUUAAUCCCUUCAUAGAGUUCUUGUUAUCAUCCAUCCGAGCAUUCAACUAAAGAAUUUUUUUUGAAGAGGUGACCGCGAUAAGGGCUGACGUAGUGAAUCUAUUCUACAAGGGACUUAUCUGUUAAGAAAAACAUUAUACACUAGUUAAAAGAAAAAUAGUUUUUUUUAGCCAGAUACAAUCAACGCAUUAUACAGAUUGGAUGAUAAUGCGAUUGAGCACGCCAUCUUUAAGAACCUAACACAGUAGGACAUAAAAGACGCGUUGAAAAGAAUAGCUUGGUCAGACACUAAGUGUGACAGAACUCCAAUUGAAAAGUACCAACUCUUCCCACACAACUUGAAUACCGUAGCCAGUUUUUGGCUUCUAUUUAUGAAGAAGAAGAUCAUUCCUACGCGCCAUGAUAGCACCAUCUCAAUAGACAAGGCAAUGCUCAACUACUACAUUAUGAAGGUGUUGGGUUUUAUGUUCUAAAACUCGUAGAUAGUAAAUAUAAUACAUUAACCGUUAUUAAUAAAGUGUUAAUAUUAACAUUAUUAACAAAGUGUUAUUAUUAACGUUAUUAAUAAAGUGUUAUUAUUUAAUUUCAAUAAAUGUAAUUGAUUAUAUUUUUAGUUUUGUCUUAAUAACCUAAAUCUAAUAAACUAACAUCAUAAGUUGUUUGAUGAGUUUUGAACAGUAUGUAAGAGACAUACAUGGAUCAAUGUUCGAGAUACAACUUAGAGGGUCUAUACUAUAGAGACAAAGUUGGGUACCUUAUCCUGGUAACACUAUAGAUACGACUCACUUUGUAUUUGAUACAAAUGCAAUGAUCUAACGCAUUUAUGUAGGUGACAUGCGAGUAAGGGUAUCCUAUGCAAUGAAUUUGCAUAAGAUCGGACCACAAAACAGUAACCACUAAAUGUAACUCUGUUAACUAGUUGGGUUUCUAUUUCAUUAGGGUGAUCUAGAUAACUUAAUCUUAAUCCUGAAUUUAUUAUGAACUCUUGUUCGCGAGGGAUUCUCCUUUGAUUUGUAUGGGUGAGAGUGGCUAGAUCGUCGACUCAAUAUGCUUAUCAUUUUGGGGACAAGACCGAGUGGAAAGUUGAGAACAUAAUCACAUAAGAUGAAUUUUACUCCUUCUUGACUUUAGGGUAAGUAGAUGAGUGUUCCCUUCAAUGGUGUCUCCAAAACUUAAACAAAUGGCCCUACCCUCUCUAUGACACGAGAUUGAGUUUAUGUUUAGUGGUUGGACCAUAAACAUAUUGUCCAUUAGAGGAGCACUGAUAUUUAAGGACUAGAAGUAAACUAUGGGUAAAAUAAUAAUUUGACCCAGCUGGUGUUACAAACAUUUGUGAAGGAUUAACUUACUAUUAUUGGUCUAUAUUUAUGGACACAUAAAUACAUCUACAGUGAGAAGAGUUUAGUUGUGAGUCAUUAGUGGAGUGUACACACAAUUAACGAAUAUUAAUUAAUGUGAUUAAUGAGUUUAACCAAUUAAUCUCAUAUCAUUGCAGCUUCUGAUUUGUAGGUCCAUUAGGUCCUCUUCUAUUUGAAAUAUUCAAAUUUACUUUGGAAAUUAAUAUAAUGUACGUUAUACAUUAUAAUAAGUUAAAUUGUAUUGUACAAAUUUAUUUUUGUAUGUGAUUCAAAAUUAAUUUAUGAGAGAUAAAAUAUUUAAAUGAGUUCAAAUAUUAAUUGAAUGUGAAUUAGAUUCAUAUUAAAACUAUAGGUUAAAAUUUAAUAUGUAUAUGAUACACAUUAAAACUAUAAGAUAUGAGAUAAAUUUAUAUUUAAAUAUGAUAUUUAAUUUAGAAAUUAAUUAAUAGUUUUGUUUGAUUUGAUUUGAUUAAAUUAAUUAAAUUAAAACUAUAGACUAUGUGAGAGAUAUUCAUUAAAUAUGAUUUAAAUGAAAUAUUAAUCAAAUAUGAUCUAAUUAAUUUAAUUUAAUUAUUUAUUUUAAUAUUAAUAUUAAUUUAUUAAAUUAAUAAGGAACGCGUUCCUUUAUUCUCUCAACUUUUCUCUUCUUUGGAGUUAUCGCCAGGCAAAAAAAUGCAGCCUUUCUCUCUGGAUUCUCAGUAUCUGCCUCUGUGAAUUCUCUUAAGGAAGAAAAAUUCUCUCUAAAAAAAUUCUUUUCCAAUUUUAGGUCCCACAAACCAAAUCUCUAGCUUAGAGAAUAAGAAUGUCUCCAAGUGGUGGUGCUUCAACAAUUUGGAGUUUUAGUAGAUAGAGAGGCAUCAAUGUGAGUAAGUAUGUUUCUCUUCUUUGUAAUUUUCUUUUAAAUUAUAAAGCAUGUUUAGCCUUUAAGCCUUAUAAAAAUUUCUUUUUGUAAUUGUUUUCAAUAUACUGGUAUUUUUAGUUUUCAAUUAAUUUUAGUUUCAAUUGGUUCUGUAAAAUCUUCCGCCGCAAAGGGCUCUUAUCCCUUCAGGAAAAUAUUUCAGUGAACGUGACGAAAUUAUUUGUGAGCACAUCCUCGUGUGGGUCAAGCAUCCUCGUGGCAUGAGACCAUUUCCACAUUUAAUUAAACGAUUGUGCUUAAAGGCAUGCCCGACUUUAGAAAAACUCUCCAAGACAGUGGUGAAGGAUGUGGGUUGCGUACUGUAUCCAAUCUUCUUCGUGUAAUCAAUCUCCACUUAAGCAAAGCGAAAGACAAACGCCUCAAGACCAAGAAAGAGGGAAAAGUAGAGGAAGUUAAUGAAGUGGAGUCUAAAGAAGAAGAAGAAGAAGAAGAAGAAAUGGAGGAUGAAAAGCAAACCCCACUUAAACGCAAGAGAAAAGGCAAGGACGAGACUUUAGGAUCAAGAAAGAAAGUUAGGAAACUUGAAACCAAUGACUCUAAGGAUCCUUCAUAUCUUGUAGUCAUCAUAGUGCCAGAUGACCAAAUGCCUAAGAAAAUCAUCUCACCGUCGCCAUCCAAAACCCUCAAGCCUAAUAAAUCCAAAACCACCACUUCACCGUCUAAAGUGUGAGACCCAUACCUAAAUCAUAAAGACUAAAAGUUGAUGAAGUAUUUGAAGAAGGCGUUUUGAGUAAAACUGGGUGAUAAAAAGUUGGUGUUAAGAUAGUUCGCGAGGAAAUAAGGUGGUUUGAUAGGAAUUUUGGUGUUUAAGUGUUGUUAGGCUUUUGAAGUUCUUCCCGAGAUGAAAACUAGGUAAUGAAGAGUAAGGAAACUUCUAGGAAAUUUCCUAAGAUUACUUCAUGGGUUUACUUGUAAGGUUAAAAGUUAAGCAUGUUUAAGAUAAACAUGGAACUUACACGUGUGUCACUAAGAGUAGGAGCUGGCGAAUUCUUAAGAGUUUAAGGAUGAAUAAUUUGAUUUAGAGUUAGUAUAAAGAGAGGAAGUAGAUAGAUUAUUAAGAGACUUUGCUCUAAGAAAUUGUAAGGAAACUAAGUGCUAAGUUGCUUCUAGGCGAGAAGAAGAGGAAAAAGAGAGUCGAAGCCAGACAUUCUAUACAUUAAGGAAAACCAAGUUGUUGUGAGUGGUUUUCAUUUUGAAAGAUUUUGUUUAUGUUAAAAAGUUUUCUUUAAAGUUCUUACUGCUUUGAAAUGAUGUUUAAUAUACGAAUGUUUUAAAGAGAUUUUGAAAGAAAGUUCAUAUCAUUUUUAUCUGAGUGUAAAUGAAAUUAUGUUCAAACCAUUAGUCUUCUUCGUGUUAUUGAGCUAACUGUUAUGUGCACAUAAAUGAGUAAAGGCAGCCAUGUAGAAAAUGACUGCAUGGUAGAAUGAAGCCGGUAAAUGGAUAAAAGGCGUAUAUUGUGUCAGGCGGCCUGAGCAACAAGGGUGACUAAGCUUUGUUUAAAGAUCAAUAUAAAUAGGGGUCUUUUUGCCAAAUUAUUAGUGACUAUGUUAUUUUGAGAUUUUGAAGAGAAAAGCUUAAGUGUUGAAGUGUUGUCAUUUUGUCUAUGCGAGAAGAAAAAGAAAAGAAGCCCUUCAAGUUUAUUUUCCAAGUGUUGUGAGUGUUUUCUUUAAAUAUUUGAAUGAUUUUUAGCAUUCUGAUAGAUUCUUUGAUGAUUGGAAAUUAUGAUUUCAAUAUGAAUGCUUCUAAAAGAGAUUUACAUGAAAAGCUUAUAUGUUUCAAAGUAUGUUUUAUGUGUUCCAAAACAUGACUUGUUUAUGAGAUGAUGUUUAAACUGUUAUUUACUUUCUAUCAAUGAGUUAACUAUUAUGUGUACAUAAUGAGUCAAGACAACCAUGAGGUGAAAGGGGCUACAUGGUGAUGAGAAGCUGGUUAAUACGUUGAAAGGAGCGUAUUGAACUUAGUGGCCUGAGCAACAAGGGUGAAUCUGUAUAUUCUCAGAUGUUAUUAAUACAGUAGUAUAAACGCGAAGUAAUGAGAUUUAGCAUAGAGAAUGAUUCGAGAUAUAUCCUUGGCGAAAGGAAUGUUUCGUAAUAAUGUGUGUUUAUGCGAGAUGAAAUAUUUAACAGAAAUGAUGUGUUUAUAUGAAUUGAUAUAUUUUUGUGUAUGUUAUGCUUGAUGAAAUGAUAUUUGCAAAGGAAUUGUAAAAAGGAUUUCUUAAGACCUCACUGAAUCUGUUAGACUUACGUUUUUAAAUCUCAUCUUCCAGGAAACAGGCAUUAAGGCCAAGUAAGAAAAGUUGAUGGGCUUACUAGGCGAGAAAAGAUGUUAGUUGGUAUUUUAGUUUAAGUUUUGAGUUUUAUACUUGUGUAAUCUGCAAAGUGUUGUAAUCUUAUAUGACUUAAGAUUUAUAAAGGAAAUGUUUUGUUACUUCCUAUGUUAAGUUGUUUAGAUCACCUAAAGUAUGAUUUCUAAGUUUAAGUUUAAGAGACUAUGCGAUUAAGCAAAGCUUAAGGAUCUUAAGACCAAGUAUUUUGGCGUUUAAACACAUCAGAACACUCAAGUCACAUCACGUCUUGCAUGGCAAACAAGGGUGUCUGCAGGGCAAGGUGUGACAAAUAGACACAUCUAAAUUAGCAACAUUAGCGAAAUUAAGGUCAUUCAUAUAUUCAUAUAACCAACUCAAGCAACCCAAAUUUUCGAGUUGGUCCAAAACAUCUUCUAAUGAAUGCAACUUAUCUACACCUCUCCUUUCAUAUAAUCAUAUAUCCACUCAUUUUACUUCACUCGGACCCAUAAUUGUUAUUAAUUUCUUGUGAUAUAGUGAAAGCAUUACUAAAUUUACCUAAAAAAAUAUGUAUUUUCAAUUUGGGUAUGAUAAAACUUGAUGUUAUAAUUGACAAAGAAUUAAUUACUACAACUUAUACAACAUGCUCUAAAAAUAUAUAUUCAACUUUAAUGACCAUCUAUAUUCAAAUCCCAUGGUCUAAUAUGUGAGUGACACAAACAACCCCACUUCUUAUUAGAGAAAAACAUCCCCAUAAGCUCAUUCACACUCAUUAUAAAAUGCUUCAUUUCCCAUUUUUUUAAGAAACCAAUACCUACAAAUUAACCUUAGAGAUGCAUUUACCCUAAACAAAUAUUUAGCAAAUUAUACAAACACAAUUAUGUAAGAUUGUGUAUAUAUAUAUAUAUAUUAUAUAUAUAUAUAUAUAUAUUAUAUACACACAUCAAAACAAUUAAAAUAUAACCAAAUAAAGAUGCUAAAAAAAAUUAUCAUUGGGAGUAUUUAUCUAGUUAGAGAGAAAAAAAGAAAAAGAAAAAUAGAACUCUACCAACUCCCUUUGUUUGAAUAUAAUUUUCUUAUCAUUUAACUUGGUCUUUAGCUCUAAGAUUGUCAACCCUCUUUUAGAUGGAAAUCAUUUUCUCAAUAUGUGUGUGUAUAUGUAUAUAUAAAACAUAUCUCUACCAUUUAUACUUUACUUCAACUUGCAACAGUGAGAUGAGAAAAAAAAUUAUAUUUAUUUAUAGCUACAAUAAUUGACACAAUAAUAUAUAUAUAUAUAUAUAUAUAUAUAUUUUCAAAAGGUAAGAGAUAUAAUUAAUUAAGCAAAAAGGAUAUUGUUUGUUAAAAUAUUGUUGCAAUUAAUGAAGUUUCCAAGUUGCAACAACCAACUAUUUUUCCUCUCAAAUGUAAAUUUGAGAACUCACCAAAGUUGAAUUAUUUACGGAGGGUUGCAACGUAAAAUCAAAACAAUAGUAAAAUAUUUGAAUGUAGUAAAAAAAAUAUAUAUAAAAGAUUUUGAUAAAUUUAGUUAUUAAAUAGUUUUAAUAUUUUGUUAUUUUAAAAAAUGGUUGGAACUUUUCUAAUAUUUUUACUCAUAUAUAUUGCAUCUAUAAGAUAUGAAAGUAUACUUCCAAAAUAAAAUUUAAACCUCACAAUUACAAAAUAAAACAACACCCAUUAACGGUUGACAUCUUAAACUAAGAUUUAAAUCUCUGAUAUGGGUAACAAUUAUUUAAUUAUCAAAUACUCAUUCAUAAAAUUUUAAAAUAUGAUUUUAAAUUAUUUUAAAUAGUUACUAAAUACUUAUAAAUUUCAAAAAUUAAAUAUUUGAAAAGUUAAAUGUAACGUAACUUAAAUUUAUAAUGUCAACUUAUACUAAUGUUUACGUGGUUGUAGGAACAAAUUUAUUAAGGGAGGCUGGCUAAGAGUACGCGUCCCCUCACAUUUUUAAUUUUUAUAUUUUAAUAUUAAUUUUGAAGUGUCAGAUUACAAUAUAUAUUAAAUAAUGUUUUAUUAUUAUUAAAUUCUUCAAAGUUGGAAGGUUUUUGGUUGGAAUCAUGUGCACUACAUCUAUUUUUUUAGUUGUUUUCUGUAAAAUGAGGCAAAUUUGAUUAUUCUUUUUAUAUAUGAUUUAGUUUUUAGAGUAGAAAAAAGUUAAGAAAAAUGUGUGUAAUUAUAUAUAAAUGCGUAAAUAAAUAUCAUGGGGACCCUAUAACUUGUAACAACUAACAUUAAAUAUUAGUAAUCCUAUAAUUUAAUCUACAAUAUCUCCCAAAUUAACUUUGUAAUUACUUUUCCUAACAAUAAAAGAAAAUACUUCAAAAAAAAUUAAAAUAACUAUUUAAGAGUUGAUAUUUCUUUUUGAAUUCUAAAAUUUUCAUUAUUUAUUUAAAUACACAAAAUCUAAAAUUAUAAUUGAGUCCAUAAACCAAUAAUCCUGAUCUACACUUGCUUUCUUUUAAGAAAGAAACCAACAAAUUAAAUACUAUAAAUAAAAAUCACCCCAAGAUAUAUUACAUUUGUGAAAUAGGAAAUAUAAUUAAGAACAGCCACGAAAACGACGUAGCAUGAGGGAAUUAAAAAGGCAAGGAAAAUGUCAUACCAAAUCCAAGUAGUGCAUUACCACAUUUUUUUUUUAUUCUAUUCCAUUAUUUGAAAAACAUUAAAAGUAUCUCAUUUAUUGGACCCAUAAAGUAAAACAUUUAUAAACAAAUUAAAACCCCUAAAUAUUAAUCAUAUUAUUAAUUGUUGCUUCUUUGCAAUUUUAUUCCUUAAAGAAACAAAGAGAAAUCUUUAGCUUCAAUUUGACAUUGGGAUACUUUGAAUCCAUAAAAAAAAAAAAGAAAGUAUAAGGUUACCUUAUAAAUAAAUAAAUAAAUAAAUAAUAUUUAAGGUUUUAAUGAGUUUACUAAAAGAAAUAUUGACUUUUAGAUAAGAUGAAAAAAUAGUAUUAAUGAAUAUAGACCAUUUUAUCCAAAAAGAAUUAUGAACUAAUAUAGAUUUGAUUGAGUUUAAUAUUACUUUAACUCAUUCCACUAAUACAAAUGCUGAUGGGGAAUCCAUGUGGCUAAUAGGGAAAGAGCAUUUUAAUAAUUAUUAUUUUUAGCUGUGAUAAUAACAUUUUUUUUUAUAUAAAGAAACGUAUAAUAUUUUAUUUUCGAGAAAAAGAAAUAAAUAUAGAUUGGAAAAGAAAUGGAUAUAUAUCUUUUCUACAUUUGUUGAGAAUGGUUUUGAUGAUUUAAUAUAAAUGACCGAAUAAAGUAUCAUAAACAGAUCUACAUACUUUUCUACUUAUAAAUAUCUUGAUAAUGAUAUUGUAUUCAAAAUAUAUAUAUAUAUAUAAAUUUACAUGUUCAUGUUUAUACUUUAUAAUAUAUUUUUUAAUCUUUUUCAACUUUUAAAUCUUUUAUUUUAAUUGUUCUAAUUUUGCCUUAAAAAAUAACAUUAAUUACUUGCUCAAGAGUCGUUCUAAAAUGUGAUUGUUGUCUAUUUCUUGUAUAGUUUGAAAUAUUCAUAUUGAAUAAUUGAAUUAUAAAAUAUAGGAAAAGUUAUCCGACUUAUUAUAUCUCAAUAAAAAAUAUUAAAAAGCUAAAUAAAGAAAAUACUUAUUUUUAUUAUAAAUAGUUUUCUAUAGGUGUAAUUAUUUUGUAAAAUUUGUUAUUUGUUAUUUUUUUUCUUUUUUUAAAUAUGAUAAUUUCUCUAUGUAUUUAUACUAAGUAAAAUAAAUUAGAUAAAAUUCCACAACUAAAAUAUAAUAUUUGAAAUUUUUGUGAUCAAAGUAGGAUAAUUAUAAGUCUUACGGACAUAUUUAAUAUAUUUUACCAUAAGAAGAAGUAUGCAAUACAAUACAUUCAUCACGCGCGUAUAAAACUUUACUUCACAUAAAAUUUUUCUUUAGAACAAUCAUUCCUUUCAUAAACGUCAGUCAUAUGAAAAAACACAUCUUUACAAAUGAACAAAAAAUUUAGAAGGAUGUUUUGAAAACAUUAAACAAUUGAAGAAUCACUCACAAUCCUUAGUUCCCUUUAGCUUAGAGCGCCUAGUCUUCGAGCUUUUUCUCGCCUAAUACUUCUUCUUAGUAGAAUAACACUAGAUUCUUGCACAAUCCUCCUUUAUCGUCCAUUUCCUUCUUUUUGUACUAAUCUUCAAAAUAGAUUAGUCAUCCUUAAGUCCUUAAUAACUUGCUAGCUUCUACUUGAAGUUUUUACAUGUGUAAGUUCAAUGCUCAUUUUGACCAUGCUUAAGUUUAACCUUACACGUAAACAACUAUUAAAUCAUGAUUAGACGUAUUCCUCACAUAAUCUCAUCUCGCGUUAUACUUCAGAAUGCCCAACACUUUGUUAAACACGUACUUCUUUAAUGCGUCACCUCCCUUGAUCAAUGCCAGCUUCAAAAGACACGCUCCCUUUGAAAACAUAUUUUCCUCACACUUAGUCAAAAUGACCCUUCUAUUCAGACACGAGCCUCACAAUCAGAGUAUAACAGAUUUUACAGUAUAAUGAUGGAAAGAUCUCUUACAUAGGUAUGCAUGAAAAAUGAGACUAGACUAAGAGAAGAUGAAAACGAAAGUUAAGUCUAGGAAAGACGCAAUAUGUGUGAGAUUUGAGGGAGAAUUAAAAAAAAAAAAAGGUUGAAAAGACCAACUUAAAAAUAAAUGUAAAAUAUAGAAAGAAAGAAACACACAAAAGUUGAAAAGAGAAAUGAUAAUUGUGGGUGUAAAAUUUGACCCGUUAGCCCCAAUCAACCACAAUACCACGUUCUAGAUGUCGUCAAAGGCGCGUGUAUCACACGUGAAUCCACCAAUUGUGGGCCCCAAAAGCCAAACGAAAAUAAUCUCUCUUUUAAGAGACCCCAUUAUUGUUUUUACCAAACAAAACAUAUCAUUAACCCUUAACUCUAAUUUUAAUUAUUUUCAAUCCAUUUUAAAUUUAAUCUAUAUACAAACAAAUGAAAACUUUCAAAACCAUUAUUUUAUUUUAAAUUUAGAGCAGAAAAAAAGUUUAUAAUUUUUAUAUAAAUUCUAUUAUCAUAAUCUUUUUUACUAUUUUACUAUACACGUUUUAACGUUUAUAUAAAUUUGAAAGUUUAAGGGUCUGACUAUAAUUAUCGUGUAGGUGGUACCGUUUAUUCAAAAUUAAUUGGAGGAGACAAACUAUGGGAGAAAAUUGAAGGUGCAUGUUUUGAACUAAAAUUAAAGAAAGUUUUUAAAAUAUAAUAAUUUGGGAUGAGAAAUAUAUAAUAUAAUUUAGAGGAAUUAAAGAAAAAAGAGGAUGAAUUAGAGCUGACUAUGCUUUCUCAUCUGUCUGACGCUGAGUUGCUGACCAAUCUACAGCAUGGAUUGAACUAAAGCCCUAAAUUAAAAUAUCAAAAAAAAAAAAAAAAAUUAUAAUUAUAAACACACAUCGGUAAACCCUAUUAUUUAUUUUAUAAUCUUAAUUAAUCAGCUUCAUAACAUUUACAUAAUUUCAUUUAAGUGCAGUCAUGUUUUCAAUUUUAUUCCACUUUUGUUUUCUAAUUUUUAAGACAUAUAUUUAAUAUUCAAUUUUUUAGAUUUAUUCCAUUUUGAUCAGGUUUCUAUAUUAGCCUCUACCUUCAAAUAAAAAUUACAUUUUUACUUUUUUUUUUCCUUAAAAAAUAUAACAAGCUGUUGAAAUAUUUAUUAUAAUUUGAAAACUGAAAAGAAUCUAAACUAUUUUUUCAGUAUUUUUUUAUAUUUGAUACACAAUUAAUAACAUAAUUUUUUUUUGAGUAAAUGAAAAAAGGAAAUAAAAUAAGAAGCAAAUAAAAUAAACCUCAAGGCUUUUCUUAAGGAAUAGAAAGGAAAUUUAAAGUAGAAAGGAAUUAGAUGGGAGAGAGAGAAAGAAAAGUAUUGGGUUCGGUUGGUCUGGUUCGCUCCGGUUCGAUUUUUAUUGCUUUUUCUUAUAUGGGCAUUGGCCGCAUAGAUGGAUUUCUUGUUCAAUAGUAUUAUGAAAAGGAAAAGGAAGCAAGGAAGCAGAGAGAGAGAGUAGAAGAAUAAAAAAGAAAAAAAGAGAAAAAAAUAAAAAUAAAAAAGCGAGCUGAAACUCAGAGAAAGAACUGAAGUGAAAAAUCAACCAACAGAAAGGAAACGAAAGAAUGGUGGAUUGAAGAAGAAAGUGGUUCCUUCUUCAGAUGGGAAAGACGAACAGUAGAAGAAUUUAUGGUUGUUGUUUGGGUAACAAAGAAGGAAUUUUAAGCUUCGAGAUGCGAGCUACUGAUUCCGGUAGAAAAGGAACCUUCUCCGUACUCCUUCUAUACCUCCUUUUGAUUCUCAUUUUACCAAGCAUUUAAGUUUCAAAAUCCCUUCACAAAUUUCUUCUUCUUCUUCUUCUUCUUCUUCUUCUUCACAAGCUGCUUCUUUUUCUGUUUCAUCUUACUUCAAUCUGGUCUUCUUUUGGUGUUUUUCUUCUGGGGUUGCUUUAUUUUGACUUGGCUUUCUGUUUGUAUAUCAAAUCAAGCUAACUUU
This 97863-nucleotide long non-coding RNA is filed under the name Cucumis sativus (cucumber). RNAcentral's name for it is "long non-coding RNA (CSAT_LNC002979)". The stretch from base 80542 to 80588 matches the Rfam family "Histone 3' UTR stem-loop". Lineage: Eukaryota; Viridiplantae; Streptophyta; Magnoliopsida; Cucurbitales; Cucurbitaceae. The record is from RNAcentral.